GAGUCUGAUCCUGGUUCAUUGCUCCCCCACGAUGUUUGCUUGUACUGACGAUAUGGUGGGGCCCAGUCGUCAGUGCUGCCCUGCUGAGGUCAGGUGCAGAUAGUCGGAACCAAUGUCUAGACAAACUACCACCGAGCAGGCCAGAAAGCAUGUUAAUAAGGCAGUGGACAAUAGAAUAAAAUAAAAUAAAAUAAAUAAAUAAUAAUAAAAAUUAAAAAAAAGUUCGGGUUUGGAUUGCAGGCCAGAGCAUUGUCCACUGGGCCGGCAUCAGAGCUCGGGAGUCUGGAUUCGGAGCAGCACUUGGCCUUCCCCAUCAUGUGCAGGUGUCUUGGCUGUCCAGACGUGGAAUGCUGUGGGCCGAAUUGCUUCCAAUGAUACAAAAGCAGUUGAGUCUUAUGGGGCCCCCUUCUGCAAUAUUGCUCCAGCUGGGGGAGAAUGAUUUGCCUGCCACCGACUGCUGUGACUUGCGUAACGCAGUACAGAAGGACCUGGAGAAACUGGCUGCUAUGUUGCCAGAUGCAAAAAUAAUUUGGUCGCAGUUGCUGCAACGCCGCUUCUGGCGUGGCAGUCGCAGUCCGGCAGUGAUUUGGCGGUGAGCUUCAGUGCUCAGUUGGCGGUUAGGCAUUGGUCUGGAAUUGGUUGCUGGGGGGGUAUGGAUUCGGCUGUGCCUGCCCCCCAAAAUGCUGCUGCUGGUGGAGGGGUAUGGAUUUGGCUGUGCCUGCCCCUCCAAAAUGCUGCUGCUGCUGCUGAAGGGUUUUACCGUUAAAGGAACCCAGGGGCUCCCCCAUGCUUUUGUCCGAAACCCCCUGGCAAGGGGCUAGGGCCACGCAGGCCCUGGGAGCAUUCUGGGGAGAGGUGAGGCAUGGUUCCCAGUCCCGUCUCUCUCCCCAGGUGACUUACCCUUCCUGACUUCGCGGGGGGUGCGAAUGUCAGAGCUGUCCCCGGGCGGUGGCAGUUAGUGCUACCAAUGCCUAAGCAACCACUCACAUUGUUGUAAUUUGAAUAAAGUUGUGGCCAAAAUUAUGCCAAAAAAAUUAAACAAAAAUUAAGUGUCAAUUGUGUUUUCCUUUGGGGUGUAUUGGGGACCUCGACACGCAACUGUCGUUUUCCAGUGCCUGCUUAAACACACACAUAUAUACAUUCAGGCAUAUACAAGUAGUAAAUUUAGAAACAUUCCGUAGUGGAACAUCACAAACUUGAAAACUAUUUAAUUUUUUUAACUAUUUGUUGAAAACUUCUACCUCUCACAUGCACAAAUAUAUAAUAUGUCCCUUUAGAACAGUUACUUUCCUUAAGUUUUAUCAUUAUAUUAUUUUUUAAUUCUUUCUUUUUUUCUAUUAAGAGCUUGGUUUGGUGUUUUUGUUGUUGUUGUUUUUAGCACUUUGGUUAAGGUACUUUGGUUUAGUACCAGGAGGGGGGGGGGGGGACACAGCAGAGGGAUACUUGCAUUUCUUCCAAAGAUCCUCCUUGCCUUUUGGUAUUUGAAGCAAGAGAGUGUCUGUUUCAAGCUGAUGAAUCAUAUUCACACCGUGGAUAUCCUGUAUAUUUCCAGUAUCAUAGACUUCACCCCAUUACUCCUUCAUCUUUUUUGCCUUCUUUCCCAAACAUUUAUAUCAUCAUUAUUCUUUCUGCACAUAUCCUCAUGUGUUUUUUCUCCUGCUCCCAACACCAUAAUUGGUUGCUUUGUUCAUGCUCAAAAAUGCAGAUAUCCACAAUGCCACUUUUAAAUGCAUGUUUUAUCUAUUCUCUUUUUUUCAAACAAACAAACAAACAAACAGAAAACUAUCCAGGUUAUGAUCAAAUGACAGCCUCACUUGUGAUUGGGCCAUGGAACAGUUGCUUUGCUUAUUAUCUUAACUUUCCCCCCUGCGCUACCAGUUAUGUUCAUUCACCUUGUGCUUAGAAAUAAAAAUGUGGCUUUUGCAGGUGGGGGACAAACAACCCAGCCAAUAAUAUUUUUGCAAUUUGCAACUUGUCUCCUCUUGACAGCAGAGAGUGGCUUCUGUCCUUUUCCCAAACUCAUUUUGGUAGCAGCAAGCCCAUAGAUGAAAUUCCCGCUAUUGUAAUCGGAGACCAAUUGCUGGUACAAUCUUACAUGUUUGUCUACCAUGUUUUGACAGAUCAUGUCAGAUAUGGUUCAGUCCAGAACAUAUCAGAUGAGCCAUUCACAAAUGAAGGUGAUAUUUUGUUGUUGGUGGGAGGAGGGUAUUCAAGAGUGCAUUCCUGGGGUGGUAGGACAACUUCAUGGCAAAUAAACAGCAUUGAAAAUCAUGUAUGAUAAGCUCAGUUUUUAAAAUGCAUAUUGAAGGUUGUUGGGCUAUUGCUGGUAAGUUUUGGGAAGCUUCUGGUUCCUAUUUUAAAAGCAUUUUUUUUUUUAAUGGGCAUUAUACAUAUAAACAAUGGGUUGGACCUAGACAGGCAGAUCAGUUCAAACUUCAGGAAUCAAGAAAAAUAUAUCCUGGAGUAAAUUAUGCCAGUGUAACCUAAUUAACUGCAGAUGGUGACAGCAGUCACGAAAUUAAAAGACGCCUGCUCCUUGGGAGAAAGGCGAUGGCAAACCUAGACAACAUCUUAAAAAGCAGAGACAUCACCUUGCCAACAAAGGUCCGUAUAGUAAAAGCCAUGGUUUUCCCAGUAGUGAUGUAUGGAAGUGAGAGCUGGACCAUUAAGAAGGCUGAUCGCCGAAGAAUUGAUGCUUUUGAAUUAUGGUGCUGGAGGAGACUCUUGAGAGUCCCAUGGACUGCAAGAAGAUCAAACCUCUCCAUUCUUAAGGAAAUCAGCCCUGAGUGCUCACUGGAAGGACAGAUCCUGAAGCUGAGGCUCCAAUACUUUGGCCACCUCAUGAGAAGAGAAGACUCUCUGGAAAAGACCCUGAUGUUGGGAAAGAUGGAGGGCACAAGGAGAAGGGGACGACAGAGAAUGAGAUGGUUGGAUGGUGUUCUUGAAGCCACCAGCAUGAGUUUGAUCAAACUGCGGGAGGCAGUGGAGGACAGAAGUGCCUGGCGUGCUCUGGUCCAUGGGGUCACGAAGAGUCGGACACGACUAAACGACUAAACAACAACAACAACAAACCUAAUUAAAACUUUAUUCAGGAACAGGGCUGCUGCCAGCCAAGCCAACUGGAACCAGACAGAGGAGAAACAAAAUGGAAUUUGAUGUGUACUACCCUCCCAGUGCAACUUUUGCAGGGCUGCUAGAUUGGAAGCUGAGCUGAGUUGGGAAUAGGCCUAAGUCUCCCCAUGCCCUGUCCCAUCCCCAUAGCCCAGGAAUGAGGGACUGCAGGGGAAAUCCAUACCACAAUGUUUUUCUAUCCAUUUGUACAAUUAUUCCUCCUGGCUCAUUGGCACAUCCUAAAAGUCCUUUGGGACUUUCCAGGGUUUUUGGUUUGCUUUAUGGUUUUGACUCACUACGUGCUUUAAUGAUCAGUAUUGGCGGGAUAUGGGAGGAACCACUUGUGCACUCGCUGAAGGCUGGGGGCCUGCCAGAAGGGGCGCAGCUGCACCAAUAAUGAAUGGUGCUGCCCCUGUCCACUGCCCUUACAGGUGAUCUAGCAUUUCUCACACCAUGCAAACAGUGACUUCUGAAACAGGUGUGCGGAAUUUAGAUAUUAGGUCAGGCAUCAUGUAGCCACCAAGGACUUAAAGGGUUUAAAGUAUUUAAAUCUCCUAGAUGGGGUCAGAGCUUUGAGCUGCAGGUCAACAUGGAGAAAUCUACAGCAAGACUGGCCCCAGUUACCCAGCUGCCAGAACUGUUGAUCUUUGCAUCCCACUUCCCACUAAGUCUGCUCCCAUCCUGCUCUUUUCCAAACAAUCUUAAACUCCAUUGGGGAAGCCCCCCCCCCCGCUCUCUGUGCUCUUUGCUGGGCUACAUGCAAAGCUCCCCAAGACUUGGAGACAAGGCAGCAGGGGUGGGACGGGACCAGAAGGCUCCUGUGAAUCUGUUGCAGCCUCAGCCCCCACCUCCCCAUUUAAAAUGUAAUUCUUAAUAAAGUGGAAAAAUUAUUUGGGGAGAUAGCUGUCUCUAUUUUACUUGGUAUGUGUAUUCUUUAGCUCUUACUCAUCCACUCUUGUUACAGCAACUACAAGUUGCUCUACUUCUGUACUUCAGGACUCUUAGCAGCUCCAAAAUAAUUCCCUGAUUCUGUUUUGUUUUUUUUAAAUAAUAUUAUUUUUCCAAAAACACUGAUAAAAAAGGCGAAAAAAAGAAAAAGAAAAACAAUACAAUACAAAACAUCAAAUUAACAAAACAAGACAAAAACAAUAAAAUAGAUCAGACAAUUUCAUUAUCCCAUCUUUCCUUCACUUAUUUCCACGACCUCCUCACACCUCCCUUUUUGUAUUCCACUUCUGUUAAUUAUUUCAGCAAUUCCUUUCCAUCUUCCUCUGUUUUCUAUCCUAUAAUUAUCUUAACUCAUUCUAACCUUAUUCCCCCCCUUUAAUACUCUAUUAACCUAUCUGUACUUAAUUCCUUAUAAUAUUUCUACUAAAGCCAUAUAACUUCAUUUCAACAUUUUUCUAACAUUCAUUAAUUUUACAAUAUUUCUGUAGAUAGUCUUUAAACUUUUUCCAAUCUUCUUCCACCAACUCCUCUCCCUGGUCUCGGAUUCUGCCAGUCAUUUCCGCCAGUUCCAUGUAGUCCAUCAACUUCAUCUGCCAUUCUUCCUGGGUGGGCAAAUCUUGUGUCUUCCAAUACUUCGCGAUAAGUAUUCUUGCUGCUGUUGUUGCGUACAUAAAGAAAGUUCUAUCCUUCUUUGGUACCAAUUGGCCGACUAUGCCCAGGAGAAAGGCCUCUGGUUUCUUCAAGAAGGUAUAUUUAAAUACCUUUUCAUUUCAUUAUAAAUCAUCUCCCAGAAUGUCUUAAUCCUUGGGCACGUCCACCAAAGGUGAAAGAAUGUGCCUUCAGUCACAUUACAUUUCCAACAUUUAUUGUCAGGCAAAUGGUAAAUUUUUGCAAGCUUGACUGGUGUCAUGUACCACCUAUAAAUCAUUUUCAUUAAGUUUUCUCUUAAGACAUUACAUGCCGUAAAUUUCAUGCCUGUGAUCCAUAACUGUUCCCAGUCAACCAUCAUUAUAUUAUGUCCAACAUCUUGUGCCCAUUUAAUCAUAACUGAUUUCACCGUUUCAUCCUGAGUGUUCCAUUUCAACAGCAAGUUAUACAUUUUUGACAAAUUCUUGAUUUUGGAAUCUAACAAUUCUGUUUCCAAUUUUGAUUUUUCCACCUGGAAACCAACUUUUUUGUCCAAAUUGUAUGCCUCCAUUAUUUGGUAAUAAUGGAGCCAAUCUCACACUUUAUUUUUCAAUUUUUCAAAACUCUGCAGUUUUAGUCUGUCUCCAUCUUGUUCCAGAAUUUCCCAAUAUUUCGGCUAUUUGGCCUCCAUAUUGAGUUUUUUCUGUGCCUUCGCUUCCAUUGGUGACAACCAUCUUGGGGUUUUCUUUUCUAACAAAUCUUUAUAUCUUAUCCAUACAUUAAACAGUGCUUUUCUGACAAUAUGAUUUUUAAACACUUUGUGUGCUUUUACCUUAUCGUACCACAGAUAUGCAUGCCAACCAAAUACAUUAUUAAAACCUUCUAAAUCCAACACAUCAGUGUUUUCAAGUAGCAGCCAUUCUCUCAGCCAACAAAAAGCAGCUGAUUCAUAAUAGAGUUUUAGGUCUGGCAGGGCAAAUCCACCUCUUUCUUUAGCAUCAGUUAAUAUCUUAAAUUUUAUUUGAGGCUUCUUGCCCUGCCAAACAAAUCUGGAAAUAUCCAGAAUUUGUAAUGUUUGGAACAAGAACAACAUCCUUGGCAGCACAUUCAUUUUUUAUCACAGCAAUUCGGCCCAACAAUGAUAACUUCAAAUUUGACCAUAUUUCUAAGUCUUUUUUCACUUCAAUCCAACAUUUUUCAUAAUUAUCCUUAAAUAAAUUUACAUUUUUAGCAGUCAUAUUAACCCCUAAAUAUUUCACUUUCUUAACCAAUGUUAGUCCUGUCUCUUCCUGAAAUUUCUCUCUCUCAUUUGCAGUUAAAUUUUUCUCUAAAACCUUAGUUUUCAUCUUAUUCAGCUUAAAACCUGCUACUUGCCCAAAUUCUUGAAUCAGUUCCAAUACCCUUUUUGUGCUAGAUUCUGGUUCCUGUAGGGUCAAUACUAGAUCAUCAGCAAAUGCUUUCAAUUUAUACUGUUUAACUCCUACUUGUAUACCUUUGAUCUCUUGGUCCUUUCUUAUCAUAUUUAACAAAACCUCAAGGACCGAUAUAAAAAGCAGUGGAGAAAUUGGGCAACCUUGUCAUGUCCCUUUCUCAAUCUUAAACUCUUCUGUCACUACAUUAUUCACAAUUAAUUUUGCCUUUUGUUCUGAAUAAAUUGCACCUAUACCAUUUUCAAAACCUUGGCCUACCCCCAUCCCCUGUAGGUUCUUCUUCAUAAAGCUCCAAGAAAUGUUGUCAAAGGCUUUCUCCGCAUCCACAAAUAUCAAGACAGCCUUGGUAUUAAUAUUCACUUGAAGUUUUUCUAAAAUAUUAAUUAUGUUCCUCGUAUUGUCAGACAAAUGUCUGCCCAGGAGAAAGCCCGCUUGAUCUUUAUGAAUUUCUUCUACUAACACCUUUUUUAAUCUUCUGGUCAAAAUGUCUGCAAAAAUUUUAUAAUCCACAUUUAGCAGCGAUAUGGGGCGGUAGUUUUUGAGCUGAAUAAUUCCCUGAUUCUGUGGCAGCUGAUCCCAUAGAGGUGGAAUUUGGAUCUUGUUCUUGCAACCAUGACUACUAAUCAGCAUAGGAAACAUCAUCUGAGAAUAGAAUCCAGAGACUGCUGAGAUCUUGGCACACUGCUAUGAAGCACCACUAUACCAGGCACCCCAGAAGGUAAAGGGGAGUCCUUUCUCUUUCCCUUGUCAUGGCUUGACAUUGGAGAGGAGCAGUGGAACACAAACACCUCUCCUUCCCUGUCUUUCUGACCCACCAGAAGCCUGGUAAAAGGCAUGGGAGCAUGGUGGCAGCUGAUGCCCCUUGGGACUGGUAGAGGAGAUGUGAGGGAGGCCAACUCCUUCUCUUCCCUGUGGAGUGCCCAAAGGGCAACACUGGGACGGAGGAGGAGAAAGCCAACCGUCACACAUGCCCCCCUGGACUCACUGUAAGAAAGAAGGCAGGCAGGUGGGGUGGCUGGCUGAGAUUUGUGGGGCAGUGCCCCAUUCACCCUAAUGGACCAGCCCCCACUGUGUGGAAGCUGAGAAAAGGAGUGGCUUGUGGGUACAUAGGGGCUGGGAAGGAGGGAAUAAGUCGAUCUAUUUCCUCAUUUUUGUUGUUGGGGAGAAGGAAGAAGCUCAACCUAUUUCUCAGUGGGGCCCAUGUCAGUUGGGGAAAAUUUGCCCAUAUCUAGAAAAAAUAGGUUGACUCAGGCCACAUGGUGUGAUAAUGGCUUCUUAAAUCACAUGGCUCACACCAGAUUGACAGAAGUUUACUGCAGUCACUAGUUGGUAUCGGGAAUUCAAUGGCUCCCCCUCAAGCUUAGGAGUUACGAGCAUCCUCACCACCCCCCUCAAAGUGCCUUGGGGUUUGCUUUCAAGGCUUCUCCGCAGGCCUGCUGCUGCUGCUACUUUGGUGGCAGUCACAAGAACACAGAAGAAGAGCCUUCUUGUUUGGAGCUGCUGCUAGAACAAGUUGCACUGCGGCCAGAACUGCUUUUGCAUAGCAAAGAACAGGCUCAGGCUUUUAAAGCAGCAUAGAGUUCAUUGUCCUUUAGGAUCGGAGGUGGUAUACAGGAUAGCCACUAGUAUGCAGAAUUCUGUAAACUCUAUGCUUUCCUUUGUGUGUGUGAUUUGUUAGAAAGUUUGCUUUAACCAAGCUACUAGGACUUUCAUGAGAUCGUUCCAUCCCUCAACCUAAACUGUUGAUUUUUCAAGGGAAUUGUAAUAAAAAUGUGCAUUCUUAACUAAAUGAAAGUCUGUACUAUGCAAAUAAUAAUGAGUCUGCCUUGCAAGUAAUUCUUGCCUCUGUUCAAAAAUUACCCAGGGAAUAAAAUUUAAAGAGAGAGAAAAGGGCUAAAUGAGAAAAGCAAAAACUCCCAUUUUUUGUUAGAAGCAAAUGAAACUGAUAUUGAAAAAGUUUUCCAUUCCUCCCCAGAACUGACAGACUAGCACAGUUCUUCCAGAAUGACCAAGUUCAGGAUCCAGUAGUAUGGCCUAAGCCUGUAGAAGCACAUGGAUUUGUCCAGCAGGGACACCACUGAGUGGAUUUGGCAGUGAGGUGUGAUACCUCCAGGAAUCCUCUGCAUCCUCCUCCCCAUCACAGGCAGACUGGCCACCUGGACGCCAUCUUGAGCAGGGAGCAAAGUUGCUCCUCCACAUGCACAAUGUGAACACAUCAGGCCCUCCUGGAUGCUCCCACUGGCCUGGACCUUCUCUCUGUUGUCACAAUCACUCCUGCAGUGGGAUCAUUUUUAUACCCUACCCCAUUUCUUAUGUAUGUUUCCUUUUAAACAAUCAAGAUGGCUCUUUCUCUAGCUAGCACCUGAUCAGGGUGGUUUAUAGGCAAAUUACACUUCCAGAGUUCAAUUUAAGACUUUUGCAGCAAAACCAACAAAGAGUCUUGUGGCACCUUUAAAGAGAAAGUUGAUGGAGUGGCUAAUGGCCCUUCAAAGAGCUCUCUAUGGCUGUAUUUCUAAGCCUGCCUAGUCAGAAGUAAGUCCCAUUGAAUUCAAUGGGGUUUGUUCCCAGGUAACUGAGAUUAGGAUUGCAGGCUACCUUGCUAGCCUUAUUUCACAAUUCAAAAUAAACUUGUCAUCUUGUCUCCUUUCCAGCACUCGGGCACUAGGGACUGUUUAGCAAGCCUGUUAGUAUUUUGCUCUUUGUGUCCUUGAUUGUAUGAAUUACUCCUUCACACAGCUGUAGUGCUAUUUAACCACAUAUUUGUUGUUGUUUUUAUUGCAACGUUUUAUUUUGUAAAUGCAUAUUUUAUUUAGAAAAUGUGUAUGUACAGAAAUAUAUCACUCAAACUAAUUUAUAUUCCAAAUAUUGGAAUUUGGCUGAGAAGUGGGAUGAGAUUUUAAAUGGACACAAAUUCAGAUGGGUCCCCCCAACCCACCCCACUUUGACAAAGUGGCUCAGACUUUUAACUGAGUAGCACACAGAUCAAGUCUACAGGUAACAAAAGAGAUCACCUCUUUCAUGUGAAAAGAGCAAUAAUGAAUGCUGAAUCCCCCUGGCUUUUAAAAUUCACAGUAGGAAGUAGAUUAAGGAUGCAAUCCUAACUCAGUUUACCUGGCAGUAAGCCCUGCUGAAUUCAGUGAGAAUUGUGUCUUGAGUAGGCAUGGUUAGGAUUGUAGUCUUGGUGCAUACAGGCUGGCUCUGUCGAAGAAACAAUUUAUACAAAGUCAACAAACAACACGUCAGAAAAACAGAAAGCAAUAAGGAACCUGUUAGGACAGUGGCAAUAAAUAGGUACUGUAAAUAAAGUAGAUUACAAAGUGAGUUACAUAUCUAUUUUCACAUAAUGUGCAUUUUAAGACCCCAAUAGCAACCUUUAUUUGUAAUCAAAAAGUAUUCAUAGCAAGUGAUGGGGAUCAAAUGGGUGGACAGAAGGAAAUCCACUUACAGUUCAUUUUCAAUAGAUUCCUCUGACAUCCCUUGGUGGCAGUUAUUUUUGGCAGAGGGCAUACCAAUCUCCCUCUGCCCCAACUCAGGAUGCUGUCAUGAUCUAGGUCUGUUUGUGUGCUUAUGAAAGGGAACAAAGAAUAGAGAAUGGAGUUAGAGAUUUGGUGAGAGGAAAGCAGAGACAGUGCCUUCUGAAGCUCUAAUGUAGGCUGGUGUGGUUGACGGUUGGAGCAUUUCAGCUGGCUGCCUCCGCAUGCAUGCAGCCUGCAUAUUUGUGAAUUAACUCCACUAUUAUAAAAGGUCAUCAUGGGCUUUCACUGACCUUCUUCCCAACCAAACCUUGUAAGUCCUUGGAACUCCACUGCUUGGUGAAGGUCCUGAAAUAAAUUCUUCAUACAUACGGACUUCCGGGUUAGCGCCAUCGGCGAAUGGCGGAGUUCCUCCGACCGGAGGAACUGGCUCCGUGGAAACUGGGUCUUCCCUCCGCAGCGAAGGUGGGGACCCGCUAGAAAUCCCAGGCGGAAGAAGCCUGGGAACGUGGGGUUCAGCAGGGCACCUACUCACGGGGAACCCCUUUUUGGGAUUCCGGAGUGAAGUGGGGUGAGCAGCGCGGUGCUGCGAACUGACUGCUACUUUCACGGAGUGAAGCCGCACAGCCAUCGCCGGAGAGCGCUGACUUUUUCCUGUGGACAAUUGGAUUUAAAACAAGUACCCGUGAGUAGAAACGGAAAAUUAGAUCAAGAAACAUCUUAAUUUGACAUCGAAGCGGGAAGGUUCAAAACAGGAAGUCCACCUUCCGCUUUUUGUAUAUAGACUAAAGCAAAAACCUUGUAAGCUAAAGCCUGGAAAGUCGUUAAAAAAGCCUAAAUUUCCUUCAUUUAUAACUACUGAAACCCCUUGGAAGCAGGAGAAAAGGGGGGACUUUGUGUAACGCCUGCAGGAGAGGGAGUGAAGAAAGAUAAGUUUCCACCGUCUCUAACCUGGGAAUGGGGUGUCAGAGACAGAAAUUGUUGGAGAGGUUCAUUGACUGUGAAUGGAAUACUUUGACAGAUAGCUGAAGAAGAGAAAUAAACUGAUUCCAAUGUUGCCUUUUGCAUUCCAAAGAAACAAAAUAUCUGAAAAAUGAAAGUAAUUUUCCUUUGUUGGACUUGCCUUGAAAAAUGGAUACAAAUAGAAAUUGUCUCCUCUAGAGGGAGCCUGCUAAAUUGUUGCUGCAGUCUACUUGAGGAUUCCACAGCUGUGAGAUUAAGAUCGUGGGAUUAGUCCUUUUGACCUUGACUAAAUAUGAGCUGGAAGGAAGUAUUGGUGCUUGCUUUAUGCAAGACAAGUGCUUUGUUAGAACAGAUGCAUGAGAAGAUGGAUUUGAUGAAUGAGAAAAUGGAUUCGAUGACUGUUGUGGCCAAUAACUGUGGACAAAUAGUGAAUAGUGAUACAGAAACCAUCCAGGGUCCAACUCAAGAACCUGUAUUGAUUGGGCAAGUGCAGAAGAUAAUGGAGGAGGCUGCAGUUGCACCUCAAAUAAUACAAAUGGAGAGGCCCAAGGCCCUACAGAAGCAUAAGCCGCUGUUUUUGAAGAUUGAAGUUGGAGUGGGCCAGGGGGAGUCUGGAGCUGAGGAGGCUUUUAACUUUGGAGAGACUUCGAAAUAUGCUCGUAAAUAUUUUUUGGAUUACAUUGAUGACUGUGGGGAGUGGGACUGUGGGGAAUGGGCUGGUUUGAUGAAGGGAGAUGGAGAUAACUUUGGGUUGGAACCCCCCAGAGACCUACUCCUCAAUGAGAAAGGAAAGAAAUUAAGAAAGAGACCAACAAAAGACAAGGAAAAGUGCAAGUAUAAACAAGAAGAAGAUCUGCAGAAGGGACAUGGAAGAGACUUAAGGGCCUUGGAUAUAAGACUUCCAGGUUGAUGGACUAGAUGGAAUGGACAGUAAGGACUGACACGACCCGAGACCAGGAAGAAGAGACGUUGGAUGAAGACUGGAAGAAAAUUUAUAAAGAAAAUUUUUUAUUUAGGGAAUCAGCCUAAAAUUAAUGAAUAUUAGGGAAAAUGUUGGAAUGAAACUAUAUGACUCUAGCAGAAAUGAUAUUAGGAGUUAUGUAUAACUGAGUAUUAAGUUUUAAGCUUUAAGGUAUUUUAUGGUAAGAUAAGGUUAAAGAAAUUAAGGUAAUUUGAAUAACAGAAUAUGGGGAAAGAUGGAAAGGAUCUGUUGAGUUAAUUAAUAGGUUAAAUUGUUAAGAUAAAUUAUCUAAUAAAAAUUGAGAAAGAUGGAAAGAAUUUGCUGAAACAACUAACUAAACUAGAAUACAAAAAGGGAGGUGUGAGGAGGUCAAUGAAACAAGCAAAUGGAAAUUAUGGAUAUGCAACAUGGGAUUUGUGUCUUUUUUCACUUUUUUAUUUUCUUUUUUGCUGUAUUGUUGUAUUGGUUUUUAUGUUUUGCGUUUUUCCUUCUUUUUAUGUAUUGCAGUGUUAUUUUUUAUUUUUUAUUUUUUGUAAUUCUGAAAUUAUUAAUAAUUUUUUUAAAAAAAAAAUAAAUUCUUCAUACAUACACCCCCAUUUCCACUGCUAUACUUCUGUGGUAAAAUUUCAGGGAAACUACUGUAUUUUUCGCUCUAUAAGACGCAUCAGACCACAAGACGCACUUAAUUUUUGGAGGAGGAAAACAAGAAAAAAAAUAUUCUGAAUCUCAGAAGCCAGAAAAGCAAGAGGAAUUGCUGUGCAGUGAAAGCAGCAAUCCCUCUUGCUGUUCUGGCAUCUGUGAUAGCUGCGCAGCCUGCAUUCGCUCCAUAAGGCGCACAUACAUUUCCCCUUACUUUUUAGGAGGGGAAAAAUGAGUCUUAUAGAGCAAAAAAUACGGUAAUUGCCUUUGCCUCUGGGUAGUUUCCAGAAAACAAUGCUCUGACUGUAGAGUCAAGAAAGUCAGCUCCUUCCUCUGUAGCAGAUUAAGUUUUUCGGGAGAAAGAACAUAUUGGGUAGAAUGACAGCAUGUUGUCACUUCUGCUUGCCAAAGGUCUCAAUCAUUCUGGGAUCUUUUUCAAGUAGAAGAGAAAUAUGUAGCUGCAAGAAGUGGCUAGCUUCUUUAUAACGUGGAAAGGUUUCACCACAAUGAAAUUGUUAGUAGCAUCAUUAGCAAAGGCCUUUCCCAAUCAUACCUCAGUGUAGUCGGUUUCCAAACUAGUGUAGGAAAUACAAGGAUGGAAACAAGAAAACCGUGAUACAUAACCUAAUGACCCAAAGGGGAAGCUUUCUUCCAUUAAAAAUAAACAACACAGAGAACUGCAGGUGAGGAUUAAGUUACUUGUGAGAUGCAGUAAAAGUAACUGAAUAAUGAGGAAAAUAAAAUUCAUUAUUCUGUCAUGAGGAGUAAAAGAAUCUCAGGGUUAGAUGAGGGCAGCUCCUCUCAAAUCUAGACUUUGAGGAUGUGUUCUCCAGUUCAGAGUAAAGCAGUUCCUGCUAUGUACUGCAGGAAGUACCACACUGCUGACCAGGUGAGGACCGAAGUACUUAUUCCUAGGAUAUGUAUCAAGCCUGGUCAAUAACAAGACUUUAAAGUACCUGCCAGUUGCAUAGACUGAUGUUGCAGCUCCUCAACCCCUUUACCAUUUGAGAAAAGUAAUUUUGAAAGACUAGGACACAGAUUCUGAAAUUCCUAGUUUGGUCCUAAAGUCUCUGAUGCAUGUGUCAGCACACACAUAAAACUUGGUAGUAGUAUUUUUCCAAAAGACUUGGGAAAGAAAUCCACCAGAUUUUAUUUUCCCUGCUGAUAGGGGAAGCAUUUUAAGCAUGUUAAGGCAAAAUUGCAGGCAGGGUGGAAGAAGAAGAGGAGGAGGAAGAAUAAGAAUAAGAAUAAGAAGUAGAAGAGGAAGAAGAAGAGGAAGAAGAAGAAGAUGAAGAAAAGUUUGGACUUGAUAUCCCGCAUUUCACUUAAGGAGUCUCAAAGCGGCUCACAAUCUCUUUUCCCUUCCUCCCCCACAACAAACUGUGAGGUGAGUGGGGCUGAGAGACCUCAGAGCAGUGUGACUAGCCCAAGGUCACCCAGCAGCUGCAUGUGGAAGAGCAGGGAAGCGUAUCCGGUUCACCAGAUUACGAGUCCAGCACUCUUAACCACUACGGCACACUGGUUUUCUUAGUAGGGUAUGCUGCGACUUAGAAUGAAUCCAGAAUCUAAGGUGAAGCAGAGUGCCUUGGAAUGUUUAUGGAUGGACUUUCCCAAUGCAAAGUGGGACCCUUUUAUGAGGUACCCCAUGGAGAAGCAGAGACCGCUGAAGUGACUUGUGAUGCUUACUUAACUCAAAAUGUCCAGUAAAGUGAUGCAACGCUGAUGAGAUAAUGUGUCUGAAAAAGCAAAACUAAGCUUACCAUAUGUGGGGAGAGUGAGGAAAGGUUAGUGCUGGAAUGGCUUCACCAGGGCUCUCCAAUCCCAGUGAUUUAGGGGAGAAUGUAGAAGAUGGAUAAAUUUGUGUCACAUUCCCUUUGCUCUUUGCAAGUUAUAUGUGUCUGCAAAUAUACCGUAUUUUUCGCCCCAUAGGACGCACCGCCCCAUAGAACGCACCUAGAUUUUUGGGGGGGGAAAUAAAGAAAAAAAAAUUAUUUCUCCCCCAGGCGCGGGGCUGGCGCAGGGGAAGCCCGAGCUUCCCCCGACCCCAGCCCCCAGAACAGGCUGCUGCCUGCAAGCCUUGCACGCCCCGCGGGACCUCCCGCCGGGCGCGCGAGGCUUGCGGACAUCUGCCCGAAGCACGGGGUGUGCUCUGCAGCGCGCCCCGUGCUUCAGGCUGCAGGCUGCCGCCCCAAGCCUUGCAUGCCCGGUGGGACCUCCCGUCGUGCGCGCGAGGCUUGCAGAUAGCUUCCUGAAGCCUGGAGAGCGAGAGGGGUCGGUGCGCACCGACGCCUCUCGCUCUCCAGGCUUCAACGAAAGCCUGCAUUCACCCCAUAAGACGCACACACAUUUCCCCUUCAUUUUUGGAGGGGGAAAAGUGCGUCCUAUGGGGCGAAAAAUACGGUAAUAUUUAGGCUGCACACCAGGUCAGGCAUAUUCAGAGGGCCUUGGAUGAGUCAGGUAUACACAGCCACAGAUUGCUACCAAUCAGGCUGGACUGGCCCAGAGUGGGCUGUGGGGGUCAGGAGUUGGGGCUUCUGGAAGGCGGGGGUGGGGAAACCAUGCAAAAAGACUGAGACGUACCUGACUGGCAGCUAAGUCUUCCUGAUAGAAGGUAGGUCCAAUGCUGUGGCUCUCCUUUUUGGCUGACACCCUGCCCCACAAGAUCAAUGUGUCUGCUCCUCGACAGCUGUUAAGCGGAGGCAUCAAUCCUAGGGGUGCAGGUGCUGCUUCAUAAGCUGCUUUCCUGCAGGAAAGCUGUGUUGUGACCACCACACUGGAACACACCCUCAUCCUUACUGGCUGGAAAUCAGAAGAACCUGACUGUGCACAGUGCAGUCUCUGUUCCUUUGCAAGCAGCACAUGCCAGGGCAUAGCAUGGAGGUGCCAGGGGGUCCGUGGCCCUGAGCAUACAAUUCUGAGGGGGUGCAAACCAGGUAUCCCCAGGGCAGCCUGGCUCAUCUCUGUAAGCAUAGUGGGGAUUCGCUCACUAAGGGCCAUGUCAGCCAGCCAGGCUCUCACCUGCAUGGGUGGGCAGGCAGCGUAACACAGCACAGCUUGGCUCCAGUGAGGGAGAUCACGCUGGCAGCAUUGGCCAAUCAGAUGCCCAUCAGAGGAAACCCGCAAGCAGCCCUCUCCCCUUCUGUGGCUUCCAGCAACUGGUAUUCAGAAGCAUCGCUGCCUCCAAUCCUGAGGGCAGAGCUGAGCCACCAUCGCCAGUAGCUAUUGACAGCCAGCUGGUAAGCAGGCUUGGUAAACCUUGUUAUAACUGUUUAUUAAAAUAAGGUUCAACCUCUGUUUUUAAAGGUCUUAGUCCUGCUACCGAUUUGUUUUGGAGAAGGCUCCAGACCAGGGAGGGUGACUUCCAGAGUGGCCCACAACGAAUGGGCCUGAUGCAAGGGCCACCAGUCAGAGCCACAGGGUGGACUGGGGAGGGUGAGGGGACGGUAUGCACAGCCCUGAUAAUAAUUUACCAGAGACACCCACCAGAAAAUAUGGACUGCCUCUGGUAAUCAUUAGUAGGAACCGUUGUAUCCAUGUUCAAGAAGGAAAAUCAGGAAUAUAUGUUAAAGGUUUGUGCACGCACUAGGAUUGCCAGCUCACUAGAAAUUACCGUAAGUGGAUAAGCUCCCUUGUGUAGUUUUAAGAUCAACAAAAUCAGCGGGUGAGGGUUUUCAAGAGCUGGAGAAAAGCAUAGUCCCCUGCCAAGAUCCGCAAAAGUCGCUGCUGUGUGAGUCGCUGCUCACAGUUAACCCACACUCACCUCUCCUGAACUGCCUUUUUAGUUGCUGCCUUUUUAGUUCCUGUGAAGCUUCCUGGGGAUAAUCUAAUGUGUGUGCAAUCCUUUGCAUAGUCCAUCUCAAUUCUGAAAUACUUAUUACUAUGACAGGCUCAACCGGCUUUGUUAAAAUAGAGAGGGAGACAGAGACAGAAAUCUUAGGCACCUGUCAGCAUUAAAUGCGAAACAUCAAGCUGCUGCUUAGACUAGGGCUUCACGUUCCUGUUUGCGAUUUAACCCCUGCUAUUAUCGCCAACUUCUGACAGCCAAAGAAUCAGCAUACCUGUCUACAGAUAAUAGGGAAAGGAGCUACAGUCCCCCUCCUGGUUUAAGCAUCAGAUACUUUUGGCACAUAAUUUUCACCAGGCAAAGGCAAGGGCUGUCUCAUUUUCUCCUUCUAAUCUUCUGAAAUGCUUGUGUGAUUCCACCCCCCUCCAACUUUGUCCGAGCAUUUUCUGAAAGUGUCUAAUUUUGUCUUGAUGGAAAUGUAAUUUCUUCGUUCACUAAUACAACCCAUUCCUUUUUAUCCACUCCUCGUCUAAUUUUUAAAGAUGAUGUCUUAUCUCGAGCUCAUUAUUAUUACACUUGUCACUCAAAAUGAAAGGAGGAGGGAAAGAAUCGGAAUGAUGGCUCCCUGAUGAAUACCCACCAUGCUUAUAGAAAUUGUGUGUGUGAGUGUUCAUUCUGAAGUGUCGUUGUGGGGGUGGGGAGAUAAAAGUAAAUUCAAAAGCAACAAACUGCAUUAAAUAAUGAGAAAACUGCAGCUUGAAGGGCCAACUUUCUCUUAUUCCUGAACUUUGUUCCUAAUAAGCCCAUUUUCAUUCAUCCAGACCCUAGGGGACUAUCCAUCUUCAAAACUGCAACAUGCUGUAAAUAUUACAGCUCCUUCCUAGAACAAAGGCAGGUCUCUUUAUUUUCUACUGUUCUUGCACAUAGAGGUGUGCAGAACUUGAUAUCUGCCAUAGUUUCAGAACCCAACUCUUACAACAAACAAAUUGUCCUCAGAUUAAUGCAGAUGCAUUAAAAACCAUUCCAUCACUGGUGGCAAAGCUUUAUUUUUCAGAAAGUCUGCAUUCUUCAUGGCUCCCUCUCAGUACCAAUGUGAGAAAGAUACUGGUUCAAAUCUUGCUUCUGCCAUGAAUUCAGGAUGGGUGUGGACAUAGGCUGAAAUGAGAAAUUACUUUAAAUGGAUGUUUGCCACUGAAACCAACAGCUACCAGGUCCAACUCUCCACAUUCUUGCUUGAGAAAUUUGUAGUGUGGCAUUAUCAUCAUCAUCAGGCAAUAGUGUGGCAUGGGGCUGGAGAAGCACAUCAUGGUUCCCUAGCUGGACAUUACCAGGCUACUGGAUAUGCACCUGGAAAUGUAGGCAGCACACAUGCACUUUUUAAUGCAGCAUUCUACCAGGCUGCAGCAGAAGGAGAAAUGGGAAAGGGUUCACCUGGUAUUUGGGACAAAGCAGUCCUUCUGCUUGCUGCAGCCAGCUUCUCCUUCAGGGACUCUCAGAUUUCAUACGACCACCCAAACUCCAAGCCUUGCCCUGCCACUGCUUUUCCAUGUAUGCAAAUUCAAGUAGUUCUCAUCACUUGGGUGUGUUAACUAAAUAUAUGCAAGUAUUAUCACAUGCAUAGGAGGUUCCUUACCAAUGACGAUAGAUAAGCAACCAUGGAUUAGCUGCUCUCCCUGUGCAAAGGUCAGAGGGGGCAGGGUUUCUGUUGAGGCAGGUGAUUAGCUGUGGGAGGAGCUUAUCAGAGUUUGCAGGGCAGCGGCGCGUGCAGUUUGAUCCAUCUUUUAGAUUUAGGGGAGCUAGUCUCAAACGUUUGUUGGGGGAGACCUAGGUUUUUUGGGGGGGAGUUAUUUGUCCUGUUUUCACGCUUUUUAUGAUGGAGGACCGCUGUAGCCACCCCCAACGACACGUUCUCAAGAUGGAGGGGGAGGGAACAGCUGCAGUCACCUGCGGUUCUGCGCAAUGUUUGCCAUCUUGCCAAAGGUUGCAGGCAGCUUUACCUGCAGCAAUUGCAUGUUGAUUGCCCUCUUAGACAACAAAGUCCAGCAACUGGAGGAACUUGUAGUUACGCUCCAAAGAAUUAGAGAGCUGGAGCUCUUCUUGGAAGCAACAGAGCACACCGUCUCCACCAAGGAGGAGACAGGGGUCUCCCCUGAGAAGGAGGCUAGUUCACCAACACAGGAGCCAGAUAUAUGGAGAAACGUGACUCAAAGAAGUAGGAGGCCCAGGGUUCGCUCUGAUUGUUUAGAAAUACACAAUCGCUUUGAGGUCCUCUCCCCUAGCAUGGAAGACGAGCAGACUCCAUUUGAGGAUCUCUCCCUCAUUACAGUCGAUCAGGUAUAUGAAGACAAGCAGCAAAGUCAGUCCUCAGGGUAUGUGCAGGCGACCUUGGAACAGACAGCUCAUGGAAGAGGAGGCGUGUAGUGGUGAUAGGGGAUUCCCUACUGAGGGGAACAGAAGCAGUGAUCUGUGGGCCUGACAAGAUGUCUCGGGAAGUGUGCUGUCUCCACGGGGCUAAGAUCCAAGAUGUAACUGAACGACUGCAAGGAAUCAUAAAAACCACUGACAAAUACCCCCUCCUCUUGGUUCAUGUGGGAACCAAUGACACUGCAAGCAAUAGCCUCCAGAAGAUCAAAAGAGACUACGAGGCUCUGCGCAGGAAAUUGAAGCAAUUAAAUGCACAAAUUGUCAUCUCAUCUGUCCUCCCAGUUGAACGGCGUGGCCCAGGGAGAGAGGGAAAAAUAGUGGAAGUGAACAGCUGGCUUCGCAAAUGGUGUAAACAGGAAUGGUUUGGAUUCUUAGAUCACGGACUGCAGUUUCUUGAAGAUGGACUUCUGGCAAGCGAUGGGCUGCACCUCACAACGGUUGGGAGGAAUGUUUUUGCCAAAAAUCUCAGAAACCUCAUCAGGAAGGCUUUAAACUGACUAAUGUGGGGGAGGGAGACAGUGCUCCUGAAGGUAGGAGUCUAUCAAUUGAUGAAGAUUAUCAUCCAAAUGUCAUAGACCAAAUGGAGCAAACAGCAUGCAGACCUAGUGGUGGGAGGAAAAAAUCCUUAAAUAAGAGACACGGGGGAAUGAUUAAUGGACUUCAAUGUCUGUACACUAAUGCGCAAAGCAUGGGAAAUAAACAAGAUGAGCUUGAGCUCUUGGUACAGCAAACUAAAUAUGACAUAAUAGGCAUCACUGAAACCUGGUGGCAUAAGUCCCACGAUUGGAAUGUAAUAAUGGAGGGAUACAAUCUAUUUCAGAGAAACAGACCAGACAAGAAAGGAGGAGGAGUGGUGUUAUAUGUCAGGGAUGUGUAUACCUGUGAAGAGAUCCAAGAUUUAGAACCUCAAAGCCAAAGUGAGAGCAUUUGGGUCAAAAUUAAGGGAGAGAAGAAUAACAGUGACCUCAUUGUGGGAGUUUACUAUAGAUCCCCAAGCCAAACGGAGGACAUAGAUGAUGCCUUCCUGGAACAGAUGGCCAAGCAUGCAAAAGGAAGGGAGAUAGUAGUAAUGGGGGGCUUCAAUUACUAUUUGUUGGAUGUCAAACUCAGCCAAGAGCAUAAGGUCAAACAGAUUCCUUAUGAGGAAUGGCUAAGGGAGCUGGGCAUGUUUAGCCUGGAGAAGAGGAGGUUAAGGGGUGAUAUGAUAGCCAUGUUCAAAUAUAUAAAAGGAUGUCACAUAGAGGAAGGAGAAAGGUUGUUUUCUGCUGCUCCAGAGAAGCGGACACGGAGCAAUGGAUCCAAACUACAAGAAAGAAGAUUCCACCUAAACAUUAGGAAGAACUUCCUGACAGUAAGAGCUGUUCGACAGUGGAAUUUGCUGCCAAGGAGUGUGGUGGAGUCUCCUUCUUUGGAGGUCUUUAAGCAGAGGCUUGACAACCAUAUGUCAGGAGUGCUCUGAUGGUGUUUCCUGCUUGGCAGGGGGUUGGACUCGAUGGCCCUUGUGGUCUCUUCCAAUUCUAUGAUUCUAUGAUUCUAUGAUUCUAUGUCUCAUUUCUCUUUUCUAAUACAUGUUUUGGGUCAACUAAAUCCAAGCAGCAGCUGUCCGCAGCUCCCGGCGAUGCAAAUGUCUUCUGAGUAGGCAGGCUCUAAGCUCUUUACUAGAACUGUGAAAACUUGCCAUCUGUGCAAAAGUCAGGUCUUAGGGGGAACAUGGUGGUUUGGAGGGGGAGGGGACCUAAAGACAGAUUAAUGCUCUUCUUACUCACAAGUGACAAGUAAGUUGAAACAUAAGCAGUUUGGGAAGAAUAGACAAAGAUUUUGAAAAGAAAUUCAAAGUUCCUGAUAACAAUAAUAUUGUAAUCAGGAAAGUUUCGUUCUGGUUUCUUUAAGUACUGCCUCAGUCAUGAAGGAUGGAAAUAGACUAAAGGUAAAGGGACCCCUGACCAUUAGGUCCAGUCAUGGCCGACUCUGGGGCUGCGGCGCUCAUCUCGCUUUAUUGGCCGAGGGAGCCGGCAUACACCUUCCGGGUCAUGUGGCCAGCAUGACUAAGCCGCUUCUGGCGAACCAGAGCAGCGCACGGAAACACCGUUUACCUUCCCGCCAGAGUGGUACCUAUUUAUCUACUUGCACUUUUGACAUGCUUUCAAACUGCUAGGUUGGCAGGAGCUGGGACCCAGUAACGGGAGCUCACUGCGUCACAGGGAUUCGAACUGCCGACCUUCUGAUCGGCAAGUCCUAGGCUCUGUGGUUUAACCCACAGCGCCACCCGCGUCCCUGGAAAUAGACUAGUCUGUAGCAAUUUUGUUUUUCACCACUUCUGUUGUAACUGCUGAGGAUGCUAUCAGGCCACUGCACAGUGACAUCAAUCUUUUAGAAUAGUGUUCCUUUUUUAUUUUGCUUAUUUUAAGACCUGUGUCCCACCCAAAAUAUGUAGCAGAUUUCAACAAUUUUAACGUAACAAUUGAAAAUGCUGUUGUGAUACAACAGAAUGCAUUUAAACCACCACAUAAUGUAAGAUAGCAGCAGAUCACAUUAGAUGACACCAGCAGCCUAUCAAGCAAGGCCAGUGAAAGCCCGGCUCCGCAACAACACCUGUCUCUCACCUCCAGUGGAAAACCUCUAAAGCUCAGGGGGCCACAGAUGGCCCUGCUGUCAAUGUAUUCAUUGUUACAUAGGUAGCCAUGAGGAGGUUAUGUCAACAUUUGUGGCUGAAUGGGCUUGAUAUUCAUAUAUAUUGGACCCUUGCUGUGCUUACUGGAUCACCAGAAGUUCACAUGCAAAUAGUCAGUAGGCCUGGUGACACAUAGCCUAAGCAGGUUCUCCGUUGGUCCCUGUCUCCAGAACGUCUGAAAAUCAUUUCUUGCAUACGCCCAAGACGUUUGGAGGGCUCCUCCAGUUUCACCCAGUGGUCUUUCAGUCAACUAUGGGUUUCAUAGAAAUGCUAUAUAUAUGGUAUGGGAAAAAUACAAAAGAUAUUUGGAACAGAAAACCCCAAGAUGGAACUCUCCACUAGAAGCAAUCACUAUUAAAAAAAUAAAAAAAAAUCAAAGAGAUCUGGAUAACGUAAAACACAAUAUUAAGGGAGGAGGAGGGUCAACUAUUAUUGAUAAGUUAUGACAAAAUAAAAGAUCACUUUUCUAGUUGGCUAGAUUACUUCCAGGUGAAUGAAGUGUUCAGAGAGGACAAGCAGAUAGGUUUUGAAAAGGAGCCUUCAAGAUUUGAAAGAGAACUACUGAAUAGUAAAACCAAAAUAAUCGCAAAAAUGUAUAGACUUCUUUUAGACUAUGAAGUAAUGGAUGAGGAGGUUAAGGCUUCAAUGAUAAAGUGGGCCCAAGAUGUGGGCCGUCCAAUUAUGCUAAACGACUGGGAAAACUUAUGGAACGCAAAUUUGAAAUUUACAGCCAGCUAGAUGCGGGUGGCGCUGUGGGUUAAACCACUGAGCCUAGGGCUUGCCGAUCAGAAGGUUGGCGGUUCGAAUCCCCACGAUGGGGUGAGCUCCCAUUGCUCAGUCCCUGCUCUUGCCAACCUAGCAGUUCAAAAGCACGUCAAAGUGCAAGUAGAUAAAUAGGUACCGCUCCAGCAGGAAGGUAAAUGGCGUUUCUGUGCGCUGCUCUGGUUCGCCAGAAGCGGCUUAGUCGUGCUGGCCACAUGACCCAGAAGCUGUACGCCGGCUCCCUUGGCCAAUAAAGCAAGAUGAGCACCGCAACCCCAGAGUCGGCCAUGACUGGACCUAAUGGUCAGGGUCCUUUACCUUUACCUAUAACAUAAGAGAGAACAUGAUGAAAAUGGCCCAUAGGUGGUACCUCACUCCUUCCAGAUUAUCAAGAAUGUAUAAAAAUUUGGCGAAUGCUUGUUAGACAUGUGAAGGAAAUAACAGUGACAUGAUCCACAUGUGGUGGACGUGUGAAAAGAUUAAGAUUUUUUCGGGAAAAAUAUACGAUGAAUUUAAAAAGGUGAUGGGGAUAGCCUUCAUUAAAAAACCGGAGGCAUUCCUAUUAAGUAUUUUAGACAAAGAGAUCCCAAAAAAUUCAAGAGAGUUAUUCUUGUAUGCCACUGCAGCGGCUCAAAUACUAGUGGCCAAGGGAUGGAAAGAUCAGGAGGCUCCUAAAAUAACAGAUUGGCAAAUUAAAUUACAGGAAUUUGUGGAGAUGGCUCCAUUGACUAGCAAACUCAGAGGAAACUCAAAGCAAAAAUUUGCGGAAAAAUGGGAUGGUUAUAGAAAAUAUGUUCAAAAAUACAGUAAUAGUUUUGACUCUGUGCUAGCAUUCGAGUGACAAAGGAAGUAAAAGGAGGUGGAUAGCAAUUAAGGAUUUAUUAUGUUUUCUGAAUGUAUUGGAAAAUUUAUAUAGAAAGGUUUAUUGUUUUGUGUACAUUCAAUUGUAAGAUAAAGCAUAUGCGAAAGGACUUUUCUUCAAAAUUGAAGAAAAAAUUUUGUAAGAUAAAAGGGGAAAAUAUUUGUUGUUGUUGUUGUUGUUGUUGUAUUUAAGAAAAAACAACCCUAUGGGUUUCACCUGGUGGUGUAACAGAUGACUCUGCACAAGGAUAUGUUGGGGAGCUGCUUUUGUUUUAUGCUUCAGAUUCUGGGGGGCAGAGAGUGAAGCAUCAACAAUAUUCCCACGCUUGGCAGGUGCACAUUGAGCUACAAUCCAAGCCAAUCUAGCUUUAGUGAGGUUUUCUUACUCAAAGCAUUUCCAAAGCUAAACAUUAUCUCAAUACUAUUUAAUGGACUUAUUUGAUAUAGUCUGCAUUUCUUUCUCCGAUCUCCCUUGUCCUUUUAAUUGGUUUUAAAUUAUAGCUGUUGGCAACACUUUUCUAUACUGCUUACUCAUAGCUGAGUCAUUUUCCAACUUUUUUUCUUUCCAUUGAAAAGUCUAAAUUGGGAUUUGAUAAUGCUUGAUUUAGAUUGUUGUCUUGUUUUAAGUGAAUAGUAAAUGUAAAGAAGGGCACAGCUGCAGGAAUCAUGACUCAAGUUCUUCAUUUUCAAAGUAUAUAGAACCUUCCUAAAAGUGCUACAAAUAAACGUUUUUAAAGUUUUGAGAGUGUUUGUUUUUGCAUAGCUCUUUCAGCAUCUUUUUUUUUUAACGGACAUCUUGCACUCAGGUCUCUCUGUGAGGUUAGGAGGUAGCAACCUAGAGAUCCUUUAACAGAUCUGCAGUAGCUACAAUGACAAAGGGUCUUACCUGAGAGUAAGGAAGAUAUUUUUAUUGAAGCAGAGGAGACAUACAGGCACAGCAGCAGGAAAUGAGUCUCAGCAGCCACUACACAGGCUACAUGGCAGUGGAAAGGCGAAGAUAUCUAAGCUGGGAGCAGCAGCCCAAAUUUGAGGGGUCUGGGAUCAACACAUGGAGUUCAGAAUCACAGAGUAGCAGCAGAACUGUCCCAACAGGUUCACACACCUACUCACCAAUCACUUUAAAACAAGACAAGGCAUGCUUACCUAUGAGACACUUGUGCCUUCCAAGAGUGCCAGGCGUGAAUCGGGGUUGAGGCCUCUGUUUGCAGCAACAGGGAACUGCCAGGUCCUGGGAGAUGGUGCCCUUCCCUCCUGAAGCCUAUUUAUCCAGUUUAUCCAGCGUCAUUGGGAAGUGGGCAGAUUCCCUUCCCAGAUUCCAUUGCUGCACUCCUACGCCUGGAGGGAAGGGGAGAGGCAGGAGUUCUGCAAUCUCAUCUGAGUCAGCUGCGUCCUGGGAGGAGGCAGCACCCACCUUCUCCAGCCUCUCUUCCCUUGUCUCAGGCCCCUGUUCCCCCUGCUUGUCUGCCUCAGACUGCCGCUCCACUCCCCAGUGGAGAUUUAACUAAAGAUGGUAUUUUAAUUGAAAAAAUGUGUAGAGACAGAGGCACAGUGGACUCUCCAUUGAAGACAGCUUUAUAAACAGUCUCCAAAAACUUCAGAAAGUUAUUAGGUGAAGAGAUUCACAUGUCAGUAUCAAAACAGUGUGCAGUCUUGUCCUGACAGUCUGUCUUUGUCCUCCUCCCUUUCUCCCCCCCCCCCCUUUCCUUAUUUCCAAAAAGAAUCUUUUGGAGCCUGCUAGUUACCCAAAGGCGGGUCUUGAAGUGGAGUUGCUCCCUCAUUUGGCAUUCACCAAGAGGGAGUUUGGGGUAUCAGCUAUCAAGGGCAGAAGGGAAUGAAGGUUGAAAACCUUUGAUCUAUACCCCUGUUAUAUGUAGGCUAAAGAAGCUGUGAUAUAUUGCUGAGGGGGGCAGGAGAAGAGAAGAGGAAAGUAAGUAUUAAACCACAGUUAUGUCUAUGUCUCAUCCAGAAAGUAUAGCCAGAGACAUUUUGGCAAAUUAAAAACUCCACAUGGACAGAAAUUUUACCCCUGAAAAAGAGGACAUGUGCUGGGAAAAGAGGACACAUGGCAACCCUAAACAGCAUAGGAUGCAUAGUGUGUUUGCAUAGAAUUGUCUGGGGCACACUUGCUGCUUUCUGGGAUGAGCGUAAUCUAGAAUGCUCUCCUGGAAACCUCUGGAUCAAUUUUGCAUUUAUAAAUGACCUGACUAUCUCCCCGCUCCCCCCACAAGAGGCUUCUUUGUCACAGUGUAGCAUUGAGGAUGUCGCAGAUAACAAUUAAAGCAAACUUUGCUCUGGGUAUGUCUUAAUUACUAAAACACUGGCUCAUUUACUUUUAAAGUGCUCUUGCUCCCGCAUCCAGCUUUUAAUUAGUAAAAGAGGCAAUGUUAGAGCAGACAUCUCUUGAAAUCUCUUGAAGGAAUCUCACCCUGGCAGUUCCCUUCAUACUUCUCACCUGCUAAUCCAAACAAACUAACCAUGAGAGAAUAAGACUGGAAAACUGUGUGGAUAUGUUCUAGAGCAAGGGGGCACCCUGUGGUCCUCCAGAUGUUCCUGGACUCCAGUGUUCAUUAGCCCCCGUCAGGAAUUAGCCAAUGGUCAGGAGGGAUGGGAGAUGUCAUCCAGGAACAUCUCUGGAGGGCCAGUCAUGAGCCACUCUUGGUCUGGAGAAAACAGUCCAAAAUAAACUCUCUGGCUGAAAAAUUCCUAGGAAAUAAAUGGGAGCAAAAAGGACAAAAUAAAAUAACUAGUAGUUAAAUUUGUGGUGAGAACACGGAAAGCUAACAAAAUGAAUUUCAAUAGGGACAAAUAUGAAGAACAAGUUGCACAAAUAUAAGGUGGGAGACACCUGGCUUAUGAGUAGUACAUGUGAAAAGGAUCUAGGGUUCUUGGUGGACCACAAACAGAACAUGAAUCAACAGUGUGAUGCAGCAGCAAAAAAGGCUAAUGCUAUUCUAGACUGCAUCAACAGAAGUAUAGAAACCAGAUCACGCAAAGUAAUAGGACCACUCUAUUCUGCUUUGGACAGACCACACCUGGAGUAGUGUGUCCAGUUCUGGGCAUCACAAUUUAAGAAAGAUAUUGACAAGCUGGAAUGUGUGCAGAGGAGGGCAAGAAAGAUGAUCAAGGAUCUGGAAACUAAGCCUUAUGAGGAACAGUUGAAGGAGCAGGGUAUGAUUAGCUUGGAAAGAGGAGACUGAGAGGGAAUAUGAUUGCCAUCUUCAAAUAUCACAAGGGCUGUCACAUGGAAGUGGGAACAAGCUUGCUUUCUCCUGCUCUGGAGGCUAGUACCAAAACCAGUGGAUUCAAAUUACAAGAAAGGAGAUUCCAGCAAACAUCAAGAAGAACUUUCUGACAGUAAGAGCUGUUUGACAGUGGAACAGUCUCCCUUAGGAGGUGGUGGACUCUCCUUCCUUGGAGGUUUUUAAGCAGAGCUUGGAUGGCCACCUGUCAGGGAUGCUUUAGCUGAGAUUCCUGCAUUGCAGGGAGUUGGACUAGAUGACCCCUGGGGUCCCUUCCAACUCUAAGAUUCUACCAUUCUAAGUUAGGUUGGACUUUAUGCCCUUUAAGAACAAAUGUGUUGAGGGGUGUGUACAUGUGUGUGCAUGUAAAUGCAUGUGGAGUGUGUUUGCCAAGCUGAGUCUGACCUGGGUGAAAGAGAACCUACGGUUGUUUAUCCCUUGGCAGAGCAAUCCUAACGCUCUUGUGUGCUGGAAGGGGGGGGGUUAAUGGGGCAGAGCUGUUCCUCUUCCCCACCCUGUCCAGUUCCACUGGGGGUGUUCCACUGUUGGCAGGGAAGGCCUGCACCUGCCAGGUGAGCAGAAGCUGUGGGCAGUCACAUCCACUUUGGCAGCAGCCAGUGAAAACUCCAGCAAUGGGAAGCUUCAGGAGCAAGGCAAGCACGGGCUGGCAAGAAAUCUGCUGGCUCUUGCGCUAAUCCUACAGUUAUCACAGCCUUGCUCUCCUCACUGUGCCAGUCUGGGAGCUGGCACACUGGCCAGCAUGGGUUGUGGAAACAGCAGCGGCUCUGCUGCUUCCUCAAGCCCUGCAAUUCCAGCCAGGAGUUUGGCGUGUCCUGUAACCUACCAUACUUAGGAUUUCAUCCUCAAAGGCUAGGUUAAUUUUACUCUGAGUUCUGGCUAGCACCAACAUUAACAAUGUUUUGGCACUUAUUAACAACAGGCUUGUGCACUCGCUUUCCUUUCUUUGUGUUUAAUUCCAGUAGGUAGUUAUGUUUUGUUUUUGUUCUUAACUCGGCUACAGCUUUUCUUCUUUUCUGUUCAGAUUCUAAUGGGGAUGUGAUAUUUCAAUAUUUUUUGUAUACUGCCUUGAGAUGGCUGAGGUAGGUGGUAUAGAAAUAUUUCAGUAAACAAAGAAACAGUUUUAGUUUUGAUGGAGUGUUGGGAAUAGCUUUUUUAAAAAAGAGAGAUAUCCUCAGGUUCCUCUCCCCUCAUAAAUCUACAGUUCCCUGAAGAAAGGGAAUAAGCAUUAAGCUAGUUUAGGUUUGUGGCAUAGACAGAGGUCCAAAGACUUCAAUCUGUUCAUCUUAUCACAUAGACCAAGUGUUUACUUGCUUACAACCGACAACCUGAUUCACUUGGAAAUGCUGCAGGAGGAGAUAUUCAUAACUGCACAGAAAACACAACAUAAUAGCUGGGAGUCAAAGCUGCAUACAUUACAAACAGAAGCACAUUUCUAAAACAAUUGAGAGGGAGUCUAUGAUUGCAGUAGCUUGACAAGUGUGCUGGGGAAAACCUCCCCUGCUUGGAUUCCGUAAAUAAAAUUUGCUGCAAGCUGCAUCAUUUCAGAAGUUGAUUCUGAAAGCUUGCCAUCUGAGGUUUCCUUUUCUUUAAGAAAUACAUAGCCUAUCUUGAAUUUAAUUGUAUCUUGAGACACGGUGCAGUGGUGCUCAAAAGUCACUUCUGAAGGCAACGUGAGGGAUACAAACAUAUAUUACAGCCAAUCGGAAGCAUAUCUGGGCAAACAUGUUCCAGUCAUUUCAUUACUGGGGGGCCUGGUGCAAAAACCUGAAAAUAUAAAGAAGAAUAGCCAGUCUUAAGAGGCUUCUCUUCUGGCAGCUCUCCAUUCUGGAAGACAGCCAGGAGAUCUACCCACGCACCAGAAGUUAAUUGGGCAGUUUACUGAUUGCAAGGUCUGCUGCUGCUCUUUGUGGAUGCAAACUGCAGCAGCGAGGAGUUGGAGGGUCAACAAAGAAGGAAGUGUUGGUCCUGCUUAGUGCUCACACACACUCAAGGGGAAAUCAUGUCUACGGCAGGUCUGGGGAACCGUUUUGCCCUGCAGAUAUUGUUGAACUCCCCAAAGCCCUAGCAAGCAUAGUCAAUGGCUAGAGAUGAUGGGAGUUGUAGUUUAGCAGCAUCUGGUGGGCCAUAGGUUCCUCACACUGCUUUAGGGGCAGGCAGUACAUGACUGCACUCUCAGACACACAUGUUUUCUGCUAAGCCCCUCACACACAUUCACCCUUUAAAUACGUAUACACACCCUAGACAGAAGGGUGCAUUGCAAUGGCAUCCAUCGGUCUCAAGAGACAUUGGAGUGCGCCUCCAGAGGUGAAGUCAUAUCACUGCAUUAGCAGCACCAAAGUGACCUCCCUGGGGCGCAAGCCUGGAGGUGUGUCUGGAGGUCCUGGGCUACCCAGAGGACUAGACCCCACUCUCAGCUUCACUGAUGUGGUCCAAAGGAAAGCAGAGCAAGACAUUUGGCACCAGCUUGGCUGCAGGAGUUGCCAAAAGAAGGCAUACAAGGCACCAUCCAACCAUCUUAGGGACUCCACUCUGGAUUUGUGUAGGAUUUACUCCUUAGCUGUUUCUUCUCCCAAAGAUGUCCCACAAGGUUUAGGACCAGAGUUUUCCUUCUCCUAGAUGGGCUACCUUCCCAGGUGGAUGAACCUCACCUGCCCAUCACUUCCCUCUACAAUAUGUGCAGAAACCACCUUCUUGACUAUUGGACCCACUAUUGGUCUUGUUUACUCAAUCUGCCAGAGCCUGUUUUUGCAUGGAGGUGAAGUCCCUAACUCACCAAGGGUUUGAGACCCAUUGGCUCCCCUCAUCUGGUUUAGCUGGCCAGACAAAGCUGUUCCCAGGGGGUAGCCACUGUCGCCUGCUGACAGCUUCUAGGAGCCACAGGUGGGAGCUGAGUGUGUGUGGGGUGGGGGGAACCAAAGGUGAACAAACUAUCCCAGAAGGAGCAUGACAUACCCCCCACCAGAGGGACAACCCUAACAACCCAUACACCUCACACAGAAGUUACAGUAAUAUAUAUUGGAUGGACUAAUUUCCUUCCUGGAAUGUUUACAUCUCUAGGCUUAAACAUGGCUAAUUCCAGACACUAUUUUGUUAUUACUUAGGCUGGCAUUUCUUUGGAAGAGCAUCAGUAGAAAAGAAGAAAGCCAGGGGAAAAGAAAGACAAAAGGAGCAAGUGAAAUGAAUCCCCUGCGUUGUGCUUCUAGACUUUGAUGUAUUCCUGUUGUCAGCUCACUAUAAUUUGUAAAGAUCAAUGGUUUUAGUUAAAAUCUAGACCAGGGCACCCCACCUUCUAAUUCAUCUAUUCAGCAGCUGCCCCACUUUUUUCUAAGCUAUAAAGUUCAAGGUUACUCUGAGGCUUUGUGUGCUGAAGCUCAAGCUCCAGAAUUCAGAGGUUUUUUCUGGUCAUGUACUAUAUUUAUUCACAUAUAUUAAAACACAUAUUACUUUUCUUAAACUAAAUCACAGUGGUAUCAUCAUCAUCUAGCCAAAGGUAAGCUCUUUUAAGUCCACUGAUUUCAGGUAUUUCACUGUCUAAUUAAGGGAGCUUCCUGGGUGGCCUGUGAGGUCCCAGGAAGAGUCACAAAUGCAGUUCUGUCUGUGAAGAGGGAGACGCAUUUAUGGGACAACACUUGUGCCACUGAAGGACCCUCAGAUAAAAUCCUCAACAGCUGUGUGUUUGGGGGGGGGAGUGGGUAUGCAAGGGGCAUGUCAAGGGCAUGUGUUGGGAAAGGCACAGAUCCAAGAGAUCCAAAGCUUCCCCUUUCCUCCAGCGUGGCCACAAGCUUUGCCUAAUGCUGCGGCUGCUGUGGUUAAUUCUGACACAGUAAUGGCAGCCGGAGGGAGGAAAAGGCUGAGGUCUCCCCAUCCCAAGGUGACUGCAGCAAAACAACUGCAGUGCAUGAUGGAAUUUGCCCCUCCCCCAGAAAUGAAGAGUCUGCCUUUAUCCCCCUUCAAAGUCCAUGGAGAAUGAAAUGAAUUUAACUGGAUGGUACUGGUGACAAUGGCAAUGGUGCACUGCCUCACCAGCCCCCCCCCCCCAGUGGCAGAGCAUAUGCCCCCACUGCCCAGGGCAGGUGCACUCCUGAGGGUGGUGGGGCGUGGAGGGUGCCCUCCCACGUGCCCCAGUUCAGGGUAGGAGAGGGGCAGGGAACCUGCUGCUCACUCUCCUCCUGCUCUCUGCAUCCGGGUCAGACAUGACCCGGCAAUGGAGCUGCUGCGGCCAGGUGUGCCUCGCCACGGCCGAGGAGGGCUGCUCUCUGCCUCUGGGUCAGAAGAGCUGGGCGCAAAGUGUGCUGCCCAUUCACUUGCCAUUUUGUCACCUCCCUCAGUCAUGACACCUGGGGCAGACCACACCCACCCACCCCCUUCCUAUGCCUCUGCCCCACCUGCCUUCCUUCUUGUGUAUGUCUAGUCCAAAGGGUGGCCCUGGCUCUGAGGUUCUUCCUCUCUAGUCCCAGGGCUCUUCCUGUAGGACUCGGCCGGGUGUGUGUGUGUGUGUGUGUGUGUGUGUGAAACUAGCCUGAGUCGGCUGGGCUCUGCCUAUCAGUCCCGAUGGGCACCAACUGCAUCUGCAUGACAAUGGCUUCAAGAGUCACUUAAUCACAAAGUACAUUCAAAAACAAGAACUAAAUCCCCACACUAAGGCAAAGAAACUAAAAAGAGCUUGUAGCCCUGUAGAAGGAAGCAGGCUGUGUAUAGGGAGGUCAAGAGUUCCUGUUUGGGGCUCCUUGGCUGUAUCUUAAUUUAAACAUGUUUGCUCAAUUUCUCUGGCUUACUCUUCUUGACUUUCCCUGGAUCUACAUCCUUACAAGUCUGUUUCCCUUUCCACUUCCUGUUUGCCCUGGGAUUUCCUGGCUCUGCCUAAACUUACAAAUUUAGCCUUCGGAUCCCGUUCGGCCGCCUGCGCUCACAUCCUGGCUUCCCCUCUGCUAUCUCUCCAUCACAGACGGCAGACCCUCAAAUAGCUACAUUUUGUGAUCCAAGGUAUCCAAAAUCUGCUGGUUGAAAAGGAGUGUGUAUUUCAUGAUAGAAAUAAAAUCAGGCCACCAACCUAGGGACUACUCACUGUUGCAAAAUAACAUAGAGAGUUUUCUUUUUAAAGUAUAUUUGAACACAAGCACUCUGUGUAAUCCUCAUAAACCAUGUGCCAUUUUACUUCCACAUGCAACAUAUCCUUGUCCAAAUCCCAUUUAAUGCAUUUGUUUCAUGCAAAAUCACUCCAAGUGAUUAUCUCAUUGUCUAUGAUGCUGUGCUUGGGUUUCUACCAUAAAAGACAUUAGUACAUACAGUUUUCUCUUUUAAAAUACUUUUACAGAUCACUCAUUCCAAAGAAAUUCUCCCGCACUUCAUGUACAUGACUAAAUGGUCCCAAGUCCAAUAUGAAUCUAUAUGCUAGGGAUUUUAAAACUGCAUUGCUAUUCUUUGCUGUUUUAUGUACGUACAUAACCUUUCCUAGUGAAGAAGAUGUGCCUCAUUUACUUGCAUUCAUUCAUAAUAGGCCCUCUCCUGGGUUGCUGGUUUCUUUUCCUCUGGCAGCUGCCAGAGAGUGAGUUUUCAUGGAAGGAGAGAGUUCUAGAGGGUUUAUGGUGCUUAUUUACAAAUAUGCAUCAAUAGGAACUGCAAGGCUUUACAACAGAACCAGUUCUGUCAAAAGUAAACAUUACAUCCAUAUAGCUUCCCAACCAGCUUGCAUAAAAAACUCAGAUGCCUGUUUCCUUCCAAACUUGAACUGUUUCUUUUUCAUCUCUUCCUGUAACAAGAGAUUGUGCCAUAGGAGCCAACAGUCAACCAAAGUCAUUGGCAAGCAUCUUUAAACCAUUGGUGUCAAUUAAAGAAAAUGGCCAAGGCUCUUAGUUUCCAGGUCUGGAAUAAUUUAUCUUUCCAGUCCAUGCCAUUUCAGCAUGUAUUUACACACAUCCGAUCUGACCAAUUUUUGUAUUAAUAUGUGACUAUUAUUAUUUUAAACGAUUUUUGUAGCAUUCAACUAAUGUCUGUUCAGAAUAGGCCCAUUGAAGUAAAUGGACUUAACUAUCUAAUUUUAACUAGUUUCAGUGGGUCUAUCUGAGUAAAUACUUGGCUUGUUUCUGUGUAAUGUUUGGAAUUGCUCAUAAUGUUUAUAGACUGUUCAUAUGUUGAAGCACUGCGGAAAGCCCAUUAUAGACAGAGUGUUUCUAGGGAGGCAUAUUUUUGGGUCUCAAAGAAAGUCCAUUCAGCCAGCAAUUUCCAGAACUGGAUUUUGAGAUGUCUUCUGGAGCCAGUAAAUGUGUCUGCUUCUUUGUAGGGUGUGUGCAACGCAAGAGUUCAUUGUUUGCAGAAAUAUAAGGAAUGGUGUUACUUUGUCAUAGCCAAGUCUGAAAAAUGGAGAUGGUAUAAUAUAGCAAUAUUAUAAGCUAUACUAUUACUACCCAGCAUUUAUAUAAUGCCUUUUGAGCACUCAAAGUGCCCUAUCUCAGCAGUUCUUACAACACCCCUGGUUGUGUCUGUUGCCCUUUUCCCCAACCUCCAUUCAUUCAUCAGCUUUGUUUCACAACUUUUACACACAGAGGUUGCUCUGUUCAUGUGGCAAGAGCCCAUGCGCACACAUUGGUGUUUGCCCACCUUUUUGGACCCGUGAGCACAUUUGCAAACUGGAAAAACUGUUGUGGGCACCACCUAAGAACACACACCACAGCUUAUUCUACCAGGUAGCAGAGAAUGCUUCCCCACAUACAAGACAGUUUGGAAUGAGGCUGAAAGGGUAAGCUGUGGUGAAGUUUGAAUGUGUGACUUCCUAGUUUACAUGCUUAGCAUCUGUCAUGGAUGCUUUAGUUGAGAUUCCUGCAUUGCAGGGGGUUAAACUAGAUUACCCUUGGAGUCCUUUCCAACAAAUCUAUGAUUCUAUAAUUCUACAGUACAUCAGCUCUGUUAUGACCAUAGCUGUCAACUUUUCCCUUUUCUUGCGAGGAAUCCUAUUUGGAAUAAGGGAAUUUCCCUUUUUUUAAAAAGGGAAACGUUGACAGCUAUGGUUAUGACCUCAGGACAUUUAAAGCCAGUUUUCCAAAAUUGUCUUAAUAACAAAUCACUUAAACAAGAUGGCUAUACACCAUGGUUAAAUUUGGUCACAACUGUCUCAUUAUUUUCACAUUGCCCCAUUGACAUGAUUAAUGCCUGGACUGUAGCAUGUCUUCAUACAUUUGAAAUGGAUUGAAAUGAAUACAAUCCAAUGUGGCCACAGAUUCAGCCUUUAGCAAGACUGCUCUGCUGAGUUUAAAUUCAGCUCCAAUUCUUGGUUGCGUGUCGAGGUCCCCAAGCCACCCCCUAAAUAAUUCACAAUUCACACAUAAUUUUUUUUAAUGUUUUUGGCAUAAUUUUGGCCACAACUUUAUUAAAAUGCAUAAAUGUGAGUGGUUGCUUAGGCAUUGGUUAUGACUAUCUGUCCCCACGCCCAGGGACAGAACUGACUUCCGGAUUCCAGUGAAAGCCAGUAAGGGAAAAUAAUAUCGGGGAGAAAUGGAGCUGAGCCACAGGCCCUUACCUCUCCCUGCAUGCUCCCAGGGGCUUGCACGGCCCUAGCCCCUUGCCGGGGAUAUGGACAAAUGUAUGGCAAACCCCUGGAUUCCUUUAACGGAAUUCCCUUGCAGCAGCAGCAUUGGAGGGGCAGGCACAGCCAACCCUUACCCUUCCACCAACCAAAUUUUAACCAAUUCUUGGUUAUAAAACAGGAGCAACAGCCUAUGGGGUUGCUUUUGAGACUGAGAAAGAAAUGUCACUAUGAGCUCCAUGGUAAAUAAAAAGUUUUUUAAAAAGGGCACAAUUUCCUCCUCUGCAUAUGAAGAAAUGCUGGAUGGAGGUGAGGCAGAACCUUUCAGGCCCUUGCCAAGUCACCUUGAAGUGGGCAUAGCACUUCUUUCCAACUUCCACGGGGAAAUUUCCCACACCCAGCUUUAUGCUGAAGAAGUGAGAGGAUUGGGCACGAAAUAUCCAUCUUUAUUUUUGAUGUUGCCAUCCCAUCCAUUUUUUCAAGCAUGCAGCAGAAUACAUAAAUGUCAUGAAAUGGGCUGUAGUCCAAAAAUGCUUAUGCUAUAAUAAAUUUGUCAGCCCUUUCAGGUACAACAAGUCUCUUACUUCUGUUUCCUGCCAAAGAUGCAGCUACCUCUCUGGAAUUUGUUUCAGAUUUUUAUAUCUGAUGCAAAAAGUUCACCCCCUAGGAUGGUAUUCAUCAUUAUACUUUUCUCUAACAGUCUCAUGUGUCCAAAACUGCAGUUUGAAAAAUCUGGUAAUCCUAAAUAGCAAAGGCCAUGUACCAGUGUCCCUAUUUUCCAGGGACAGUCCUGGAUUUACAGAAGCCACUCGGUUUCUUAUUUGAUCCCAGAAUGUCCCACUUUUCCUUAGGAUGUCCCUAUUUUCAUAGGAGAAAUGGAGGAUAUGGAGUUAUCUGACUCCUGAGCGAUUUAAAGGCAGCCCUGUAUAGGGAAGUUUUUAAACAUGUUUAAUGUUUUAUUAUGUUUUAUAUAUGUUGGAAGCUGCCCAGAGUGGCUGGGGCAGCCCAGUCAGAUGGGUGGGGUAUGAAUAUUAAAAUUAUUAUUAUAGAAAAGGAUGCUCCUGUUUUCAUUGGUGAAAUGUUGGAGGAUAUGCAUGUAUUCCAGAAGUGAAAUCAGAGGGUAAGAACAGAAGAGGCCCCUUGCUGGGUCCAUGGACUGAGGUCCAUGUAGUUCAGCAUCCUGUUUCUAAGCACAACCAGUUAGAGGCCACUGGAAACUCACAAGCUUAGCAGGGCAUGAAGGUCAUGGCCUCCCCCCGUGGUCUUGCCCCAGCAUCUUGUAUUCAGAAGCAGAGUGUCUUGUAAGGCAAGGCCUGUCUGUGAAGGAAGUACAUUUGCAGCCUUAUCCUAUCCAUGUGUAAUUGAAAGGAUGUUCCACCUGUUUCAGUGAGGCUUCCUUCUAAGCAAACAUGCUUCAGGUUGCAGACUUAGAAAACAUAACAGUACUCAUCAGAGUGAUCAGUGCUGAGACAGAAAGUGGGGUUGCCCUCUGGCAGCUAUACAAUCAGAACACAUGAGAACAGGUCCUUCCUAAGCGCUGACUUGCGCACACGGAACUCCUCCGUGUGUGGAGGCAUCCUCAGCCAAUCAGGAUUCUCUGCCUGUCACAGAGGAUCUCUGUGCAUGUGUGUCAGGACAGGCACAUUAUGCGCAGUCCCUUCUCAGACCAUUGGACAGAACAGGGGCAGGUGGCACAGCUCCCCCUCCCUGCCCAUGAUGGGGAACAAAUUCAAUUUUGUUUGCAUUUUAAGGAGGCCUGAUUUGCACUUCUUGAACAAAUACACAAACCAAAAUGCAGAGGUCCUUCAAAAUUUUCACUUCUCUGAACUUUAUUAAGUAAUUCUCCAGCCAAACAAUGGGUAUCAAAAUGCAUUUAUACAGAAGUUUGCAUGAAAAUGCAAAAAAGACACUUGCAAAAAAGUGUAUAUUAGUCAAAACUGCAUACAAAAAUGUGUUAGGAAAAAUUCACAUUAAAAUGCUGCCAAAUUUUCAUGAAGUUUUUUGUUGUUUGUUUUUUUGGUAAUGCAAACUCCACAGAAAUGUGGAAUUUAAGUCUGGAAAAGUAAGAAACUGGGAGAAAGUGAAACUGACAGAUUCAUCCACCCCUACCCAUGACCUUCUCACAAGCUUGUUUUUCACACAUGAAGGGGAUUCAUCUAAUUCCAGCCCCAUAUGUCAUUGAAAAUUCUACUCAAUAUUGAUCCAGAGCAGAUUCCAGUGUAUAGGUAGCAGAGUAAAAAUUUAGACAUGUUGCAGGAUUCCCCCAAAAAUAGACCUGAGGCAAAUGUAUUUCAUCCAGCAGAGCUUUACUGCUACUGAAGGCAAAUGAACAUAAUGGUCACAAAUCCAAAACAUUCAGGAUUGGCACAGUCCAUAAGAAAUCCAGCUGCAGAAGACUUAGCUUGAACUUACAAUAACUAAAUAAUACGACUAAAACCUUAACACUAUAUACAGAACUUCUCACCAGAAGGAAAAGAGAUAGAAAGUGAAAGUGAAACAGAACCACUUUAAGGCAUCUGUACUCAGCUUCUCUGAAGGAAUGACCCAAACAUCAUGAACCUUCUGCUUGUUUCUUUCACACAGAGAAGCUUCCAGAACCCUCUUGAAUUAAAUAGAAGAGGAAAAAUCUCUACACAUCAGAUCAAUACUUUCUGCACUAAUAAAUGCAAACUGACACUAUCAGUGUAAAUGGUGCUUUCCAGAGAUUCAUAAGCAAACUGAAAAAAGAAAAGAAAAAAUAUCUGCCCGCAGAGAACUUACAAUCAAAAAUUGGCAAAUAUCAAGAUAACAGCUUGGAGGGUUGGGGGAGAAGCUUUAUUGGGGCCUUCAGGCUCACGUGACUAUAAUUGCCAGGGAGGUGGAGGACUGCACACAGUCACUCUGUGCAACCCGUUAUCCUAAGCUAGCCUCUCUCAUUGCUAUUCCUGCCUCAGCGUUCCAGUUCACAGGAACAGCUGGUGACAUUCUGCAGAUACGACCGCAAGGCAGGGGUAGCUAGCACAGUGUGCAGGGGCAGAUGUUGGGUGAACAUAUGCAGCCCAGCUCUCUUCCCUCAUGCAUUCACAGUCAUGAGAACUGAAAGCCCAAAUAGGACUACAGAGAGAAGUCAGGAAGAGACAUUUGUGGCAAGGGAUGUGCUUUACAGUCAGAAUGGAGGCCUGAGCAGUUAAUGAGAUUUCUGGCUAUAUACACACAGAGACACAUAGGGGCCGGAAGUCUGUGUAUCUGUACAGUAUUUCUAUAUUUUUAGAUUUCUUGUUUAUUUGUGUUAACAUAAAUUGGCUUCAUUGAAAAGACAAUCUGGGUAUGCCAGAGGUGAACUGGAGUCUUGACUUCACUUGUUUGAAAAAGAUCUAAACAUGAAAUCAUUCCUUUCCUUGUUUGAGUGCUCUUUUUCCAGACAUCAAGUAAACAGAGAAGUUUCUGGUUGUUUUAGUAUGAGGGGGAGAGAGAGAGAGAAAGCACAAUCUUCCCAUAGUUCCCCCCCCCCCAUAGCACUUAAACCAUCCAUGCUUCAGCUGCUAAUUAUGCCAGUAGAUUUCUUAAAAAUGAAUGCAGAGCAUGGCAAUUUCAUUCAGAUAACAUAAUGAAAGCAGCAUGUUUUGCAUCCAAAAAUUGCUUAUUGAAAAAUCUGGUACUACUAGCCAGUAAAGGCACAUUCUCAUGUACUUAGCUUUUAAUUUCACUUCUUGUAUUAAAUCAUCAAAAGUAGAAUACAUGAGAAUGACCAGACAGUUCCCUCCAGCAUUCUCUUUCUGACAGUGGUCAGCCAGAUGCUCUGGGAUCUCACAAACAGGAUAUCAGGUAAAAGGCUAAUACUUGCCAUUUUGUUUGAGACUUUAAGUUAAAAUAAAUUGUUCCACCACAGGCACAUUUGAGGAGCCUGUCACAGUCCUAAGAACGUUUCUUACUGAAUCAGAACUAGAGUCCUGUUCAGCUGUUGUUUGCUUCCAUCUUGUUCAACACAGGAGCAAAGAAUGGAACAAGCACCCUGUCCCAGUUUCUUUUAGCUCCUCGCCUGACAUCUGCAUGUCAAUUAAGACAGUAAACAACAACAAUUAAUGCAUCAAAAGGCAUCAGAAUUAAAGCUCAGGCAAAAGAUUCACAAAACAGCAGGCCACUAAUUAACAACUAGCUUGAAUAAAAAGGCCUUUACCCAUCCAAAGGAUGGGGCCUAGCAAAUUUCCAUUGCAAGGGAGUUGGGCCCAGCCUGGCGCAAGAGCCUUGUAGUGGGAGGGUUUCAUGAGAAGAGUGGGUGGGGGAAAGAUACCUGAGGUCUUCCACUUCUGUACUAAAAAGUAGCAGGUGAUAGGAAACAUCUGUUUGGGACCCUGAAGAGCCACUGUCAGUCAGAGUGGACCACACCGGGCUGCAUGGUCAAAAGUCGGACCUGGUAUAAUGCAUCGGAAGGGUUUGGGUUUGAGGCCUCUGGCCCCUGAUUCUGAGUAUUUCAUAGCUGUAUAGUGCAGGGGCAGAGAGAGUGGGGAAGGGAUGUCCAUCUCUCCAUUAGUGGGUAGAAAGCCACAUAGGAAGUGGGUACUCUAUGUGGAGGCCUGAUUGGUGCAAUUAAUUUAUUUCACACACACACACACACUGCACAAAGAGGAUGAUGUGUGAUAAGAUAUCCAACUAGAGCACCUGUGUCCUACAUGUUGUUAAUGAUGGGAUGGAGAGAAGAUGGGCAGCCAUUCCUUCACCAUGGAAAGACUGCCACUGUCUGGGUAAGUUUCGGAACCAGUCCUAGUUUAAAGAAGUCAAACUGCACACACAAAUGUGCAGACCAGUCGAGGCUCAUCUCCACUCAACGUACAACUUGAUUCUUAAGGUUUUACUGUCUGAAUAUGGUUUACAGAGGGCAAAAGAGAAAACAGGAGAAGUGAAUGCUAUGGAAUGACUAUCAAAACAAAGAGCACAUAAAGUAAUGUGGAAUGAAAGAAAAGGAGCUGGAUCACAAAAUAAUACAAUUAAAAUGAAAGGGGGGAAAUGAGGGACUAUUAAAGAAAACAACACUGAGAGAUGAAAAGAAAAUUUGGAGUAUAUGGAUGGAGAAACAUGAAAGAUAGAUCUUUGUCUAUUUCAGAUGAUCAAAGGAGUAGUUCCUCUCCCUAUGUUACUUUCUGGCAUCAUGUGUAAUGGUAAUAUUUGAAUUAGCAUUAAUUUGAGUGAAUUAGCCAAUGCAAAAUAAUCAUGUAUUUUUCUACUCCAUGAGGGGCAGAGAGCCUGCCUUUAGCAAUUGCCGUGAAAGUAGCAAAUAUCCUAGCCAAGGUUUGGAUGUCAAAGUAUGUGUGUGGUCUUAUGCUCCUCCCCUCCCCCAAUUCUCUGGGACUGAAUGAAGGUGAGUUGCUAAGAGAGAAGAACUUCCCCAUGUUUAGCCUGUGCUCAGUUGCUGCUAACGAAACAAAUGUUCCUCAAAUCCCCACCUGUUUUUCCAAGAGCUGCUUCACUUGUUCACUUUAUCACUUGAGUGGGUUAUAAAAUGUAACCACAAUAAACAAGCAUAAGGUAUGAUGCAAUUUCAUCUUGAGGUAUAUCUAGCAGAAGACCUUUGAUUCUUGCUUUGAAUCUUGACCCCCUGAUAUAUCAUGUUGCCUCCCCAACAUGAAACAGCACCUGAACCCUUGACACAUUCACAUUCCAUAGCUGGUCAUAGAAACUACUAGACAGGGGGGGGAAAGAACCUCUGUGGAACUCUGCAUGGCAAGCUCUCUGCAGGGAUGUGCACAGGAGGGGAUAUGCCUGUCCUGUGGCCACUGGAUGUUCCAGGCUGGCCUUCAGGGUCUGUUAGGCAGUGGCAUGGGGCAAGCACUUGUUGGUGCAUCCCCCCCCUUACAGACCUGCUCCCUACCUGGGAUCAGGUUGUUAACUGCUGGUGUUUAGACAUCACCUUAAACCAUGUUUAGUUCUCCAGUCUUUUGCUGGCUAGCUGUACAUUUGAGCACUGAUCAUUUUACUGCCUGCUGCUGUGUUUUGAGGGUUGUCAUUUUAACCAGGGCUUUCUGCCCCCCCCCCCAGCUGGAACUCAGCUCUGGCACCUCUCAAGUGGGCACCGUUGCCAUUCUAAGAGAAAGAGGGAGGUGUUCAUUGAGAGUUCCAGCACCUCUUUUUUAAAAAAAAGAAAAAUAGAAAAAUAGCACUGUCUUUAACUGCUGUUGUAUGGUAUUUGCAUUGUGUUUUAAGACUGUUGUUAGCUGCCCUGGGCUAUGGCAGGAGGAAGGAUGGGAUAUAAGGGCAAUAAAUCAAUCACAGAUGAAAACCACUGAACACAUAGGCUGAUAUGCAAAUGCAACGUCCAGUGCAUGACGUUAGGCAGGAACAGGGCAGGGUUCUUUGCUCUCUCCACCAUCCGCCUAACAUCUGCUUUGUGCUUGAGUUUUAUGGAAAAGGGUUAAUAUUCUAUACUAUUGUUCAGUGGCUAAUAAAUCAACAGCUAGGGUGUUGAUUCUGCCUCCCCUUUGCUGCCUUCUGCUGAGCCACGAAAAAUAACAUUGUGGAACAAUGACCCAGUUGCCAAGGGAAGUAAAAUCUGGCUGUAAAAUACCUGCACAUUAGCUUGAUUUUAUCUAACUGCAAGGAUCAGGAAGCCAUGAGCACUGUCACUGCUCCACAACCGGGUUAGAAUACACUCCCAUUUUACACAAAGCACAAGACCCUGAAGGUUUUAACUCUAUUAGCAAAUUUCAAAGUCAAAUGGCAGGGCUUCAGAGGUUUCCAGAACUAAAUUCACUCAUCUUUAAUUAGCAUGCCGUGAGCCAAAUAGAGAUGUCUCAUAUAAGGAGAUAUUGAAGUAAAUGCAGGUGCUCUAUAAUGAAAAUGCAUUUCUUUGAUCCUUGGCUAUGGUGUGUGAGUAAGCACCACUUUCCCCCUAGACUUAAAUAUCCAUCAGGCAGAAUAGGCAGGAGGACACAUUAUCUCAUAUAUAUAUAUAUAUAUGCAACCUGCAUUGAUUAAGCCUACCAGUAUCGUGGUCUUCCAUGUAACAAUCCUAAUCCAUUAUCCAAGACAGAAUUUCCUCACAAUCAUUUACUUAUGGGGAUGGUGAGAGGUCUGUGUAAAAAUGAAGUUGUGUUGCUCUUAUUAAUUCAGCUGAUUAGCACUGAAUUAUAAUUAACCUCAUAUUUUAGUAUGAAUAUAAUGCAGCUUCAGAGCUUGGGGAGAAUGACGUUUGAUUAUUUCUUAUCUCAACAAUGCCACCAUGCAAAACUGUGUUAAGUAUUAAAUACAAAUUUUAAAAAUAGGUCUGGACAGUCCAGAUCUAGCCGUGCAUAAUUAGCCAAGCACAACAAUUGGUUAGAUCCCAGAUGGCGGGGUGAAUCCUCACCUGCAACAAAUGAUACAACCAGACCAUUCUGCAGGGCCAAGAACAUCACAGUGUAGGUACAGAUACCAAUUUCAAUGUGCAUCUCUAUAACAGUUGUUUAAAAGGUGAGGUGUUCCAUUUCUGUGAUUCAGAAUAUCCAGAAUUCUGGGCCAUGACAUUUCCCAAGGGCCACCAUGACCUGUGCAGCGUAUCAGUAUCAGAUGCCAGACAAAGAGGAAGGGGGAAGAGGAAUUCCCUUAUUGUUGCUGCUGGAUAAUGGCCAUUGCCAAGUCUGAUGCAUCCAGUAAAUGUAGUUGGAGGACAGAUAAAGUGACAAUCCUACUUUGGCUCAGAAUUUAAUCUGAGCAUAUGAAUUUAGGAGCCUCAUAAUGCUCACCUCUUUUUUGAGGAAGGCAUUGUGAAACUCUGGUGGUCAUAUACAGAGGAGAUUCACAUUAUCUCUAGACACGUAGCAGUGACUUUGACGCAUCACCUCUUCCAAGGGCAGGUAAGUCCACUGGCAUUUCUAUGUUAUGAAUGAUGGAAUUAUCUGAUCACACCAACAUAUAGAAGCAUUAUCCCACUGCAGGGUUUGAGGGGGUUUUGCCUGGAGAUGCCAUGGGUUGAUCAAGGGCCAAUGUGGCAUUGUGGCUAGAGGGCUGGUCUAUGACCUGGGAGAUUAGGGUUCGAAUCCUCACCUUGCCGCAAAGCUUACUAGGUGACCUUGGGCUAGUCACCAUCUCUAACUUACCUCACAGGGUUGAUAAUAAUAAUAAUAAUUUAUUAUUUAUACCCCGCCCAUCUGGCUGGGCUUCCCCGGCCACUCUGGGCGGCUUCCAAAAGAAUAUUAAAAUACUAUAAUACAUCAAACAUUAAAAGCUUCCCGAAACAGGGCUGCCUUCAGAUGUCUUCUAAAAGCCUGGUAGUUGUUGUUCUCUUUGACAUCUGGUGGGAGGGUGUUCUACAGGGAAGGCGCCACUACCGAGAAGGCCCUCUGCCUGGUUCCCUGUAACUUGGCUUCUCGCAGUGAGGGAACCGCCAGAAGGCCCUCGGUGCUGGACCUCAGUGUCCGGGUAGAACGAUGGGGGUGGAGACGCUCCUUCAGAUAUACUGGACCAUAUAUGUGGAUAAAUGGGAAAGGAAGUGAACCUGGUGACCACCUUGAGCUCCUUGGUGGAAAUGUAGUAAAUAAAUAAAUGAAAUAAGCUGGAACCUCCUACAUACAAAAUGUGCUCUGAGCUAUGUCCCUAGGAAGGAGGCAAAACACCAGGGCAGUAAAUCUUGCUGAGACACAGUGGGCAACCUCUUUUGUGGAAAAUAAAAAAUACAUUUCUUGUAACAUACAUAGUAGUUCUCUUGCAGCACAUGAAUUUGCUCCAGUAAACUGUCUAGAAGUGUCAUUCUGAGCCUAUUUGACCUUAAAACAAACAAUUGCUUGGAUAAUGUGGGAAUAUGAGAAAACAACCAUAAACCACUGGUUUGCGGUAUUAUAUGCUGUGCUUUUUUUCAGCUGUUUGCUCAUCUUUCCCUUUCAGCAAACCUUACAUAUUAGAUUACUGAUCUUUAAUGUAAUGUCUCCUUGGUAGGAUAACAUACUGAAGCUACUGCAUUUCCUUAAAAGGUGCUUAGGCACCGAUUUCCCAUAGCCUGCAAUCAGGGCUUUGAAACUGUAACAUUUGUGACAGAAUAAACUCCAUUAACUUGUUUUAUUAGUACUGUGUGCAGCGAGGAGGAUCAGUUCUGUUGAACAUGAUGAAAUGACUAACGGGUUCCAUCAGAGUAUGACAGAGUGUUUUCAUCUCACAGAGAAUAUAUAAUUACUGUUCACAUAAGCAGGUACAAAUUCUUUAAAAAAAGAAGAAGAAGAAAGAAAUCCUCCCUCCUUAGGCAGCACAGAAAUCUUAAGCUUUUUUAUUCAUGGGAGAAGUAAAAUAAAAUAAAGUGUGCUCCCCACUCCUGCGUGCCCAAGUGCACACACACACACACACACACACACACACACACAUUUCUGUCUUGUUUUUCUCUCCUGUCUGUUCUGGCUUUCAUCCGCAUAACAGAAAAUGAGCCAGUAACUGAAGCGGGAUUCUAUAGUGACCAGGCACCCUGACAAGCACAAAGGAGCUUCAUUCGACUCAUAAGGGCCCAUCACAUUGUUUUAAGAGCAAUACCCAGAACGGAGCAUUAAAGAAGGCCUUUUGAGUAGGCUAAAUGUCAAUGAAACAUGCCCAGAACAAUAUAUAUAUAUAUAUAUAUAUAUAUAUAUAUAUAUAUAUAUGUAUGUAUUAUUAAUGCUGCACUGACUCUCUAUGCUCACUUCAAACCUGACGCAUCUGAGCCAAUGCCGGGCAGGGUGAAUGCUCAUCUCACGGAGUUGCAUCGCAUUGUUUCCCAGCUCUGCUGCGCCCUCUGCCUCGCCCUCUGCUGCUGCUGCUGCUUGCCACCACGUCUCUUCUUCUUGGCCGGCAGUCUUUUGCCCUCAUGGCCACUGAAUCUGAUUGGUGGGGUGACCCAAAUGAUUUUGUUUAUGCCUGUGACAUCACAUCAGGCAGAGCAUGGUAGCAUCAUCUCAGGGUUGGCCCAAGACAUUUUUGCACCUGAGGCAAACCACAAAAUGGUGCCCCUCCUCCCCACCAGGAACAAAGGGGUGAAUGAAGAUCUACAUCAGGAACAAAGGUUGACAUUGGGAUCUGCUACAGACCCUUUAAGUGUCCCUAUUUUCCAGGGACAGUCGUGGAUUUACAGAAGCCAUCCUGUUUCUGAUUUGAUCCGGGACUGUCCCGCUUCUCCUUAUUUUCAUUGAAGAAGUGUCGGAGGGUGUGCUGCUGCCUCUGCAGAUCCUGCCGCUUGAGGCGGUUGCCUCACCUUCCUUGUGGGUGAGCCGGCUUUGCAUCAUCUGAUUAAGCAAAGCGUGUUCUCAUUAAAGGAGAGCGCGUGUUGCGGAUGGGGCCGAGCAAAGCAUCCCAUGGUUGCCAGGCAGGAUAGAUUGAAGGGGCCUGGCUUGGAUUGGUGGUUGGUGUUGCUGGGGUAAAUUUGAUGUUGCCAAUUUAGGGGUGGGAACAGAGGUUAUUUAAACAAGGCUCACAGCAUGUUCCUUUCUCUUUCGCUGUGGGCACCGGAUCACCCACCCGCCCGCCCUCCCUUGAUUGGGCUUGUGCUUUGACCUUGCUAUGCCUGUCAUGGGGUCAUCCGCAUUGGUGCGGGAGCCUGGUAGGAAUUUUUCCUUUUGGCUGAUUAGUGUGUGCCAAUUGGUUUUUGCCUACUGCGUAGCAAAUCGUCACAACUUGUAAGGUUGGCAGUUAGGCAUUGGUUUAAAUUGGUUGGUGGAGGGGUAUGGAUUGGCUGUGCCUGCCCCUCCAAUGCUGCUGCUGCACGGGAAUUCCGUUAAAGGAAUUCAGGGGCUUACCAUCCUCUCGUCCAAACCCCUGGAAUCGGGUUUGGGCCGCGUAAGCUCCUGGGAGCAUGCGGGGAGAAGCUGAGGGUCUGUGUCGCAGCUCCAGUUAUCCCUGAUCUUGUUCCUCCACACUGGCUCUCGCUGGAAUCCGGGAGUCAGUGCUGUCCCCAAGGCGGGGGGGGGGGCAGAUAGUCAUAACCAAUGCCUAAGCAACCACUCACAAUUUGUAUUUUAAUAAAGUUGUGGCCAAAAUUAUGCCAAAAAUCUUAAACAAAAAAUUAUGUGCGAUGUGUGAGUUAUUGGGGUAGGGGUGUUUUGGGGACCUCAGCACGCAACAAUGAGGCUGAGGACAGUGAGAAGACGGCAAAACCUGAGAUGCAGAAGAGCAUUAACACAAUCUGGAUGUGUCUGCAGAGAAUGCUGAACAUAAUUGAAGACUGGGUUCUCCCUUUUCUUUUCAACAUGCCAGAAAAAGAGCGUGGUAUGUAGAUUCCAUUUUAUAUGUUCUAAUAGGGCUGUGUUGGGAAUUUCUGGAAGGCAUCGGUUUGUCCUGGAUCUCAAGUAAACUGAGAAAUCGCGUCUUUUGGGCAUUUUCCUAAAUAAAGCUCAACAACUUUGGGGGUUUUACUUCUUGAAAUAUGGAAACCCUAAAUAAAUAAGCAAAUGGUUGAAAGUUAUUCCAGCAUUAGAAAACCAAGCCUGACUGUAUUUUUCCAAAGCAGGUAUCUCAUACUGCGGAUGGCACAGCUGCAAACAUUUAUCUGAAGAGGAGAGAGAGAUUCUCUUUCUUCUGCAACAACUCCGACAACAUUAGCCACUUGAGAAACAUAAAUGGAUUUCUCUUUUCCCCUCUACCUCCAUUUCUGCCACCUUUUUUCUUCCCUCAUUGAAGAUGAAACCCAGCCUCCAAGCCAGCAGCAGCUACACAAAACUUCCCAUAUAAAUGUAGCAGAAUACAUGUUAGUCUGGAAUACACACACACACACACACACACACACACACUCCAAACAAUCACAAAGGGAAAUGAUUGGGAAAAAAGAUUCCGUUCAGAUAUUGAAAGGUGACAAACGGGGGGGGGGGGGUCCUAGCCCAUUCUUUUUUUCUUUGUGAGAAUGUGUUUUUGAGCUGCACCUCCGUAUAACUAAAAAUGACUUUUAAAAAUAGCACUGAUUUAUAGAUUUAUAGAUUCACAUAUCAACUGGAGAAAGGUUCAUUUUAUGUUACAGCUCUGUCUGUUGCUCCUCGUAUAGUUAAGGGGCUUGUCAGCACUGCAAUUAGAGAACCUCCCGACAUUCUGAGGACUGUAAUUUGGACAUAAAAAUUUCAAUGCAGAAUGAACUUUGAAAUAAGAUUUCAUUUGGGAGGGUUCUUUUUUAAUACUGUCAGAAAAAAAUACUUCACUUUUAAAUGGAUAUGGCUGUAAAACAGGACCAGAGACUGCAGUAGGUCUGGACUGCACUGUGGUACUAUUCUAGAGAGGAAAUUAAUUUGCUCUCCACAAUUAUCCUGAAAAUUCCCCUAUGUAUAUUAUCUCCAGCUAUCUUCUUCAUGCAUACACACACACACAUAUGCCAAAUAUUUACCAGAGAAGUGAAAAGAAGUGGCUGUGCUGGCUUCUGGGUUCUGGCACAAUCUCACAAGAGCCCCAUGAAAUCCUGAGGAGCAAACCUUUGCCCCCAAUAAAUAUUUGAGUGGGCCAGGGGCCCCCAAAGCUGAUGGGCAUUGUCUUUUGUUUAAUAUAAUUUUUUAUUAAUUUUUCAAUAUAUCAUUUUCAACAGUAAUUAAACAUACUUUCAUUUCUUACACCAUUUUUUUUACUUCCAUCAAUCACAUCUGAAAAUUUUCCAAUCUAUUCACUUAAUAUACAUUUCUUACUUCCACUAUUACAUUUAACUCUCAAAACUACUAUCACUAUUCUUUCUCUACUUGGCAAUAUUUCAUAUAUUUCUCCUUCAAAACUUCUUGUAGUCUUACUAGCGUAAUUUGUUGAUUACAGUUGCUCUUCAAAUAGUUCAUCUAUUUCUUCCAAUCUUCUGUAAAUCUCUGGUCCCGUAGGUUUCAAAUCCUUCCUGUCAUUUUAUCUAAUUCUGCGUAGUCCAUUAAUUUUGUCUGCCAUUCUUCUUUUGUCGGAAUUUCUUCUUGCUUCCAUUUCUGGGCCAACAAUACUCUUGCCGCUGUUGUAGCUGAUGGCCAUUGUCAUCCAGAUGACAUGCAUGGCCCUGUCAUGGGAUCAGUUAUGCAGGGUGGGCCCUACCUCCCCCCCUCCAAUAUUUUAUUCAGGUUGGCACCCCCGACUCAGAGAAGUUUCCCAUCAUCACUACCAGAUCUUUAUAAUCCUUGGUUUUGCUCACUGCAGCCCUUGACGCAUGGCUGGUGCAAUGCAUUUUGGCAUUUGAGACAAACCACAAAAUGGUGUCUCCCCACUGGCUAGGGAACAAGGGUGGGGGAGUGAAGAUCUACAUAGGGGGGAAGGUGUGUGAGAGGGAAUUAAAUCAACCUUUCCCAAUGGGUGAAGUAGGUGUGGGGGGGGGGGUUUGCUCUGAAUUGUGCUGGAGCUGGCACUCAGGGGACCCCAGAGGGCAGCGGCCACCAUUUUCUCCCUAUGGGCAGGAGGAGCCCACCAAUGCCCCAAAUUCUCUAUGAGUCCUCUGUAAAUGUGGCAAAGGGGGGUGGGGUUGCCAAGGAGGCAGUAGAUCCAGCCUCCAAGGUGUGUGUUGCAGCUGUUCCUGUCACCACAGCAGAAGCGGUUGCUGCAUUUUGUGGAGGUCAGAUCUGCUGCCCCUGUAGAUCCUGCUGUCUGAGGCAGUUGCCUUACCUUGCCUCAUGGUUUGGCCUGCCCUGCCCCGACACCCAUCAGUGGAUUAGUGCUGCCACUGCAGAACCCAUUCCUGCCUCCUGUCCCUCUUCCUCCUUGACUGUUCCACAAGCCUUGCCAAUCACAGAUCCACCAGCUUCCCUUCUGAUGCAGCAAUCAACAGCAAAAUCCUUCUGCAGGGGUUGGACUUCCUCAUGCUCUGUCACUUGCUUCAAGCAAGUUCAGAAGGCAAGCCAAUGCACAGAAGCACCUCAGUAGGAGCAGCCCAAGCACCCCUCUCUGCCAUCUUUGUUUCCUCAUUGCAUAAGAGCUGGCAAUGUGAGAGAAAAUGGGCAUGUAUCCCCAUUCACAGUGACCUUUGACCCCACCGGGACUUGACUUUGGUCACCCUCUGCCAACUUUUGCCUUUCCCACUGAUAGAGCACCUGGCAAUUACCCCCUUGACACCAGAAAGAUUCUAUUCCCCCUUUUUUAACUGGAGAUGCCAGGGGUUAAAUUUGGGGCCUUUUUAAAGCAAAGCAAAAGCUCUCUGAUUAGAAGAAGAAGAGUUUGGAUUUGAUAUCCUGCUUUAUCACUACCCAAAGGAGUCACAAAGCGGCUAACAUUCUCCUUUCCCUUCCUCCCCCACAACAAACACUCUGUGAGGUGAGUGGGGCUGAGAGAUUUCAGAGAAGUGUGACUGGCCCAAGGUCACCCAGCAGCUGCAUGUGGAGAAGCUGGGAAGCGAACCCGGUUCACCAGAGUACAAGUUCACUGCUCUUAACCACAACAUCACACUGGCUCCCUUCCUACCAGGGAGGUGUGCGCUCCACAAUACAUUGGACCCAACUUUUUCACAACAGGGCAUGCAAGUUUUAUGAGGCGGAUAUAUAUACUACAUUUUGGAUGCAGAAGUGGGGUUUUUGGCACAUAAUAAGAAACACAAUUUUGUUAUUCCUCAGACUGAAUACCUGGCUUUUAAAAGCCUUUCCCCACAUCCCCACCCCACCCCUGACCUCAACACACUUAGAAACAUACACCUAUUUUGCUUCCCAACAUAAGCAAGCAAGGAAGUGCCAUGUUAUCAUGCACAUUCAAAGAUUUACAAAAUUAUACCCUGCUUUAGAACUAGAGUUCAUUAUUGUCUUGGAAAUGUAAUAUAUACUGUUAUGGACAGUUUUCUCAAGAGGAAAGAAAUAAAAACAGACUUUUUUCAAGUUAGAUUGGUCUGCUUCCACUGUUGAACAUUUUAAAUAAAAACUCUCUUUUGACUUAGUUACCUGAUUAGAUAUGGCCAACAGCUGUAGCCAGUCAUUCCUCCGAUUGUGUCAUGGUAAUGAGUGAACUGUAAGGCUCAUUCUUCUGUACUUCUGUGAACUGGAAGGGCAUCCAUAGACUCCUAAUGCUAUUCAGCAGUUGGAAAUCUCACCCAGACACAUUCUUAAAUAAAUAUUUAGCAUCAGUUGUGUUCUGUACCCUGCUCCAAAGUACAUGAAAGAGAACUCCAGUAGAGAGUAGACUACAAUAGCCUGCUGCGUUCUUGGCUUUUGGCAGCAUAUAAAAUGUUAGCGAAACGGUUAUGGAUGGAAGAAAUGAGAGUGGUUUGACUGUUAUAUGUGGUCCUAGAGCUUCAAACCUCCUGACGUUUAUGAACUACAUCUCCCAUCAUCCCUGGCCAUUGACUAUGCUUGCUGAGGCUGCUGGGAGUUGUAGUUCAGCAACAUCUGGAAAUCCAAAGAUUCCCCACACCAAGGGCGCCGACUUGGGCCCCAGGUUAUGGCUGCCCAGUGUGCACGUGAUGAGGCGUCAUGACGUGGGUGCGCCAUUUGGGGAGCUUCUGCUGCCUGAAGCAGCAGCUUCACCCGGUCUAAUAGCUGGGCCAGCUCUGCUAAGGACGCCGUUUUGGUUGUACCACCUCUGUUCCUGCAAGAAGACCAGCAAAUAAAUAUCAUUCUGGACCCAAAUGGAUGUUAAUGAAUUUACUCACUUCUUUGUUCUGGCAUUGCAAAUCAGAUCUCUUUCACUUACCUUUCCCCUCCACACCCCUGCCCUUUUAUGUCUAUUAAUUUGAUGUAUUUGCAAUGCCCGUGUAACAGCAUUAUUAGUACUGAAUUUGUGUUGCUGUGUUUCACUUUGAAUGCUAGUUUUUGGCUCAAAAGUGGGAUAAAAUAUAUCAAGUGGACAACAUCUUUUCCCAAGGGGCUUGUGAGGUGGGGUGGAAGCAAACUGUUGCAUUUACAAAACAAACAUUGAAAGCUGUAAUCUUAUGAACAUAUCUUUCUUAUGAGCAAGUAUUUCACAGUUCCGUUGGGGCUGUCUUCUAACUAAACAUGAAUAGGAUCAGGUUGCAAUUAUAUAUGAUUUUCCACAGUAACAUAUGUUGAAUUAUUCUGUGCAUCUCAGCUGUGAAGAUGUUGAUUUCACGUGCUUCUAGUACCAUUAUUAAAUUAAACAAAAAAAAAUUAAUGCAAUGGGAAACUAAAUAUAUGAGUUAAGCAAUAAAAGGAAUACUGACCUAUUGAAAAAUUGGUCUGAUCUUUAAAAAUAUUCCAGAAUAGCAAUGAUGAGACUAUUAACAACAGCAGAAUGAUGACAGAUAUUCAUUAGUGUUUGCAUAUGAAUGAGAAGGCACUUAAUUACAAAUUAUACUUGGCAAAUUAUUUAGUAGCUGUAAAUCAAACGCUAGAAAGAUGAAAGAUUUUGAGUGCAAGAUACUGAAAGAUUUUUUUUUAACACAGGCAGUCUAGAGCAAAUUGGAGGAGCUGAACAUUCUUUCAAAGCACAGUAUUUUAAAAAGCAAUUAUAAUUCAGAAAUCCUAGGGCACAAUCCACCAGGAAGGAAUAUGGUGCAAGCUUUAUUAAAAUGAAUGAACUCUUGUGUUAUUCCCCUUAUUUCACUGGGGAAAAACUUCCUGUUGGAUUGUGUCUCCACUAUUCAGUUUGUACAUAAUAGUUCUUAGACUGCAGUUCACCCAGUGAUAACAGACUGGAUAAUUCAUGUCUUAAAACCAUUGCUAAUUGUUAACCAAACUAAAAUAUCUAAAAUAACAAAAUAAAGUUGUGAGAAUAGUUACAAACAAAGAAAGAAAGAAAGAAAGAAAGAAAGCUGCAAUUCUAUGCACUUACUUCAGAGGAAAUUGUAUAUAAUUCAACAAAACUUAAUUCCAAGUAAAUUUUCCUGGACAUGUUCGCUUCCAACUGCAGAAUUGCAGGUAUGUCCAGGAAAUUCCAGACGUAUGGCAGCCCUGGCUCUUUCUGUUUUACUUUUUGUUGUGAUUUCUUUAUCCGCGAGAAAAUAAUUCCUAUGAGAGCAGUGUGAUGUAACGUGAUGGGCAGAGUUUAGACUAUGAAAGGGAAUCUUUGAGUCAGCCACUAUCUCUGCCUCUCCGAGUUGUUGAGAGCAUAAAAUGGGUUAGGGGAGACCUUAGCUCCUGAAAGAACACUGGAGUAAUAAUGCAAAGAAUUACAAUACAGUUCUCCAUUGCUUCCAAUGCGUCAUUGAACUUAGACUUGAUGACUGUCACUUGAGUUUCUGGUCAACAUUUUAUUAUAUUUAUUUAUAUAGGGAACCUCCCUUGGGAGAGCAUUCUGCAAAUGGGAAACCACGGCAGAAAAGGCGCUUCUCAUCCAAAGGUCCAAAAGCCUCCUCAGACAAUCUCUUGCAUCUGAUGUAUUUAAAGAUUAUUGGUUUUAUAAUUUUUUUAGCAAUGUGCUUCUCCAGUUCUAUUUUAGCAUCCCUUCAUGUUUCCCUGCAUUUAUUUUGCCAAAGUUUUGGUUCUUUCUGUUCUCAUCACUUGACAAGACUUUUACUUUGUAAAGUAAGCCUUCUUGCCUUUAAUAGGUUCUUUGAUUCUACUCAUUAAACACAUUGGCAGUCUUGACCUAGGUGGCAUGCUUCUUGAACUGCAGUUUACAUGCUAGCUAAGCUUCCAAUAUUGUGGUUUUAAACAACUCCCAAGUAUUCUCGAGAGAGCUGACCUAUUUGACUUUCCCUUUCCACUUCCUCUAAACAAUCUCUUCAUUUUUAGGAAGUUUCCUCACUGAAAGUCAAACGAGAUUGUUUUGGAUUUUCUUGGCAAUUGUCCAUUUAAUAUAAUGUGCUUCCACACUCCCAGUAUGGGGGUCUACACUUCCUUCAUUUGAGCAAUCAUAAAGAAUUUAAUCCUCUGUCCUGAGGAAUGUUUUGUUCUGAACUGGAUGCAUCUUAGCUCCUGUCAGACCUCCCCCCCCAAAAAAGAACAGUUUAAAAGCUGGUCUGCAAUCUUUUUAUUAUUUAAGUGCCAACAGUCUGGUUCCAGACCUAUUCAAGUAGAGCCCUGCCUGCUUAUCCCAACAUGUUAUCCAGCACUUAACUAAUCCAGACGCUUCUUCCAAACAUCACCAUCUCAUCCAUAAUCAGCAUUGCAUGGCUGUUCCAGUGUGUGUAAGAGCUAGCCUUGCAAAAAAAAAAAAAAAAAAGCUACCUGGAAGGUCCUGACUUUCCACUUCCUACCUAGCAACUUAGAUUUCACUUCAAGGACUGGACCACUACAUUUCCAUACAUAAUGGGUGCCAACAUGCACCCCAGACACUUUGUCCUGCCCAGCACUGUCUAGCAAGCUAUCUAGGCAACAUCCACAACCUUCAUAUCAGGCAGGCAAGUCAUAAUACAGACGGAACACUUGUCACAAACCCAGCUAGUAUAUUAACAUCACCCACUAUCACCAUCCAGCUUCCUCCUGGAAGAGUAUCCUCAGCACAGGAGAAUUCCUGCUCAUCCUUGAAGGUGUGGCAAUUCUUGGCAAUUGUGCAUUAACAUACACAUUUAAUUUAAUAGCAAUGGUCACAGUUCCCAAUUGCUCCUUCUAAGAGAUCACUCCCCCCCCUACCUUAGAGUGAUGCCCUCCUGCCCUGAGAGUCUCAUCCUCCAUGGGAGCAAGGGAGCUGCCACAUCCAUGGACGGCUUUCCCACAAAUCUUUUUCAGCUUCCCCAGGUCAGACAUAUUGGCCUCAAGGAAAUGAAUUUGUUCCCGGUGGGCAAGUAACUUAUUGCACAAGAGCACAUACCUAUGGCUUUUGUCUAGCUGGCAGAUAGCCAUAUAUGUGACAUUCUUUAUGAUAAACUGGAUAUCCCAAACUGCUUCUGGCUAUCUCCUUGCAUAUUUGUUUUGACAGUUUAUUGAGUAAGGGAUGUUACCUGAAAAACUUCACCAGUUUUCUAAACUUGUUUGGGCUCCCUCAAGAUUCCUCAGAAAGUUUUCACCUGCAGAGAAAUUCUCCAAAUGACUUUGAAUUUUGCUUUAGGCAAAGUGCUCAGAGUCAAUAAUAUGCUCGAGGAAGUCUAUUCAUACAGAUUCGAUGCUUAUAGUUUUGAAUUGGUAUUUUGAUAUUAUUCCUUAGAAUUGUUUAUGUGCACUUACAGAAAGGUCAGAUUCUGGUCUGAUAAUCAGCUCAUCCAUAUUGGCAAGCAUUCUUUUUUUAAAAAAGAGAGAGACAGAGAGACUACAAAAUUUUCAAAAGAGCAAAUUUACUAGCUGUGGUGGGUCAUCUAAUCAUAAUUAACCCACAUGUUGCACAGAUAUUUCUUUAUCUAGUUGAAUUUGUGCUUUGACAAAGCUCAGAGAACAACUGGGGGAGGGGGCACAGAGUCACUGCUUUGGUGGGAAUAAAUUCUUGUUCAGAAUAUCUGCCAUGAAGCAUAGCUGUAAACAUCAUGCACGAUCCAUAGUUCACUGCAACAAAUAGCUCCUUGGUGGGAAAGACAAAAUCUCAGCAAAGCAGAGAAAAGAUAAAGGACUGGCACAUUUCCUGGCUUUGCACAUCCUCAGAUAAAAUACCCUGACUACAAGGAACUUGCAGGCUGCAGAGCCUAAUAAAGCAAUUAGGCUUGCUUUCACAGAAAGAAAGAGCAGCACUCACCUUCAUUUUUUCUUCAAGAGACAAAGGCGCAGUUCAUUGUCAUUUUUUAUUAAAGCAGAUAAGGAUGGAACUCCAGGUUGGGACCCUUCUAGUCAAUGAGACCUCUAAAAACCACUCAGCUGCAGAGACAGCAUUCAAGAAGCCCCUUGAGGCAACAUGAACUCAAUAGCUUCAGAACCAAUGAACUGGUAGGAUCAUGAAGUGAUUUCUCUCCCUGCCCCUCCCAUUUCUUCCGGAUUGUUUUGUCCCAGAUGAUCAGGCCUGAAAAUGUUUGAUGCAAAGCCCAGACUGUUCUCACUGAAUCAGUUUGUGUGACUUUUCACCACAUGGAAAGGAAUCUUUUUCUUUGUGUUUGCAUGGAUUCUGAGGUACAGCAGGUGUGUGGACACAAUCAAUCCACAUUCUCAACCAUCACCAUGAAGAAAAGGCUUCCAGGGCUGACAGGUGUGUGAAUGAAUCUUUAUUUGCAUCAGCCAUCGGCCAUAGCAACAAAACAACAAUAGGAUAGACAAAGAAUAGAAAUAAAAAGUCAAUUGUAUAAAACACAUUAUAGGGUUUUGGAUCGAUAGUCAAAUAGUGGAAUAUUAUUCUCAUUGCCCCAGCUAAAAACCUUGCAUGCGGAUAUAAAUAAAGCAUAAAAUGGCCCCAAAAUAGGCUCAGCACAUUAAGUUAAAAAGGUAAUAAAAAAUUAAACAGGUCCGGGACUAGGGCACACUACCCUGUCAGAGUAGCCCUGAGUUUCAGCGCCUGCACUGUGAAGAUUGCCACCCCACGUGAAAUUUGGGGAUUUGCGUCCACAAGAAGUGCUUUCAAACAGUCUUCCUUAGAUGAAAUGGAGGACGGGAUCAAGAGGAGGAGCUUAGGUCUUAUUGGGUCAUAAAUAGGGCAGUAGAAAAAGAAAUGUAUGAAGUCCUCUACUUCAUUCAUUGUGCAUGGACAUAGACGCUGAGUAAUAGGGGUCUUAGAGUAGGUCCCCUGCAGGAAGGCCGUGGGUAUAGAAUGAAAGCGGGCCAUUGUAAACGCUCUUCUCAAAUUGGGCUCCGUCAGGUCUAUCAAGUAGUUGGCAAGUGAUCUUACCACUUUCACUUUAGGGAGCCACAUGGAGAGGCGAGCUGAGGUGGACUGUGCCCGGUCCAUGGCCUCAUCUCUUGUAAGAAUCCAGGCCCGGAUAUUAUGUUGGUCCCAAGAUGACAACGUGUCGAAAUCUGGGAGGGAGUAGCGUACAGUAAUAGUCUCCAUGGCCUUGGACCAUUUGUUGGAGUGAGAACAAGUUAAAAGGCUUGCCUGGCUAGUAGGGAACCUGGGGCAUUGAUUAAUUUGCAAUAAAAACUAAUAAUUCUAAUGUGGGCUCUCGCAACAAUGGAGGGAGGCCCAGUUCUGUUCUUAACUGUGCAGCAACCGAGCCCUUGGGGAGACCCAGUAUCUUUCGUGCAAUAGAGUUUUGUAUAAUCUCAAUCGGUUGUAGUGUUUUUAAAUUCCACCCCAGAUUUCAACCCCAUACAGUAACAUCGGGAGGACUUUGCUGAUAAAUGCUUUUCUGAUUGGUGGAACCAACUGGCCGCCUUUUGCAUAGAAGAAUUUCUCCAAGGCUUUGAUGGUUCUACGGGCAGCCAGGAUGGUCAUAUUUAGGUGAGCUGACCAGCUAAGCCCAUGCUGAAAAGUGAUUCCCAAAUACUUGAAUGCUGAGCAAUAUUCAAUAGAGUGGCCCUCAAAAUUCCAGAAUGACUUCCGAGUUUUCGUGCCAAAAGUAAGAAUUUUGGUUUUGGCGAAAUUGAUUUUGAGGGAAUUGGUAUCACAAUAUGUGAGCAUGUUGUUUAAGCCCUGCUUGGUUAAAGACAGUAUCACCAUGUCGUCCGCAUAGAGUAAUAUGGGGAUCUUAAGCUGUUGUAAAGAGGGGGCAGAUUGAUUUAGGGCCUGCAUAGUUGUAACGAUGUCGUUGACAGGUGUGUUGUCCUGUGCUGCUGGAGAGGAAAGCAGAGAAAAAGCUAUAACACUGGGUGAAGCCAGCACCUGGGGAGGGGAAAUAAAAGGAGGCAUUUCUGAGAGAGGGUUCAGAUAGUUGAGAGAUAGUUUGUGGGGGAGACUUAGAGAGUUGGUCUUGGUCUCUCUCUCUCUGUGACAUCCGCUCUGAGGGAAAGGAGUCUCCUGAGCUUAGACUGGAAGACAGAGUGUCUUGGGAGAGUAUUCAGACAGAAAUGAACUGGAGGGCUGAGUCUGAGCAGGAGAAUUAGAAGUUGUGAGGAUCCAGUCGGGAGGAGAGAGAUCUUCUAGGUAGAGAAGACUCCCAAGCCUGUUAAGAGGGGUAAGGUGAUUCCCUGGGUCUGUUGCACUGCCAGAAGUACCUCAGGAGUGUCAUUGACAGAAGGUUGGGAUCUGACAGAAAGUUCCACCUUGCUUAAGGACCAAAGUAUUAAGCUGUAACACCAAUGCAAAAACUAAGCUAAGGAGCUGAAGUGAAAUAACUGGAAAUAAGCUGAGCAUUGACCAUCUAGGCUAGAAACCUGUAACAUGUAACUGAAGCAUAAGAACUGAAUUAAGCAACAAAACUUUAAAAGAAGUUGCAUCUAGAAGCCUUGUGUAGAAGCCUAUAAAUAUAGUGUAAUAUUAAUAAGUUAACUGUUUCCUGAAAGAACAUUAUCUCAUGACACACCCUUUGUUUUAUUAACUUUGUUCUAUAAAAUAUCCACUCACCUGGGAUUCCAGGUGGGUGGCUGUUGCCGCAUGGCACAAACAUGGUAGUCCAUGGAGGCUACCACCUUUCAUCAGGCCCUCAGGUAAGGGUAGGCAGUGCCCGCUUGGGCCAAUUGGAGGCUGGGACUUGGGGGCUGCAAGCAGCCCACCCCAGCCUACUUAAGGGGGCAGCCAAGUGCAGGCUGCCCGCUUGGCCAAUUGUUGUGGGAUUUUCUACCCAUCCAGUCUUUGGGGCCCGCCCAGGGGGCGAAGCGGGCACAUUGCCUCUGGACCUUGCUAUGGUUAAUUCAGACGCCGUAUUGGGGGUCAGGGAGGAAUUUUCUCCUGCAAACAAAUUGGCUGGCUACCUCAUAGCAACCGUCACAAUUUCAGUGGAUAAGGCAUUGGGCUGGAUUCUUAGUCACAGGGGUACCCUGUUAGAGGGGGUGAGUCGUGUGGCAUCUGCGCAGUGGCAGCAGGAGGCUCCAUUAGCUAAAGUGGUACCUCAGGUUAAGAACAGUUUCAGGUUAAGAACGGACCUCCAGAACAAAUUGAGUUCUUAAUUGAGUUCUCCCAAUAGCGGCCUGUGUGGGGUCUUGGCAUCCAAUCCAUUUUUGAGUUGACUCCCCAGCACAGGUUUGACACCACCAGGUUCCUAUCAGGUAGCUAGCAGGCUGCCUGAUGCAGGAUACAUGCCCAAUGCCUUAGCCAAACCUACUCUAUCCUGUAAUCAAUAAAGUUGUGGCCCAGUUCAAUCCAACAGCAGUCUCCUGUGUCAUUCCUGUGGCCCACCCUUCACCUGCCGCAGCCAUUAUGCAACUGUGCUGGCCAUAAAUCCUUUUUAUUUUUUCAACUUCUGCCUGAGUCUCCAAGUAUCAAAGCUUUACCUCAUGGAAAAAGAAACAUUAGAUUAUGCAUGGGUGUUACAUAGGCUAACUGUAGGUAGGGGACCUGUAACCACUGGCUUACAGAGAGGUGGGAUCUGCUACAAAAUGGCAAGAUAACCCUUGGAGGUUAUAGUGUCCUAUGGAGGGGGUUCCACUUGACUGAGCAGUGGGGUCUCAGCAGCUGCUUGAAGAUAUCUGGUGCUGACUAUGGUGCACCACUGUCUGCAGCUCCCCAGUUAUAACUUGCACUUGGGGCUGGGUGGAGGGGUGCAUCCUGCAUAUGUCUCAUUGCCAGGACCUAGGCUUGUGAGUUAUGUGUUAGGAUAUUUCCGUUCCACCUUAAAAGGGGGCAGGCUUUGUGAGUCACAGAGUCUGCGUAUUUCCUGUGUCACAGGAUGUUUCUGUUGUGUCUUUGCUUUCGCUCUCUCUGUGUCUGUAGACACUGACGCUGGCAGUCAUGUUUUCUUUGUUCUGAUCAACGCUGAAUAAAACUUGUAAAUAAUGCUCUCCUGCGUGCAACUUUUGCUGUGCAUUAUCGGCUGACAGAGCGUGCAUGAGUUCUGGAAUGUGGCAGGCUAUUUCUGGAGCUCGUGUCGCUAAUUGCUGAUACUGUAUCUACGGGAGAUUGAUGGACCGUCCGGAUGCCGGCUUGUGGGGCCAUGAUGGACUUUGUCUCCCUGGCAGUAUCCCAACAACAGGUUAUGGGCCCAGAUUCACGGCACUUACAGGAGAGUAAGACUGUGACGGACUGUUGAGAGGUAUGUGGGCAGAAAUGAGGCUUUUAUGUUGCCGCGGCAAAGUCUCUUUGAUGUCCGGCUGGCCUAAUUGGUCUGGGAGCUGCGCCAGAGGCUUCGUGAUUUAUGGGUGCCAAGAUAAGGAGUCUCUGAAGUGAAUAGGGCUCAAUGCUCAAGUGAAGAGCUGGAAUGGAGUUUUUCCAAGCUUCUGAAACUGCUGAGUGCCCAAAGUUAAAUCGGCACAAUUAUGAGACAUGGGCAAAAUGGUGUGAAAGUUUGCUGCAUCAGUUUGGAGUGUGGCAUACUGUGUCUGAAGCCCCUCCAGUUCCUCUGACAGAUAAAUGGAGGGCCCAAAAUUCAAAGGCCAUAGACGUAUUAGUCUUGUCCGUCUCUCUGGAGGAGAUUAAAACGUUAGCUGGCAACACGACUGCACGUAAGAUGUGGAAUGCUUUGAAGAUAGCCCAUCUGCCAGUCAUCCCAGCCCAGAGUUUGACUGCAUCGGAGGUCCUGGCUGUUUCCCAGAAUGCGAGUGAAUGCAGGGAUGCCGGGGGCACCAGUUGCAAGCUGCAGGGGGAGCUGACUGUGAUGUCAUCCCAGGCAGCAUUCCAGCCUCAAGGGGGAGCCAAGGAGUCGAUAGCUGAGAGCUCUGUUUCUCGUGAGAACCAAGGUCAUCGCCUUUGCAGAGGCCGGAAGGCCAGAGGUAAACAGAGACAGAUGCCUGCAGAUGGCCAGAAGCAGAAGGGGGGUGGAAAGCCCAAGCCAGGGAAAAAUAAGGCUUUGUUUGCUGGCACAGCUUCACCAAAGGCUAAAGGCAAGUCUGAUGGCCAGGAGCAGGGGGGCAAGCAGCAAAAGCCCACCCGGUGGAAAACAAGGUUUUGCUUGCUGCAAAAGCUGCUCCAAAGGCCAAGGCCAGAUUUAUUACAGAUUCUGGAUGCACCCGCCAUGUGGCGAAAGACCGGCAUCUCUUUAUCUCCUUCAAACCUCAAAAUGGUGAGAUCCACCUAGCUGACGGAAAGACGUUGCGAAUCGCAGGAGAGGGGACUGUGAGACUGGCAAGUCUGCACACAACCAUCAAAGGAGUACUUUAUGUUCCAGGUGCUGCAGACAAUUUGCUCAGUGUCCCACAGCUGACUGGGCAUGGUUUUGAGAUUUCCUUCAAGAGGAGCGUCUGUGUCAUCAGGAAAGGCAAAUAGGACAUUUUGCAUGCAAAGUUUAUAGAUGGUUUGUUCUGUAUAACUUAUGAUGACAAUGGUGCUGUUGUGUCUAAUGUUGAUUCUUGUUGUGUUGCACAAACUAACAAAAUUCUUCAUGCAGGAUGCAUUCAUGAUGCACAUCGAAGAUUUUGUCACCUGUCUUGGCAGGUGCUGGCCAAGAUGCCAGGAUUGGUUCAGGGUUUGAACAUCAAACCCUGUAAGUUUCACAUGAAAUGUGUAUCUUGUGCAGAGAACAAGGUGAAGGUUGCUCCAAAAGGCAAGGAGUCUAGCAGGCAGGCUUCCAAACCCUACCAGCUAGUGCACGCAGACCUGGUAGGUCCACUUGCGCCCUCUUUGGGUGGAGCAAGGUACUUCAUGGUUCUAAUUGAUUCUUUUUCCAGGUACAUUCAUGUGUUUAUGCUCGAGCAGAAAUCGCAAGCGUUUCCUAAGUUCAAGGCAUUCUGUGCUUGGUUGGAGAAUGUUCACAGUAAACGUAUCGGCUGUCUCUUUACUGAUCGGGGCGGGGAGUUCACUUCUCAGCGGUUUGAAGCUUUCCUGAGAAGGGAAUCCAGCAUGACUUGUCAACGCCUAGAUCGCCAUGGAUGAAUGGACUUGUGGAGCGAGCAAAUCAAACGUUGCUUCAAGACCUAAAACCCUUGUUGCAUGAUGCCAAUCUCCAUGAUAAGUAUUGGGGGGAGGCUUUGUCGACUUUUGUUUACACUUAUAAUCGCAGACUGUCAUCACCUAUUGGUUGUACCCCCUAUGAGAAGAUGUUUGGUAAGCAACCUUGUGUCAAGCACAUGAGAAUCUUUGGUUCUGACAUGUGGGUACACACCCCACAGAGCAACAAGCUUGGGAAGCGUGGGGCACAUGGUUUGUUCAUGGGGUACGAAAAAGGAGCAUACAGGGUAUGGAUGACUGACUCUAAGUCCAUUAAGUUCACAAAGAGUGUUGACUACAAUCCUAAGUGGGGAGAAAAUGUGGGAAUUUUCCAGAGGUACCCAGAGGAAGAUGAAGGUGAUGUGAAAAAAGCAGAUGAUGCUAAGGAAGCUGAGGAAGCUGAGGAUGAUGAUGAUGAUGAUCAGAGUUCAGAUUCCAGUUCAGUGGGUGGCGCUGCUGCUGAUGUCAGCGACAGUGAUGACACAGCAGACUACAAGAGCGCAAAGGCCUCAGUCAGACCAUCUGAUGCGUCUGACAAUGAACUGGAAGAACCACUGUUCACCAUUGGUCACUUUUCUCCUAAGAAGGAGGAGAUGAGUCCAGAAGACUUGCGUCUAGUACGCAGAUCUGAAAGGGCGACGAAGGGCAAACCUCCAAAGAGAUUUGCUGAUGAGUUUGCUAAGACAGCAACUGCUGUUCUUAGUAGCUCAGAGAAGGUAUGGGAACCUUCAAGCUUCAAAGAGAUUCAGGAGUUAACCUCUAAAGAUGCUGAGCCUUGGCUUAAUGCCAUGAAGGCAGAAGUUGAUUCCUUGAACAGGAACCAAACUUGGGAACUGGUACCGGUAGUCCCAGGAAUGAGACUGGUUGGCAGCAAAUGGGUCUUCAAGGCCAAGACAGACCAGAAUGGCAAGGUUGUCAGACACAAAGCCAGAUUGGUUGCCGGAGGUUUUUCACAGGUACCAGGACAGGAUUACCACGAGACCUACUCUCCCACAGUCAAGUAUGAGAGCAUUCGGCUGAUGCUCAAGAUUGCUGCGGAGGAGAAACUGCAUGUUUCCCAUCAUGACAUUAAUACAGCUUUUUGUACGGGAGUUUGGAGGAGGAGCUGUAUAUGCUUCCACCUGAUGGAAUGCAGAUACAGAAGGGAAUGGUCUGUAAACUGCGGAAAUCCUUAUAUGGUCUCAAGCAGAGUGCCAGGUGUUGGAACAAAAAACUCACAGAGACAUUGCUUUCUAGGUUUUCACCAGGGCAAGGCUGAUCCAUGUGUGUUUGUCAAGGAGGAGGGGCAAAACAAACUGUAUUGUUUAUGUUUUGUUGAUGAUCUUCUGAUGUUUUGGAAGAAUCAGGCUUUGUACCAAAGCACCCUCGCUCAACUGAAGGAGCACUUUGACAUGAAGGAUCUUGGUGAGGUAUCCAACUAUCUUUCUCUGCAGGUGGAGAGGGACCAAGCAGGUAAUUUUCUGGUACACCAAACACAGAAAAUUGCUGAUGUAUUAACCAGGUUGAAUUUGGUUGAUGCAAACCCAGCAGACACACCGAUGGUGACAGGUUACCAGUAGAUAGUACUGCUGAAGCGUUUUCUGACACUACGCUGUACAGAUGCAUUCUAGGCAAGUUGAAUUUCAUUGCUAGAUGCUCAAGACCUGACAUAGCUGUAAGCUGUAACCUGCUUAGCAGACAUGCCAACAAUCCUACUGUUCAGGAUUGGAAAGCUCUGAAGCGCAUAGCCCGCUAUUUGAAAGGGACUUUGCACUACAGGCUGAGGUUCACCAGUCAGAAGACUGGAGGUCUUGAAAUCUUUGCAGAUGCAAGUUUUGGAAGUGACACCACGGAUGGUACAAGCACUUCUGGAGUAUGCUACAUGUACAACCACUGUCUGUUUGACUGGCUGUGCAAGAAGCAGACGACAGUGAGCCUAAGUUCCUGUGAAGCAGAACUCAAUGCUCUGUCAUUUUCACUCAUGGAUUGUGAAUGGUUGAUGCAACUGUUUAAGGACAUCAGAGUUUCUGUGAAAUGUCCUGUACAAGUGUAUCAAGACAAUAGAUCUUGUUUGGCUUUGCUGAACUCAGAGAGUUGCUAGCAAAGAACCAAGUACUUGCAGAUUAAGCUACAUCGUGCAAGAGAGUGUAUUCAGAAAGGACUCCUUCAGGUGUCCUACAUGCCAGGAAAUGAAAUUCCUGCUGAUCUGUUGUCUAAGGUUGUUAACAGAGAACAACUUAAGGUUUAUGUACAGAGGUUGCAAUUGGGUUGAACCACAGGUUACACGGAAAGGGGGAGGAUGUUAGGAUAUUUCCGUUCCACCUUAAAAGGGAGCAGGCUUUUGUGAGUCACACAGCCUGCGUAUUUCCUGUGUCACAGGAUGUUUCUGUUGUGUCUUUGUUUUCGCUCUCUCUGUGUCUGUAGACACUGAAGCUGGCAGUCAUGUUUUCUUUGUUCUGAUCAACGCUGAAUAAAACUUGUAAAUAAUGCUCUCCUGCGUGCAACUUUUGCUGUGCAUUAUCUGCUGACAGAGCAUACAUGAGUUCUGGAAUGUGGCAGGCUAUUUCUGCAGCUUGUGUCGCUAAUUGCUGAUACUGUAUCUACGGGAGAUUGAUGGACCGUCCGGAGGCCGGCUUGUGGGGCCAUGAUGGGCUUUGUCUCCCUGGCAGUAUCCCAACAUUAUGGACUGUCAUCCUGGGCAGGAGAGGGAUAGGUGGACUGAUAGUUUAGAGGCAUGCUCACAGCAAGCAAUGGCUGGUGUUCUGUGGUGUACACACACUUUCGAGGGAGAGACAGACAGUGUAGGAAGGUGAGGAUGAGCAUUGUGAGGGUCCAAAGAAGGAUGAGGGGAAAUGUGUCAAGGAGAACCACACUGAAAUAUGUCACUGUUCACAACAAUUGCCAAACAUAGCCAAGAAAAGGUGUUUUCCUCUGCUCACAAAAAACAACAACAACACACACACACGAGAUAAAGUUGUAUUGGCUGAGCCCGACUUUCUGAAACUACCAACUGAAUGGAAUCUGUAAUUGAGAGUUCACUGUAGUCAAAUGGCAUUUGCAGGAGGGGACUUAUUUAUUUAUUUUCAAGAGAUCAAUCUUGGGUUGCUGUUUUUAAAUAGCUGCACCAUUUUUCAGGUGUCACAGCUCAGAGUUGGCACUGAUUUUUUUCUAAAUCCACAUCACCACAUUAAAUGGCAUGUCCCUCUGUGGCCAGAAGUGACUUUUGAUCUAAAGAAGGUGCUCUUGCCAUAUUGCAAUCUUCCAGACUGUGGAUGCUGCACAAAUUGCACCACUGUUUUAAACAACAAGCACAAGAAUAAUAAUGAUUUAAACAGUUACCUUGAUCUGUAAUUGCAACAUUUAUUGUCAUUCUGCUAGAAUAAUGCUUAUCACUUUGAAACACCUGCUGUUACACACAGCGGUAAAUCUUUGGAAACUGACAUAGCCUAAGCUCUGGGUUAUUAAAGAACACACAAGCACAUGCACACACACCAGUGUACACAUUUCUUUACAGCAAUUCUAUUUGAUGUGGUGGACUGACAGCUGUACACCUCUCAGUGUGCUGGGGCCAGUACUAUAUUGGAUAUUGAAGCAUUCCACCCAACCUGGGCAGUGGUGGAAUUGCCACAGUCCAGCAGCCAAUGCCUCGUGAACUGGCACUCACUUGUGAACUGGACCUCUGCUUUGAGCAGCACUGCUUUACAGGGUAUUUCCACAUUAUUGGGGGUGCCGUGAUUUUCCUCUGGAUACAUCCCAUUUGGUUACAUCUGCACCGGUGGGUGUGGCAUAGUUGCUGUGGUCCAAUGGAAGGUUAAGUCAUGUUCACUAUAAUCUUUGUGGUAGGUGCUGUUAUGUACUGAAGUUAUCACCCUGGGCCAGCAGGGGGAUACUGUAGAUCGUUAUGUAAAUGAAGGAUCGAAAGUGACGUUCAGUGAUUGGAUAGUUUGUAUGCAAAUGAAGGAUCGAAAGUGACGUUCAGUGAUUGGAUAGUUUUUGAAAGUUGUUAUAGUAACAAGGUACUGGAGCUCUAUAUAAGCAGGCUGACUGAGCUCUUCAGCUCAGUUCAGUUCUGGCCUCAGAAUAAAGAAGAGCUGUGUCGUCUGAUAUGUUCGCCCACAACUUAACAGGUGCCAUUUUAUGAAUCCCAUUUUUUAUACUAUUGAACAUUUAACUGUAACUAAAACACUUUCUUAUUAGCGACGCAGGUGGCGCUGUGGUCUAAACCACUGAGCCUCUUGGGCCUGCCGAUCAUAAGACUUCCUUCGAUGCAAAAUACGGUAUGUGAUGGGGGGAGCCUUUACCCUUCAUGUUUGCUACAUAAAUGAUUUGGCAAACACCCCUUUGAAUGUUAACAAACUGAUAAAAGGCAAGAAGAGAUAAAAGAGAACAGGAUUAUAUUUAUGGAUUACAACGAAAAAUAGAACUGUGUGAGAAAAUUGAAAUGGAUUUAAAGCAUCAAACUUUCACUGUACUGCUAUGGAAGGACCUGGACUUUGGGCUUUGGGGAUCUGCCAAGGGUUUGGCAAGACACCAGAUCAUUAUUGAGAGAAUUGGCCAAGGAGGAGAAACUUGAGUCUUGUUAAAGCGUUAAAGCAGGACACCAGUUCACUCUCUAUCUAGACUCAAACAAUUACAACAACAAAAAGAUGGCGUGUCUCUGCCUCAUUUUCUGGGAACAAAGGAAAGGGAGGAGCGGAAGUAGCGAUGCUGUGCAGGACAGAUGGAGAACAGGAAGAAUGAAGAAACAACAUGGAUAAGAUAAACAUCACACACAGGAAAUACUUUGGAUAUAGAACUCCUCUUGCAGGAAGAAAAUAUUAAAUGUGUUAAUUCAAAUGGAAGUCAAAAACUCUAUAGCUGUCAAUAAAGGAUUAAGAUCAAGACUGAAUGUAAUUGGAUUAAUUAAGACUCAGAAGCAGGGUGAAAUAAAAUCAUCUCACCCUGAAAUCUAGCACGCGGAAGUCAUACAAAGUGUGUAAUUGGCUUUCUAAUUGAUAUAUAUUUGAAUUUGAAUUGUCAUUUCACAUUGAUAAAAUGUGGUUUAUAUUGGAUUUUAAUAAUUGGAAAUUAAUAAAAAAUAUUUAUAUAUAAAAAAGAUUCUAAUGAAUCUGAUUGGUAUUCACUGUUGUUGUUUUCAGUCUGCAAACAAUAUGUAAUUGAUUAUGGUUUUUUCUCCACUGGCAUUAUUUUUCCUUCGCAUUGAAAUAGUGUGGAAUAGUAAAAUAAUAAAAUAAUUAAUAAGGUGGUUUGUCAGAAACCAAACUGCAGCAGAACAGAAACAGCGCUGUAUAUAACAAAAACAGUUUGAGAUGGAAAUCGAUGCCUUCUUACAUCCCUGUGUGAGGGUAUAUCACAUCUCUCUCCCAAACAAACUGCAAAUUAUAGCACUACCACCACCACCCCAUUUGCAAUAUCUCUCUGCUCCCUCUUUGUGAUUGUUCCCUGAAUGUGGCUGUUUCCAAACCCAGCCUUGCCUUGCCUUGACAAGUAAUCUCCUCACUUCCACACACAGACAGCAAGGAAGGAAGGAAGGAAGAAAUUACAGUGGAGAAAAGAAAUUCGGUUUCUCCUAAGACCUUUCCAGACCUUUGAUCAUCCUGGUUGCCCUCCUCUGCACAUGUUCCAGCUUGUCUACAUGCUUCUUAAAUUGUGGUGCUCAGAAUUGGACACAGGAUUCCAGGUGUGAUCUGACUAAGGCAGAAUAGAGUGGUAGUAUUACUUCCCUUGAUUUGGAUGUUAUACUUCUGUUGAUGCAGCCUAUAGGGAGAUGCUUUAUAUUACAGGUCCUAGCAUCGGCCCAUCUAGCUUAGGGCUCUGACUAUUGUCUCUUCAGGGCUUUAGGCAAGAGCCUGGGACAUUCUACUUACAAAAUAGAUACUCUACGACUGAGCUGCAAAAGUUGUGUUCUUUCCAGUGGGAUGGCUUCUGCUUCUUAAAAGCCAUUUUUCUUUAGCCAUGAACUGAUAUGUCUCAGUAACUGUCUUGACUUCCUGUUUCACUCGUAGAUUAUACAAUCUUAAAGUGAGAGAACUCCAGCAGACUGCAUCUGCAUUACUCUGGUUCCCAUGUUGACCCAGAUGUUAGAUCAAAUUGUUCUGUGUUUUCGUAAGACAUCCAGAAGCAUGGAUCAUCAUGAAAGGGAGGAAAUCCUGUUUAUAGCUUCUUCUGAUCUAAAAAUAGUGGACAUAUAAAUAUAUAUUCAAAGGAAAUGUUAUGCAAAAAUGUUUAAGCCAGUUUCUCCAGCACACUUGUCUCUCACACUAUUAAUGAUGCUCCUCCACAGUGUGGAGAUAGAAAUAAUCAGCAACACUUAUAUCCCUACACAUUGCCAUUUUUACAUAUUUUAGAAGGGAUGACAUCUUCAGCAUACAAAAAAUUGUAAAGGAACCUCUUCAGAGUUUUGCUGUCAUGUUAGGAAGAAGAAUUGAAGAUCUUCUGCACCAAGAUCAAACAUAGCCUAUGUUUUUAGAAAAGGACAGCUACUGAAAACUCAAAAGCAUUUCUUUGAUGUAAUUUAAUUGGAUAAAAGCAAUUGAAUUCAUGCAGUAAAUUCAUCAGACAUGAUUUUGUCUUUAGAGAUCUAAUGAAAUUUGGAUUUUGUACAUAACAUCCAUGAUUUAAUUUGAGAUGUUAUUCUGUAUAAGAGAAAAAUGCAAUUAACUGACGUAUACACCAACCAGACCCAGACCAUGUCUGCUUAAAUGUAUUGGUACUGAUUGCAAGUAGACUUGCCCUGUGAUUUUCUGCCUACAGCCAAGUCCUUAGGUGAUCUGCAUCUGGGAAGGUUAUUCCUUGCAGUAUCUGAGCUUAGAUUUGUUUCUUUGUAUCUAUUCAUCGGACAUAUAAGGAUUAACAAAAGGAACUGAUAUCCAUAUGAGAGUACUGUAAUAUAAGAACAUAAAUAAAAAUGACACAGACCAAAGUAUAUACAUAAUUUUUUUAAUACAGCCACUAUUUUAACAAGACACAGCAUCCUCCCUUUAAAAUAAUCUAUCAUUAAUUGCUGCCUAUAGAAAAAUGUGCAAAGUUUGCAGUUACAGAGAUAUAUUGUCCUCACAAAGCAGAUAGAGUGCAGUCUCAUGGACAGAUCUUUCCAUGUAACUCCCUAAAAAUUGUCCAAUUAAUCAUCAACCUCUGCACAUUAUGCAAUGAUAAUGCUUUCAAGGUUCAACCAAAUUUAAACUGUAAGGACAGAUAGAAUCACAAUAAGGUCUGUCAGUAACGUGAUCAUUCUGUAAGUGUUCUUGGUCCAGUCAUUUUCAAACUAAGGAAUCUUUGUGUAUCAGUCAUGGAACCUGUGGCAGUUUUAAGGGGGGGAGGCAUGCUUAAGGGGGCAUCACCUACUGCAAAUGGGAAUAAAUGAAUAUGUCAGUUUUGAUAUCUCUCAGUUAGUCAUUUUUCCUGUCCUGAAAUCCAUUUCCUCACUUCUGCACAAAUUAGCAAAUCCAUGUGCUUUGUUUGUUGCAUUAAUAUAUUUUUAUUGAAUAUUCAAUUAAAAACACUUUAAAAGGUUCAUGAAAAUGUGUAUGCAUUUUUGUGCAUAUGUCUUCUGAUAUGCACAAUUUCAUACGCAGUUUUGCAGUGCCCCCUAAUAUAAUGGUGGAUUUUAUAUCUUGCUUUCACUAGCACAUACAUUUUUGCACAAAGUUUUUGGUUGGAGAAUGGCGAUAAGAAAAUUUGGAGAUGUGUUCAGUCGUGGUCAGCAGGGUGGUGCAGCAAGGUCUUUGCAGCAAAAAUUACAUCCCAGCCCAUACUAAAUGCAAAAGUUGUGACAAAUGAAUAAAUCAUCCAAUUGUGAACAACAAAUCAGCCACACUAACUCUACGCCAUGCCCCAAGAACAAGAGCAGUUGGAAAUAGGAAAAGGUGCCCCACAAUCCAACCAAGGACACCCAAAAUAUCUCUACUCAGCCCCUGAAAAGGCGAGUAAUGGACUCCUACUUUUCAGAGGAUGUGUGGGCAGGAUGCUACAAAGGGCAAGAGGAAGCUUGUGGGGUGAUGUUGCCCUAUGGAAAGCCAAGCACCUGCACUCCUCCUCUGAUUGGCCUCAUAUGGCCGUAUUUUUGCUCCCUCCGACGAGGCUUUCUGCUAAAUGGAGGUGGGGCAAAUUUUCCCCUUUCAGAAGGAUGCUGGGGCAGCAUUUUCCCCAACCAAGGAUACUUCACUACAAAACAGUGCAAGAGUUAGGUGCCAUCAGAAGUGACCCCCCCCCCCAAAAAAGCAUCACAUAACAGAUAUUAAAGCUGCUAUAUUUCACAAAGACAAUUUGGUGGACAAGAGCUCAGAAGCAAAAGGGAUUCAGUGAAAUCAUCUAAGGCCUGAAGUCAAUGCCCAGAUUUGCACAAGGAAAAUUAUACAGACGUUAGGAAGCAGACUCUCCCUUUUCACUGCAAUGUUGCCUGGCUAGAAUGAGAUCUUCAGAGAGAUUUAUGCAGAACCAUAUCUGCAGGAAGAUGAAAAGAGAAUGCUGUCUUCAGAAUCAAAGCCAAGGGGUGGGGGCGAGAAAGAACGGAGAGAGGACAAAACCUCCAUCACUCAUACAACCACAAUAUUCCCGAAACCUGGAGGGAUUUCAGGCUCUUUUGGGGAGAUCAGUUAACAUUCUCAGGGAAAAGACCAAGACUUUUUAUAUCUUAUUGAAAUCAAGCCUUACUUUUUAUGCCUUAAAAAAACCUUUAAUAGCAGUAAAAUAUUCUCUUAGAAUUCCAUUUUAUUUUAUUUACCUUAAUGCUUGACUCCAAGAAUGCUGGGUUUUCACUGGAAACUACUAUGUAUUCAGUGAAAGUUGUCAUUUUGCUGCAAAGUAUUUUGAAGGCAAGAUAACUUUAAAAUCUCUGCAAGGCUUAUCAGCAUCCCUGAAAAAGGAACAUCCUUCAUGGGGUAAGACUUUGAUUUCUCCCUCGAAAAGAAGAAGAAAGGAAGGGUGCCCAGGUAAAAGGGAACCCCAGGCCAUACUUCAUAACAUACCAGUGUCAUUAUUACAGACAUCAACUUUUAUUUUGUUCUAUUUAUCUUUUGCUUUGCUUUUCUGUUUGUUUCUUGAACUAAAGCAGCAUCUGUGUCUACCUCUGGUAAACAUCAACAGCUGUCAGAAUUUCUUUGCAGCUAUUUUGCAGAAAGCUAUCUCGGUUCAGGAGUACACAAGAUAGUGCCACAGUUUUGUGGUAACUGUGAUAUUGAAGAUUUUCCUUGUUUUAAUCUCUACAGGUGAACUACAUCACUAGAACUGCCUUGUGGGAUCUCUAGACUCAUGGUGACAGUUUUAGUUCAUCUGGAAAAAGUGGCUUAUGAUGCAGUGUGUCUGUCAUGUGACCGUUCCCUUUUAACCGAGGGUAUGUUCACAUUUGCCUUUACUUCAGUCCCAUUGUGAUCCCACGGCAAGUACUCAUGACAUUAGCCACAACUCAUAAGUAACACGGACAUUUUGGGGUUUAAUGAUGUUUUGACUUUUUGGAAGGUGUAUGAAGAAACAUUGGGGCCUGACUGUUCCCUGAUGUGGCCUCAAAGAGUUAACAUUCCAAAGUGGUCUAUGUGAAGCUGCUCUAAUCCAUGGUUUUAAUUUGAGUGGACAGUCAGUGCUCUGCAGAUCUACCUGCCUGCUUUGAUAUUAGGGUCCUGAGACUUUGGCUAGGGAAGUUAAUUAUAUUUGUGCCGACUAUAGACUUUUUGAUCCAUCCUGUUUUAUUAACAUAUAAAUUAUACAUUUUUUCAUAAUAAAAGGUUAAAAUAAGAAGAUGGUCCUUGUAUUUAAUUGUGUAUCCAUGGCUUAGCUGACAUGAGGCACUUCAACCCUCUAAGGCCCAGAUGAGUCCAGGCUCAGCUGCGGAUUCUCCUUUGGAAAACUGCUGUCAUUAUGGUGGAUCUUGGCUUUGGAUUGGUCCCAAAAUUCCAUACUGAAAAACAAACCAUUGCAUGUAGAUGCCAUUAUUUGAGUAACCACAUUCAAAUUUCUGUUCUACUUAAAUACCUUUGAAAGUUCUUUUUACAAUAAAAAUAAAUAACAACUUUUUAAUGUAAGAAGUGGAAGGAGAAUGAGGAGAGAAGAGUCCCUUGGUAUAAGUGUAUGCAGUGCUUCUUUUCUGGGGCUAGUCAAGGGUUUGCAGUACUGGAACUCCCCCCCCCCCAAAAAAAAUGUUGUUGUUUUUUAAAGUGUGGCACUUACUGUAACAAGUUCAUGGUGAAUACCAGUAUAUAUAUAUAUAUAUAUAUAUAUAUAUAUAUAUAUAUCACUGAGCAUAUAAUAGGCAGUAAGAUUUAAGGCAAUAGGGAAUGCAAGCUCUAACCCCUUAGCCAGCCUGCAUUAGCAAACAUGCCUAGUUGUGAUACCAAGAGAGUUUCAGCAACCAACACUCAUUCCCCUGGGCUUCAAAUCUGUGCAACACACAUUUAUUUAAAAUAUUUAUAGCUCAAAGCAGUUUACAUAAAAAUGUAAUACAAUAUAGCUCUCAAGUUCAAACAACCCUACACAAUGAAAGUGCUCCAACAAUAUAGUCAGCAAAUUCAGAAGCCGAAACAUAGUAUUUCAGAGGAGCCCUGCUCACCAAAGUCUGGAAGGCUUACGGGAGGUGCCAAUCCUGACCUCCAGCCACUUGCCUGGGCAUUGGAUCAGCUGGAAUAAAGCCCUUCUCCAGCAGGUGAUGGCUUUACUGUACAUACUGGGUUGGAUCCAAGCCAUGUUAGCCAAAUACCUUUUCUGAUUUCAGUGGAACUGAGCAGCAGUUAACUUGAACAUAGCAUAGCUAUCUGUGGAUCCAGACCCCUGGGAGAGUGCCUGAUCAGAAGCUAUGCACUGACAUGAGGGUUCAUAUGGUAGGGCUGCCAUAUGUCCGGAAUUUCCCAGACAUAGCCGGGAUUCGCCUGUUGAAAAUGGUGUCUGGGCAGAAUUUCUGCAAAUUGGUUAAAAUGUCUGGGAAACUCAGGCACAUGGCAGCCCAUAUUGAAAGCAUUGAUUGUUUGGUGAAUUUCCUUUAAAAAAUGGUUUAAAACUUCCUCUUUUUUUCCUUUGAGAUUUUGCCCAAAAAAACUCAGCCAAACUUUGGGCAAACACAACUUUCCCCAAGAAAGCUCAACUACCUCUGUGUCCAGAUUUUCACUUUUUGAAAUAUGACAUCCCUGUCAUAUGGAGAAAGACAAAUGUUAAGGCAAGUGGCUCUCAGUGGGUGGGACCUACCAGGGGGACUUGGGCUCCCUACCUGGCUUGAGAGCAGUACAUGUGAAAAGGAUCUAGGAGUCUUGGUUGACCACAAACUUGACAUGAGCCAACAGUGUGACGCAGCAGCUAAAAAAGCCAAUGCAAUUCUGGGCUGCAUCAAUAGGAGUAUAGCAUCUAGAUCAAGGGAAGUAAUAGUGCCACUGUAUUCUGCUCUGGUCAGACCUCACCUGGAGUACUGUGUCCAGUUCUGGGCACCACAGUUCAAGAAGGACACUGACAAACUGGAACGUGUCCAGAGGAGGGCAACCAAAAUGGUCAAAGGCCUGGAAACGAUGCCUUAUGAGGAACGGCUAAGAGAGCUGGGCAUGUUUAGCCUGGAGAAGAGGAGGUCAAGGGGUGAUAUGAUAGCCAUGUUCAAAUAUAUAAAAGGAUGUCACAUAGAGGAGGGAGAAAGGUUGUUUUCUGCUGCUCCAGAGAAGCGGACACGGAGCAAUGGAUCCAAACUACAAGAAAGAAGAUUCCACCUAAACAUUAGGAAGAACUUCCUGACAGUAAGAGCUGUUCGACAGUGGAAUUUGUUGCCAAGGAGUGUGGUGGAGUCUCCUUCUUUGGAGGUCUUUAAGCAGAGGCUUGACAACCAUAUGUCAGGAGUGCUCUGAUGGUGUUUCCUGCUUGGCAGGGGGUUGGACUCGAUGGCCCUUGUUGUCUCUUCCAACUCUAUGAUUCUAUGAUUCAAUGCCACAGCUUGGCCAAUUCCUCUGCCUUGCCUUGCCAAACACUGCCUCCAUCUGCCACCAUUUUGUGGCAGGAAGGCCUUAGUAAUUUUUAGCUGCCUCAAGUGGGCUCUGGGGGGUAGAAAGUUUGAGAGCCCCUGCUCUAAAGUAUGUUGGUCCCAGGUUGUGUACCAGAAUCCCGAAGUAUUAUAUAUACGAGAAUGGACACCCUGUACACAGUGCACCUUAAAUGAAUAUUUCCUGACUUAUGGAGUUGUCUCUGAAACAUGACAUGAAAUUUAUUGUCUAACCUUUGUAGCCAUGCAAGCUAUUGGCUGUCGUAAAAUUAUUAUGAUAGGUACUUUUUAAAAUUCAAGCACAGUAAUUGGUUCAGUGGCCUAAGGCAGUUAAUGUCACAGGUUCACUUUACUUGUAUCAAGACUAAUUUCCCUUUAGCACUUCUAAUUAAUUGGUAUUAAUUGUCAAAAUAAAGUUGCUCCAGCCUGGUCAAUUUUUAAUUUCAGUUCAAAGGCAUAGCAAGAUCACUUGUGUUGCAUCAUUAGACAGAUCACAAUUCGGCAGCAGUCUUUGGAUGAAUGUACUUUUCUAAAUGAUAAAAGUGUACCACACACACUUUUUCUCAGCCACCAUGACCACAGGAAAUGAUGCUAAUGAUGUGUGAACUCCCCUUUGUUUGAAUCAUAAUUGAAUCACAAUAUGUGAUAACCUUGUCAAACACUUGGGGGGAAUUACUGCUUUAUUUAAAGAGUUCUAAAUUGGCUUACAACAUGUUUUCUCACAAAGCACCCUGGGAUUUGUAGUGUGUGGAUGAACAAGACCAGCACAUUUCCUAGACUAAAGCCUCAAGGCAUAGGUGAUAUAAGGCUUUUUCACCUCCUGCCCUCUGGUCCCCACAGAGACACCUGCUGGCAAGGUCUUAAGCAAGACCAAGAGACAGCAGAGAUUCUCAGCUCUGACCUGCCAAACACAUGAUGGGGCAUGACUUCCUCAAGUCAGUUUCUUGCUCGGGAGUCAAAGCCUUCAUGCUACAAAUACAUUUUAGUACAGUUGAUCCAUUGAAAUAUUUGAAAGCAACAGAGGGCAUUGACAUGUAAGCCACUGCUUAGCCACUCCAUGCUGUAGGCGAAAUGGCACAUUCAGCUUAACGCAUAGCAUGCAGGUAUAGAUCCUUCUUUUUUCUUAAUUUAAUUACAGGCAUGGGGACCAUUUAAUUGUUAUUUGUACCUCAGAUUUAUCUUUUCCCUCCCCUGAAAUUCCCCACCCUCAAAAAAUAGAUAUGAGAUUUUUUUUGGGGGGGGGGUUGCACCCAUGUAAUUAGGUAAAUAAAAAAUGGUGACAUAGCUGCAUUGCAUUACAUAUAAUGUAAUAUAAAAAUAAUUCAACCCCAAUACAGUUUCCAUCAUGACCACAGCACUGGGAUGUGAGAUGGUGCAAAGUCUGUUUUCCCAUGUUCUAGAUAAUCCUUGGGUCACUCAGAAGUUGGUCAAAAUGAGAAGGUAUGUGCUGGCAGAAUAUUUCCUGCUGCAUCCAGUCUUCCCUCAGUGGUGGACUUUGGGCUCUUAAAUUUCAGUUGUGCCCUGUGUGAUGCUAAAAUUUGCUGCCCUCUGCCUCUCAUGCUCUGUUCAUUAUCAUUGUUGCAGUGCCCCCUGUGGUGCUCUUGCCAUUGCAGCCAAACCAGCAGACUACCCUAAAACGGCCUCUGCUUCGCUAGCUAUGAGCAGCCAAGCUAUGGGCAGCUAUUUUAUGUGUUCCCAAAUGUGCCCUCAGCUUUCCUCAGUGACAGCCAACAAAUAUGGCGGCUUUCUAAACCACAUCCCAGUGUCCUAUUAAAGGCUUUCUUGUUAGACAGUUUAAUGUGGAAGGGGUUCCCUGGUCAUGAGAAGUUUCAAAACCACUAACUGUAGCCUGUGAAUAACCUGAGGUGCCAUGGAAUCAUGUGCAGGAUUGAGGUGAGCAGUGGAAAAAUAACUUUCAGCCUGACUCUUAUUGGAAAGCGGGCCUCAGUCUAUUGCCUAUUGUCUGCUGCCCUUUUAAGAAAGAAGUCUCAUCCCAUGCUAAGAUAUAUAUUUGCUAUUCUCCUUGGCUAUUUCCUGUAAAGUUAGUGUGCAAAACAUUUCCAGAAACUGGCAUGAUUUUGAGUAUGACAGUGACCCCUUUUAUUAAUUCAUUCUGGUUUAAUGUAUUUGUUUUAUUGAUUUCUAACAUUGAUGCCCUCUUUUAUGACAUAAAAUAAAAGAGGCGUAAAAUGGGAUAGGAGUUAGUCUGCCACAGGGACGCUGAAUGGAGGGAGAGGGUGGGCAGCUCCCCUGAAAGAGAGUAGGAAGGGGGAAGUUGGUUUAGGCAGCGUUCCAGCUCAACAGGACCAGAGGAGAGAGCCCAGGGUGGCCGCCCUGUAUUCAACCAUAUUAGGAAGAAGUCUAGCUAAUCAGAAUACUUAAUAAUACAUGGCACUUAAAUAAUUAGCAAUCGUGUCAUCUAUCUAGAGCUGAGCUCAAUUUUUCAGACAAUGUUUUUCUCAGGAAAUUGCUGCCCUAGAAAAAGGCUACUUUGCAAAACAUUCUCCACCAUUUUGUGUUAGCAGAUGCCAUUACACACACACACACACACACACACACACACACACUGCUCUGAAGCAAUGAUAGUUCUGAGCCACUGUGAGGGGUGGAAAAUGGGGCUUGAGCUGAUAACCAGUAGUGACACCAGAAAGAAAAUUCAGGGGGGCGCACAGAAGGGUCAAGGUAUAUUUCUAGGUGGGCAAGCAAUGUCCUACAUGUUAAGAUCUCUGGGGGGAAAUAACAGUAUAUUUCAGACUAAAACUGCCAUUCUAAACUUUUUCCCCCUGAAAUCAGCCAUAUGUUGUUGGCAUCUCGAAGUGAAUGUCAGUAGCUGCAAGAUGCAUAGCCCUUGUUGCCUCAAGAGCUGCAACUGAAAUGUCAAAGCUACAGAAAUGAUAAUGUAUGAAUGCAGCUGCUUAUGUUAACAACAAGAGUCUAGCAACGCAGGGGGGAGGGGUGUGGGGGCAAGCUCCUUGUUUGGGGGGAUGCUUGCCUCCUCCCUCCCCCCGACCCCACUGGUGCUGCCUAUGCUGCUAAGAGAUUUGUUGUUGCUGCUGCUGCCACAUCCAGCUGCAACAAAAAAUAGCAAAACAACAACCAAGCAACACACACUCAUGCACUUGAAGCAAUCUUCCCUUAGCAGAAGCAGCCAUCAGGCUUUUGUUAUAUGUUAGCUUGAAACACAUACUGUCGUUCAGGUCUGAGGGCAGAUUAUUCACUCACAGAUCCAUUUAAGCUUACAGUGGCACUGGCUAUGUCCAAUAUUUUUACCUGUUUGGUUUUUUAAAACGAGCCUUUUGCUUUUUCAGGGAUACAUAAGGGGCUUAGGUACGGCAGCAUACUGUAUCUCUUAGCCAAUUUGCUAUUCACAGGAUCUUUGAUCAUAGAUGCCAGACAUUUAUAGAAGGAAAGAAAAAGAAAUGGGGGAAAACUAGUGCAGCAUCUGCUAAUUUAUUUAUUGUUUUAAAUAGAAGCAUUUUAGAACUGAAAAAUUAUGCAGAACCUUUUUUUCCUUGCUACUGCAUGAAUGGAUCGCCAGUGAGUUUGCUGUAAUGCACUAGGGAAUUGUACAUAAAUGGGUAGCAAUUUGGUGGUAGUGUAAAUUUUGGAGCUAGCAUAGUUUAGUGGUAGCCCUGGGCACUUAAUAAAAAUGAAACGGGGAGAGUUAUAAUAAAGUAAUAAGACUUUGGUGAUAGAUCACAGUAUUAAUUUCCCCCCUGUAGAAGCAAAUCACCAAUUCAAUUCCUGCAGUAUCACUUUGGAGAGCCUAGUUGCAAGAGCCCUGAGUAAAUAAUUCCACAUCCUAGCCUUUGUACCUACAAAUCCCAGGUGUAGUAAACAACCACAGAGAAACUGGAAAUCACAAUGGCAUUGCAAAGCUCUGGAUUUUACAUUGGAAAGGAAAUAAGUUUGCAGGGGUUUUUUCUCCCCCUGUUAAAGAACAGAGCUUCUGCAUGAUCAAUGUGGUACUUUAUUCUGACGCUUAUGCCAGCCUGCUUUACAACAGACUUUUAUUUGAAAUGUUUACUGUGCGUUAGGCUCAGUUCAGUGAGAUGCAGCAUCAUGCAGAAAGACAAAUGGCCUGGAUGACUGAGAGCUUAAGUGCUUCCUUGGAAUUCAGGUGAUGUGGCUGAUUUUGCCAAAGUCCUAUGGACAACAUAACACACAAGAAUGGCUGCCUAGCACAGCUUUGCCAUCAGGAGGUAAGGAUGCACUCACAUCUCUGACGCCUGUAAAAGACAGACUGAUGGCAUAAUUAGUUGUUGUGUAUUGGAAAGGAACCUGGCAGUCUUCUCCUCUGUGUGCACAGUGCACCUUGGGAAACGCCUCUUCUCUGUCAUAUGCAGUUUCAGUGUAUACCUUCAGUCUUAGUUGCAUCUUCUCCAUUACUUGUGGGUAGAAAAAUCUGCUGUUACUGUUUUUAUUUUUUAUGAGCUUCUGUUAUAACUAAAGUUAAAACUGAAUAACCAGUAGGGGGCACAUAUAACUUGUGACCCUCCAACGCAAAUACAGUGGACGCUCGGGUUGUGAACGUGAUCCAUGCGAGAUGCAUGUUCGCAACCCGCAGCGUCCGCAACCCGCAGUGGCGCAUCUGCACACACACGGAUUGCGAUUUAGUGCUUCUGCACAUGUGCGACCGCUGAAACCUGGAAAUAACCCGUUUCAGUACUUCCAGGUUUGAGCGGUUCGCAACCUGAAAAAACACAACCUGAAGCAUCUAUAACCCGAGGUAUGACUGUACAGCUCAUCCACUGCCAUUAUGAUGGUCCUCCAGUGAUCCAAUAAACCUCUAGGUUUCAUUGCUUGGCUGAAAAUGAAAAGGAGGUCAUAAGGUUUUUUAACCCCUUGUAUGGUACAGUGCAUGGCUCCCCGGCUACAUAAAGGCAACAUCUCCAGACUGACCCUUCCAUUCAACACAGUGAUGCAGCCAUGUUGCUGUGUUGGGGGACAGGGAGGGAUGAGAAGGUGUUGGAAGACAGCCUGACUGGGCCUCCUAAGCAAGGCUACCCAGGAAGGGAAAAACCACACUCUUUCUCACUGUCCUCGGGACCAUUGACGCUGAGCACUACUUUCACACAUGCUGCUGUGGCACUUUUCUGGGCACUCACUCCAGACCCCACCAAGGAAGAGUACACCAGGCAGCAUACUAUUUAUAUACAAAAGCCAGGUCCUAAAGUUCUAUCUGUGGGAGGCAGUGCCUGGCGUGCUCUGGUCCAUGGGGUCACGAAGAUUUGGGCACGAUUAAACGACUAAACAAAAACAACAGAAGUUCUAUCACACUUUAAUCGACUGACACCCCCCCCCCCGAAGCCAGGAUUGAGCUGUUCAGGGCUCUGUCACCUGAGGCAGAGGAAGGUUUUGUGCCCUUCUCCAUAAAGGCUGUCGCUGAACAGGGAUCCUGCAGGGUGGGUGCACCAUAGUUAGCUGUGUGCAGGGCUACUUUGCUAGUUAUUUUAUAUAAUACAGCAAUAUUGCAGUACAAUUAUGGUGUCUGUUGAAUAUUUCUUACAGGCUGGGAAACAUCAGGGUCAACACAGGGAGCUAAUACAGCACAGUUCGACAGGCAGUCAUACAAAGGACUAGAGCUUUCUUUCCUGGGAGAAAUGGCCUUUAUAGAUCCCAAAGGACUGCUACUUCUGGAACAAAAAUAAAAAUAAAAAUCAAUUGUUCUACCCAAAGAGUGGCAAAGUAUACACAGCUACUCCAUAGAGGUUGCUUGAGCUUAGCCGCAUGUCAUGCAAUUUCAAAAGUAUGCUUAAGGAAAGAACUGCAAAAGACUUCAGCAAGAUUUGUGCCAGCUGUGAGUUGUCAAGAGGCCAGGCAGAUGGGAUCAUUUAUAGUUACUGUAAUACCAGCCAGACCCCAGAAAAUUGGGCAGAAGCUGACAACUGGAUGACAGGGCCUUGGUUGCAGUUCACUAUUCCUAGAUACAUAUUUAUGUAACGGGUUGAAUCAGAGUGUUAUAUAUUACCUGAACAAUAUAUUUGCUUGCAUGGGGGGAAAAUCCAGCUGGAUAUGUCAUAGACAAUAGGCAAAGGUUUGUCACAAUAGACUACAUGUUCUUUAUAAGCAGGUAUAACUCCCAACAGUUUUCUACUUGCUGCCAUUUCCACUCAUGUGCAAGGUGAGGAGCACAGGACACAACCCCCCAAGUUUCUGGAAGCAAAACAGCACAUUUCCUGAUUGUCACAGGGAACAACCCAACAAAAACAGGACAAAUGACAUUUUGCACAAAUUGACAAGUUACAUUUUAUCACAGGACUCAAAAACUGCAUUCCUAUUAAUUCAGAGGGUGUUCCUGGGAAGCUGAUGGGGUUCUUCUGCAGUAAUGGUGAAGCUUUGUCCACUGUUGUGAAUAUCCUGCACAGCCAGAAAAGUCACAGGUUUCUGCAAGACAGAAAAAAUAAACAAGGCACAAUUCAGCACAAAGAAAAGUGAAGUUGCUGAGAUGUAUAACACACCAAUGAAGUAAGCCUGAGAUUUUCAAGAUGCCAAGUAUUGGGCACGGUAAGUUAGUGCAUUUUAGGCAUAUCCUCAAAGUGAGAGUUACUCCUAACCAGCCUGGCCAGUGGCAUGAACCAGGGUCCUUCUCAAUCAUGUCCUCAGACCAUCUGCAGCACACACAGGUGCAACAGCAGCUGCAGAAGGGGUUACUCAGCAGACAAACACAAGUGCAAGGGUUUCGGGAGGUGAGUAUUCAGACCCCUGGCUGCUCACUUGUGGGGUGCCUCAGGGCUCUGUCCUCUCCCCUAUUAUUUUAAACAUCUAUAUGAAAUCACUGGAAGAGGUCAUCUGGGGGUUUCGGCUGAGUGUUCACCAGUAUGUGGAUGGUACCCAGCCUGGAAGCGAAAGGAAAGUCCAAUGCUGUAAAGAAAAAUAUUGCAUAGGAACCUGGAAUGUAAGAACCAUGAACCUGGGUAAGUUGGAUGUGGUCAAAAAUGAGAUGGCAAGAAUAAAUAUAGACAUCCUGGGCAUCAGUGAACUAAAAUGGACGGGAAUAGACGAAUUCAGUUCGGAUGACCAUCAUAUCUACUACUGUGGGCAAGAAUCCCGUAAAAGAAAUGGAGUGGCCCUCAUAGUCAACAAAAGAGUGGCGAAAGCUGUACUGGUAUGCAAUCUCAAAAAUGAUAGAAUGAUCUCGAUACGAAUCCAAGGCAGACCUUUUAACAUCACAGUAUUCCAAGUUUAUGCACCAAUCACUGGUGCUGAAGAAACUGAAAUUGACCAGUUCUAUGAAGACUUACAACACCUUAUAGAAAUGACACCAAAGAAGGAUGUUCUUCUCAUUAUAGGGGAUUGGAAUGCUAAAGUUGGGAGUCAAGAGAUAAAAGGUGCUGGAGGAGACUCUUGAGAGUCCCAUGGACUGCAAGAAGAUCAAACGCAUCCAUUCUUAAGGAAAUCAGCCCUGAGUGGUCACUGGAAGGACAGAUCAUGAAGCUGAGGCUCCAAUACUUUGGCCACCUCAUGAGAAGAGAAGACUCCUGGAAAAGACCCUGAUGUUGGGAAAGAUGGAGGGCACAAGGAGAAGGGAACGACAGAGGACGAGAUGGUUGGACAGUGUUCUCGAAGCCACAAACAUGAGUCUGACCAAACUGCGGGAGGCAGUGGAAGACAGGAGUGCCUGGAGUGCUCUGGUCCAUGGCGUCACGAAGAGGUGGACAUGACUUAACGACUAAACUACAACAACAACCCAGCUCUACCUCAGUAAGAUCUACUUCUGAGUAGACAUGUGUUGGAAAUUUUGCAAAGUCAAUGAGCUAGCCAGAAAGGCAUAUGCCCUGAUGAGGUGGAUAAGGAUGAGGAAUGCCCUCUACAACCUCUGAAAAUAACACCUCUGUUUGUUACACAAAUCAAUAAAUACUUAAGCUGGUCUGUAUUGCAAUACCAGACUAUGUCACACCAGCAAAGACACUUCCACUUAAGUAUGGGAAAGUGGCAAUAGCAUUUGCAAUCCUGAUGAGGGUUGCUGUUCUCUACUGUUUUCCCUCACGCAUUGCCUCUGCACAAAACCCAGCCUUGAUUUAUGAUUCAGUUGCAGAAAUGGUAUCUGUAAUAUAUUUUAUUGAAAACUUUUUCUUCUUUAGAAGGGUAACAUGAUUAUAUCAUUGUCUCAUUGAAACUGAAUCUCUUCUGUGGGAAAGGAAAUUAACAUCCUAAUUAUAUACUUGUCUUUGUCUGAUAGAAGAGCGCAAGUCUACAUUUGGAUUUAUCUACUGUAGAUGGGGAAAACUAUACUGUGUGUAUUUUUAAAAGCUUGUGAGAAUGAGCCACCCCAGCAAUCAAGGGGGAGUGGUCAAGGUCUGGAGGUCAGGAUGGGUGGGGAUGGGUGGGUGCAGGGCCAGGGGAGAGGAAUGGAUGGAGUCAUUUGGAGUCUUAUUAGGAUAGUGCAUAAAAGCAAGUGACUUACGUUUUGUCUCUGGAUAGGGUGGAAGCAUGUUUUCUCCAGCAUCCAGACUUCAUUUACACAGUGGAGAAAAAGAGAGUGAGAAACAGCUGUUUAAAUCAGUUCAUCCAGAACCGCUUGGUCAUCAGCCUUAUUCAUCUAAUGGUGUGGGGUAAGAAAAUUAGAAACAAAUGGAGGAAACUCUAGAUCUUGGGGCGAAUCACUUUACCGCAAUGUGCUUUCUCUUGUUAGCAAAUCAAGUGCUUAUUUGGAUAUCCAAGAGAUUAUCAGAAAAGUUUGCCCUGUUUUAAUGGUACCAGACAGGUAAUAGCAUGAGCAAAAAAGAGGCAUUCUUGACAGUUGGCCCUCUCUAUUCAUGCAAGUCUCAACCAGUGUAAGUUUGUGCAUCUUUUGAAAGCACUGUAUGCCCUCAACUGUUGACCUGUUCUUUGUGGAGUCCCGAGGUGCACUGGGAAAGAGUGGUGAAUUUUCAAGUGGUUGUGGUUGGCAUCCUCCUGUCUUGGGAGACAAUGGAGGACUGUGCUUUUGUGAGUGAAGUCAAACUGUUGGAGAGUUAUAGCUCCUGCUGUGGCUGUAGAGCAGGCACCCCCAAACUCGGCCCUCCAGAUGUUUUGGGACUACAACUCCCAUCAUCCCUAGCUAACAGGGCCAGCGGUCAGGGAUGAUGGGAAUUGUAGUCCCAAAACAUCUGGAGGGCCAAGUUUGGGGGUGCUGCUGUAGAGAAUGAUAUGGGAGAGGCCUCAUUUAUUGCCGGUGGAGCAGCUGAAGGCGUUCAGUUGUGCUGCUGCAGAUGCCUCAUGGCGUACUUCUCUCUGUGCUCCUCACAGUGGUCAUGCCCUCUACCUCUUGUUCCAUGAGAACUGUCACUCUGCAUGGGUGACUAGAAUUUUUUAGUUAAAGUCAUAAAAUUUUGGCAAGGAUGGAGAACUGCCCCAGGCAGCGUGUCCAAUGGCUUGGGAUGAUAGAAGUUGUAGUCUAACAACACCUGAAAGUCACAGGAUCUGCAUCUCUGAUUUAUAAGUUGUAUUCAAGAUGGCUUUCUGCGGCAACCUCAUGCUACAGCUUCCUCCACAGAUAAUUCUCACAGUUUCUCACAGGAGAAACAAAUAUGUCACCUAUGAAGUAUCCUUAAAUAAUGAGCUGCUUUCAUAAAUGAUAUUACUACUCAGAUGUCAGACGUGAGAAUUCCACAGCUAUUUAGCUAAUGCAAAUCUUCCAUGAAAAACCAAUUACAAAUAUGGAAGUGAUAUUAAGUUCAGUCCAGCUUUAGGAAAUUACUUUGGUGGAUUUCACUUCUCUGCAAACAUUCAUGUUUACGACAUGACAAAGACUCAGGAAAUGUAGCCGUUUAUAGUGUGCAUAUAUCUAAUUCAUAUAAAUAAUUAAAAAGUAAUGAUCAAUUAGCAUAUUUUUAAGUACCUGUUAUAAAGGCUUCAUAAUUAGUGGUUUCCCCAGGAGACCUAAACAUCUUCUACUCUAGCCCAUCACAAAACAGUGUACCUUUGCUUAUGAAAUUAUCUAAUUACCCCUGAGACUAACAUGAUUUCCUGGUUAUAUUACUAUUCUACAGUAGACUAUAAAGAUAAAAAAUGCUUUAAAAAUAUUUAUAUCAUCCUAGUGAUUAGAUUGCAUAUAUGAUCAGGGCUUGCACAUGUGCAAAUCCAUGGUGUAUCCUGCUGGGAAAAAGAGAUGGGGGGUGGAUUUAGACAUAAAUUGGUAUGCUCCUAUGCUCACUUUCCUGUGAGUAAAGGUAAAGGUAAAGGGACCCCUGACCAUUAGGUCCAGUCGUGGCCGACUCUGGGGUUGUGGUGCUCAUCUCGCUUUAUUGGCCAAGGGAGCCGGCGUACAGCUUCUGGGUCAUGUGGCCAGCACGACUAAGCCGCUUCUGGCAAACCAGAGCAGCGCACGGAAACGCCGUUUACCUUCCUGCCGGAGCGGUACCUAUUUAUCUACUUGCACUUUGACGUGCUUUUGAACUGCUAGGUUGGCAGGAGCAGGGACUGAGCAACGGGAGCUCACCCCGUCGCGGGGAUUCGAACCGCCGACCUUCUGAUCGGUGAGUCCUAGGCUCUGUGGUUUAACCCACAGCGCCACCUCUGUCCCUGUAAGUAAUCCCCACUAAAUACAUCAGGAUUUAUUUUGAGGAAGCAUGCAUAGAUUGGACUGUAGGCUUUCCUAAUCACAAAGACAAGAACCAGAGUGGUGAGAGUUGUGGGCAGCCAUGAGAUCUUCAGUUCAGCACCUACAAGGUCAGCACUUCAUACUGGAGAAUCAGGAAACUACAGCUCAGCAGGCAGAACACAUUGUUCUGUUAGCCUGCCAAAGAGAGAGGACCAGGCUUCUCCCAGUGCUGAUUCCAGGAUUGGCCAAUCCAGAGCCUUCAUACUGCUCACUAGUUGCAUAGACUUUACUUGGAAGAGUCACUCUGUUCUAUAGCUGUUUCCUAGGCUAAGCCCCAGCUUCCAACUCUGAAAGCUCCUGGCUUGGCCUCUGGAAUCCUCUACAGGGAAAGGUGAAUUACUAUUUGCCUCUUCCCUAAUCUGUGAAUAGGCAUCCAUACUUCAAUUUGUAUGAAAAGUUUACAUCUCCUUUUCCAUGACAGGUUGCCACAUAUCUAUAGUCAGGUACAUGUAUUUCUAGAUGUAGCUGUAAGAAGGCCAGCACCCAACAACAAUGCAAAGGAGGGGAGGAUAAAACUCCAAGAGUGAUAUAAAAAUUGGAAUUACGCUGGCAGCUCCCAGCAAGGGAAGAUUUGCCUCUAUCAAUGGCUGAGCAAGUUUCUGCUUCUCAGUGCCUCUAGCUUGCUUUAGAGGUCACCAGCAGGAAGGCAGUGUCUAAAGGGUGACAUUAAAGGAUGCUGAUCAGGGAAGAUCCAAGGAAAUCACAGGAACCUCUGCCUCAAUCAUUUUGUCACCAUGAAGAAUUUCUGUUUCACAUAUUAGUCUUUAAUGUGAUGUGAUGUCAUUAGAAGAAACUUCAGGAAGCUGUGUUGAGAACCACUUGAGGCUAAAAAUGAAAUAUGAAUAUUUAAAUACAAAUUUAUUAUUAUUAUUAUUAUUACAUAUCCAGAGGUACCUAUUUUUAGCCUCUAUACUAGUCUUUCCUAUCCUGGUUCCCUCUUAUGUUUUGGACCACAGCUCCCAUCAUCCCUGACCAUUGGCUUUGUGAGCAGGGAUGAUGGGAGGGCAUCCAACUGGGAAGGGUAGUUGUAUUAUCAGGGAAAAUAUAUAUCUUGCCAAGUGUGUCUGACUUCAUCCUAUUCCAUUUCUGGUCUUUUGGCUACGCAGUGAAGCACUCUAGCUAAGCCACCAAGGUACGUCCAAAGAGACCUUGGAGCCAGAGUGCUGAAACACAGAGGGCUUGUCCAGCAAGAUUGGCAGGAGGAACAGAGUCCUGAGCCCUGAAUAGCAGGAGAAGUAUCUAAGCAACACUAGGGUUAGAAUAUGCUUUCAGUUGUCCUAGUUGUCCCAUCCGUCUGGGUUUACUAGUAGGGCCCAAAUCCUGGCCCUAGUUAAGGCAAAAAUUCUUCUUCCUGAGCAUGAUUCUGAAACAGUUUACCUUCUGGUCCAGAUUUUGGCUGGGGCUCAUUACCUACUGCUGGCACCUGUCACGAGACCCUCCUCCAUCAAGGAGGUGUCAUGAGAUUCUGGUUCUGGGUGUGGGCAGCCCUGACAAAGUAGGAGUUGGAUAUUUGUAUUUGUAUAUCUGGUGAUGUGUAACUGCAUUUUCAACUUGGGGCACUCUGAUGCUGUAACUUGUGCAGAUUUGCAAGUGCAAAUGCGCUUCAUGUAUGCCAUCAGGACCAUGCAUGAGCUGAUACACAGAUCCAAUCCACACAUUUUCAGAGCCAGCUUUCAUGAGCCACCUAUUCAUAUGCCAGAUGAGAUGCUCAUAAAAACUCAUAACAACUUCUAUAUGCAGGGAUUUCUAUUUUCCAACAUAUCCUGCCAUGCUCACACCCAAGUUUUUUCCACACAUUACAUGUGACUUCAAGAAGAUCAAAAGUAUGUAGUGUGACAAGAGGGGUCAUGCUUUUAGUCUCACCCUCGACAUUGCAUCUUUCCCCCCAUGUUGUGUGUGUAGUUGUGUGAAAGGAAAGCCCAGUGUUUUAGUUCCUGCUUGUGAGUAAGGUCCCUCUGUCAUCAGGAUACCUGGUUAAGCCCACAUGGUUAUCACAUAGAUCCUUGGAGGCAGGAACCAAAGAGUGAUGGAGGGCACUGCCAUGGAAGACUGAGAACAGGGCAAUGACCCAGGCAUUAUAGGGAAACAAUGUUUUUUUCUCUUGCUAAUACCAGCUUUUUUUUAAUGCUGUGAUAGUGAUUUUAAUGCAGGGAAGGAGUGUAAGAUAUUUCUGUUGAAGCCAGAUACAUUUCUAGCAGGCAAACAAAUUCUUUAAGUGUACUUGGUCAGUUGUGUUAGCAGAGAUAGCUGUCACCACGCCACUAAAGGGGGCCCUUCACUCUUUCAUGGCUACUGGUUUUGAAAUGACCCAGAUCCCGUGAGCAGAGAGCUCAGAAGAAUCUAUGAGCCAGCUCUAUGCUGAUCCAACAGACUGGAAUCUGUUAGAGCCUCAACUAUAUAUAAGGCAUCAGUCAGAGACCACAGCCUUAAAAGAAAACUCCUAUGGAAGUGAAUUGUAUUUGAAGGAGAAAAGGAUCACAGUGGCCAUCCCCGUCCUCAACUCAUAUGCAUUCAUUUGAAGCUUAGAACAAAGGCCGACUCUUGGAGCUCUUGCUGUGUAAAUGAAAUCAUGCUUUUUCCGCGUUCCCAGUCACAUAGAGAAGGCCGCACACACAGAGACUUUAUUAUUACCUUCAAACAAACAUACAUAACUUGGGCACAGAGGCAGCUGAUACUAUCUAGUCCCCCCCCCCCCCCCGCAUUAUCACACCCCUAAACUUCCCAAUGUUUUGCACUACAACUCCCAUCAUUCCUGUCCAUUGGCCAUGCUGUCUGGGGCUGGUGGGAGUUGUAGUCCAAACAUCUGGAAGGCAACAGGCUGGGUAAGGCUACCCUUACUAAGGGUGAGGGAAGUGCAUCCUUACUAGCCAAGCCACUGGCAUGGUGCCUGCUUCAGAUUUCUGUCCCACACACUGGAAGGCUUGGUCACUGUUUUUCCUGCACCCUAUGUGCUUCAGGUGUACAUGGUGAUGUGGAUGUUUUAAGUCACACCCGUCGGAAACAUUACAGCAGUAUUUUGAUUUGGAGAAGAGGCCAUAGGCCAGCAAGGCAACAUGUAUCUUGUAUGCAGUAGGUCCCGUUGGCGUGGAGAUAUUCAGUUCCUACCAACUCAGUCGAUAGAGCAUGGAACUCUUAAUUUCAGGGUCGUGGGUUCGAGUCCCACAUGGGGCAAAAUAUUCCUGCAUUGCAGGGGGCUGGAGUAGAUGACCCUUGUGGUCCCUUCCAACUCUACAAUUCUACGAUUCUGUUACUCAAGUAACAGAGUUAGGAUUUAUCUCUCCCGGAGAUUCUGGAGUGUCACUGCCCAUCAGAAGAGACUGCCCUAGCCUAGACGGACUAGUGGCCGAAAUCAGUGGAAGUCAGUUUCCUGCAUUCAAUCUCCCACAAUACAAAUAUUUCUAAAAAUGACAAAUUGUAGUUGGGGAUACCAGAAAAUUGAUGGCCACUUAAAGAAACGUGCUAGAAUUAAUAGCUUUCCCCUUCAGUCUAUUCCCAGUGGUUUGGGUGUCAAGUCUGUCAUUUCCCGAGUUUCAGAGAAGGUUCAGUUUCCUUCCUUGAAAUCAAAGCUUCCCUGAAUUUCAUAUGCUUUUGCCUUUGCAAAGCAUCUGCAUAUGCCAAAGACAAAUAAUCAUAAGGGUUUGAAGAAAUCUGUGUUUGGAAGACAAAAUGCAGAUUGUUACUGUUCCUAAUGUUUUCCACAGCUUAUGAGACAAGCCCCUCGGGACACAGUGUUUUGGAUUCUAAACUCUCUCGUUACCAUAUUAAUUGCUUUUGUCAUGACAGUUUUGGCAUCUAUAAAUGGCUGCAGCCAUGCUGUGCUCCUCGAGAGACCAAUCAGGGCGGGCAAAAUUGGUUCACUGGCUCCCAAAGCAGCUUGUGCGAAAGGUGCUCCGUUUCAGGCACAUCUUUUAAUUCCUCAAGCCUGAAUGGGGAGCCAGUUAUACUCCAGGCUAAAGAGAGCGAGAAAGCUUUCCUUUGGAAUGAAGCUGCACACAAAAUAAUCAUCUUUUUUGGCCAGGGCAACCUCAGAGAAAAGAUUUCUCUCUGUGGGCAUAUGACAUGUAUACCCAGACAUUUAAGAAAUACGAACAAAGAGGGACAGUUCAAUCUAGGGCUCUGUUUUGGGGGGGGGGGUUGUAGCGGGGAAGGAGAGGAGUUCACAGAAUGGUUCUAGAGUCUAGUCCUCCGCUACAAAAUUACAAAAACAAAGUAUUUCAACAGCACUUGUGGUGGUUCUCUAUAUAUCCUGCAGCAAAUAAAUGUAUCAGAUUCCCCUGAAGAAAAAUCACAUGUGGUCUGGACAGCGAGGAACAUGGGAAGAGGCCUUUCACUGAGCCAGACCAGCCUCUCGGGGGUUUCAAGGCAGACUUUCUCCCAGUCCUACCAGAGAUACUGGGAAUUGAGCCGUGGCUCCUUCUCCGUGGCUCCCCCCUUGCACCCUGGACUCCAGGGAGAACUGUGGUGGAAUCCCCCCUAUUGUUCGGGGGAUUCCAUGGGGUUACCCCGGUAACAGUGACAGGAGUGGGCAGCAGGAGUGCUCUGACCAGCGCCAGAUGGGAGCUGCUGUAUAGUUUCUCCUCCGAUGCAGCAUUGCUCCAGAACACUGUGGAAAAUUAAAACGGUGGCCUACUGGUCCAGAUGCUGCAGAUGGGCUUGCCCAAAGAGCUCACACAUGUGAAGAACUGAGUCCUUCUUGAGAUAACUUCAGCUCCUUUCUAGUCCUAGUCCUAUUCAAGUCCCUUCUAAUCCUAGUAACUGUUGCUUACAAGGAGUGGGUAGGGAGGUUUGCACGGUGGCAGAGGUGCCAAGUUCCACAUGACAUUGGGGGUUCAUUGUGUGCACAUGACAUCACACAUGAGACACACAUCUGUGACAUCAUGUGCACCAGGAGGAGCCUGUGAGGCCUGAGGAGGCCCUCUGCCAUCGCAAGGAAACCCAGCAAGGUCCUCUGCCACUGUGGGGAGGCCUGAUGGAGCUCUCCACUGCCACGAUGAGGCCCAGCAGGGCCAGCCCCUCAAAAUGGGAGGGGCUGAGCUGGAAACUCACCAUGGGCAACAGAGGUUCACUUGCAGGAGCCAGGGUAGUGACUUUGCCCCACUUGGCCAACCAUUUCAGGUCAGGUCUAAUUCUGACAAUGACCAUGGUGGAGAAGCUGGUUGACUCUGGUUGAAACCAAGAGUGUUCACCAGUGGGCCCUUGUCAAUGUGGUGACAAAUGGGGUUCAUUCUGUCCUGCACCCAUGGUUGUUCAACAUCUUUAGAAAUUACUUGGAUGAAAGAAUAGAGGGGAUGCUCAUCAAAUUUGCAGAUGACACCAAACUCGGAGGGGUAGCUAAUACCUCAGAAGACAGAAUCAGGAUUCAAGAUGACCUAAGAAUUUGGGAAACUUGGCCAGAACCAACAAAAUGAAUUUUAAGAGGCACAAAUGUAGGUUCUACACUUCGGUAGGAAUAACCAGAUUCACAAAAUUUAGAAAGUAGGGGCCCAUUGUUUGACACCACUACAUGUGAAAAGGAGCUAGGGAUCUUAGUAGACUACAUACUUAACGUGAGUCAACAAUGUGGUGUUACAGCAAGGGAAGCUGAUGCAAUUCUAGGCUGAAUCAACCAAAGCAUAGUGUCCAGACCAAGGAAGUACUAUAACCACUGUAUUGUACCUUAGUCAGACCCCACUUGGAGUCCUGUGUCCAGUUCUGGGCACCACAAUUUAAGAUGGAUCUUGACAAGCUAGCAGGUGUGCAGAGGAGGGUAAGCAAGGGGUUAAACGGUCCAGAAGAAAAGUCUUAUGAGGAAUGGUUGAAGGAGUUGAGUAUGCCUGGCUUGGAGAAGAGAAGACAGAGAGGACAUAUGAUAGCCACCUUCAAAUAUCUGAGGAGCUGUCACAUGGAAUUGGAGCAAGCUUGUUUUCUGCUACUCCAGAGGGUGGGGCCUGAACCAAUGGAUUCAAAUUACAAGAAAGGCUAUUCUGACUAACCAUUUGGAAGAAUCUUCUGACUGUAACAGCUGUUCAACAGUGAACACACUACCUCAGAAGGUGGUGGACUCUCCUUCAUGGGACGUUUUUAAGCAGAGGUUGGAUGGUCAUCUGUCAUGGAUGCGUUAGUUGAGAUUUCUACAUUACAGGGGGUUGGACUAGAUGACCCUAGGGGUCCCUUCCAACUCUACAAUUCUAUUAUUCUAAGUGGACACAGGUCACUCCUCUCCACCAUGCACAUAAAUUAAGAUGGGAUAUGGAUGAUCCAUGCAGAGCCUAUACACAAGGACCCCUCACUGAAAUCAGAAAUGUGGGCCAGUUCAAAAUGUUCACAUCACAAGUAACAUUAUUUUGGGAUAUAAAUGGAAUAGAUAAUCAGUACCGGCAUCCCCCCAAACCCAUGUCAAAAGUGUGGCACUUACUGUAACAGCUUCAUGGGGAGUACCAAGACAUGUUUUUCUUUUUUAAAAAAUCACUGACAAUAAGUAAUAUUAAUAUAUGGUAGAUGGAAAGAGUGUGUACUCUCUACCAAGUGAACAUUGACACCAUUCUGAUAAGUCCUGAUAAGUCUUUAUAUUCCUGGAUGUAGUCAAUAUUGGCAUUAAUCUUAACAGUAGGAGCCAAAUUACAUCAUCUGUAGUUCCAAGGCUCUUUUCUUUCCUUACAAUGGCUUUUCUUUUCCAUGCAAAGCAGCUGCAGGUGGCCUCAGGUUGAGCAGAGAAAGGGAGAUAUUUGACUAUUUAACUUUUUUCUUACCAGCCAUUUGCCUGCUCCAAACCUGUGGUUUCACACCAGUGGGGAAAAGGAUAUGAGGACACUGUCUCUUUUACCCCUCGGGGAGAAAAGAGCCCAUCUAGGUGACCUACCUCACCCUUUCAAAAUAAUGGCACUGGGUUAAUGAAGGAUUUCAAUUUUAAUACGGCAUUAACAGCUCUCAAUAGCUUUAUCCUUAGGAACCAAUGAAAGGUGAAGGAAAGAGCCAUUAUGAAAUGUACUCUGCAAUUAUCUUUCCCUGUUAAACUUUGUACAUUUGUGACAUUCAGUGGAAAAGUGGUGCAGCGAAAGUAGAAGGAUCAAUGUGGGGAAACUGAAGUGAGCACAUGAGUAGACACCGGGGGCAGUCAAUAAACAGCAGAACAUCCAUUAUUCAUUUCUAAUUCCCAUCCAAAUCAAGAAUCAGAAGUGGAAUCAUUUGACAGACAGGACAGGUAGGGAAAUUGUCCAUCCAAUUACAUAAUGUGAAGUUGAUGAAAUGCUGGAAAAUGCAACACAAUGCCAAAACCUUGCCAGAUAUGUACUGUUAAACACCUUUUUUCUAUGACAGUAUGAAUUUUAGAGUCCUUUUCUAUUUGCAGAGUUGAAGAGGUACUUUAAGUUAUGAAAAUAAAAUUUGGUGGUGCUAUUACACUACAAUGAGCAACACAUUUCCCCAGUUUUAUUCAACUUUCAAGAAAUGUCAUUAAUUUUAUCAGAGGGUUGUGGGUUUUUUGUUUUUUGUUUUUUUGCUUCUCUUAAAAGUUCUCAGAUGAUUUAAACAAACAAGAAGCCCCAAGCUUCCUCUAUGACCUUAUCAGAUGCUGCUUCUGGAAUGUUCAGCCAGCAGUCUGCACACAACCUGCAACUACUUGACAUCUUUAGCUUUGUUCUACAAGUGAAUGCAGUGUGAGUGCAGGAUUCUUCAGAAACACAACAAAGGCUUAAGCUGGUUGCACAGUAUGUGUGGCAUUUAGAGCAGCACAGGUUCUUGAUUCUACCAAGGCAUCAUUAUGUACCUGCACCAUUUGGCAUAUCUAAAUCACGACCCACCCACAGUGGCAGAAGAGGUGGAGGCCCCUGCUCUGCUUUUGAGGAGAGGAGAUAUGCUGGACCAGCCCUGGAGGACUCAUACACCACUGAUGGACAGCAGCUGGCCUGGACACCAGACUUCAGACUGGUGUGGGGGGAAUUCUUUUUUUAAAAAACACCACUGGGUUGAUGUGCAUGGUUUUGGGGGCUAGGGUGGAUGUCAAUGUUGUGCUUUUAUUCAUUUAUUAAUCUGUUAGUGGGUGGGAGUAUUGUUUCAUUUACUGUUUGUUUGAUGUUUUUUAAUCACAGUUAAUUUUUGUUUUCCCAGCAUUGUUGUAUGGAAUAUUAAUGUGUUAUAUGAUCCCAGAUUUUUCUAUGGCAUAAUAUAUUUAUGAAUAUUUUUCCCCAAUGUAAGUUCCUUGAGUGAGAAGCAGUUUUAAAAGUUAAAUAAAUAAAGCAUAUGCCUCUCCUCGGUUACUAAUUAGCCUAGGCUAACUGGAACAUUGGGACGCGGGUGGCGCUGUGGGUAAAACCUCAGCGCCUAGGACUUGCCGAUCGUCAGGUCGGCGGUUCGAAUCCCCGCAGCGGGGUGAGCUCCCGUUGCUCGGUCCCAGCGCCUGCCAACCUAGCGGUUCGAAAGCACCUCUGGGUGCAAGUAGAUAAAUAGGGACCGCUUUCUAGUGGGAAGGUAAACGGUGUUUCCGUGUGCUGCGCUGGCUCGCCAGAGCAGCGAUGUCACGCUGGCCACGUGACCCGGAAGUGUCUCCGGACAGUGCCGGCCCCCGGCCUCUAGAGUGAGAUGAGCGCACAACCCUAGAGUCGGACACGACUGGCCCGUACGGGCAGGGGUACCUUUACCUUUAACUGGAACAUAAUCAUCCUUCCACCUAAUGCUGCCUGCAGGUAAUUUAGUCAACAGGCCGUUCUCAAGUGGGAGGUCCAGGCAUCUCCUUCCCUGGAGGUUUUUGAGCACAGGUUGGAUGGUCACCUGUCAUGGGUGCUUUAGCUGAGUUCCCUGCAUUGCAGGGGGUUGGACUAGAUGACCCUUGGAGUCCCUUCCAACUCUACAAUUCUAUUAUCUUGUUUUGAUUAGCUGAGGAUACCUCAAUACAGCUUGAUCAGUCUGAGAUGGGAUAGAUAAUUUUGCACCUGCUGUGACUCACUAUCUGGGCCUUUUGCCACAGAGUGUCUCCUGCUUCCAGCCUUGUAUUCAAUAGCAUCCCCCUUGGUCUCAGGAAGCCCCGUGUUUAACCAUAUGUCCCUGAGGCACAAUUUUGUUCCAUCUUUUCUUCCCAGCUUGUACUUUUCUUUGGGAACCAUCCUCCUCAGCCUUGCCUCCUCCACCCACUGAAGUUUGCAUGGCUGAACAGCUGCUAGAGCCUAAAUUUCCACCAAACCUUCUGCCUUCAUUUUCUGGGCUUUGACUAUUUCAUACGCAGGUUUAGGAUGUUUACAGGGAAUGUCCCCAGAAAGUAAAUUUAAAAUGUUUAUAGAACACUCCAAAACCCAAAACAAUGCAAUACUGAUGGCAGAAGUGGGACAUGGGCAUGCCUCUGGUGAAACUGAAUUCAAUCUGUCAAACCCCACAAGUUUCCUCUCAAAAGAAAAUUAAGUGGAAAAGUGUGUGUGUGUAUAGGAAAAUCACUCAUUUAAAGUAGCUUAUAAAACUGAUCUUAUAGACUAACCAGGUUCAUUAACAAUGCAAAUAUUUUAGUCGCUUCAGGUAGGUAAUGUCUUACCAACAAGCCUUGAGCACAUCAAAGAGGUUUUCUUGCACUUUAGAUUGUGCAAUUCCCUUCUGAAUGUGAGCUGAUAGAGCAUUCCAUUUCUGAAGCUCUAAUCCUCAAAACACAUAACCCCCAGUAGUUUCUCUGGGUCCAAUGGGGCUCCUCCAGAGCAUGUAGUUUAAGUAUUGCACCUGAGUAUGCAAUGGGGGAGGGAAAAUGACUCUAUUUAUCUAAGAGAGCAGUGACUUUGCCCAAUCGUCUCAUUCGGGUUUAAGGCUGACAGCAUUACUGCCUCUGCAAUUUGAUAGCUUGUCACUUUGAUAUAAGCACCCAAUAAUAAGCUUUAUCCAGGCCAUUAGAUGGUUGGAUGCAUUUGAAAGGUUAGUCUAUAAUACUAUUCUCAGCAUUUGUAGAAAGCCUUCAGAGGUGUGUGUGUGUAUGUGUGCAUGCGCAAGAAAUGGACUGUGGGCCAAUAAAAAUUUAGGCACUCACUUGAGUGAAAGGUGGGAUGCUGUUGUACAGGUAAGAUUUCCGCAUGUCCCCCCAAGGUCUUCUCUGGUUGCAUAAUAUCAUAGAAUUUAAGAGCUGGAAAGAACCCCAAGGGUCGUCUAGUCCAGCCCCUGCGAUGCAGGAAUCCUGCCCACAACCACCCCUGGGUGGACUUGAACCACCAACCUUCUGGUUAACAGCCAGAUGCACCAACCCAUUGUGCCACCAGAUUUUGAACUCAUACUGCAAAGGUGGGGGGACGAUCCUUUUCUAUGAUGGAUCAUAGCUCAGUGCUGGAGCACUUACUUGGCGUGCAGAAGAUCACCAGAUCAACUCUGAGGAAAGGAAAAAGGUGAUGGAUGGGGAAAAGGAGAGCCAGAGAACCUGAAGAGCUGGUGCUUUUCAGUGUAGAAAAUGGAAUAGAUGAACAAGAUGAUCUGGUAUGAAGCAGCUCCCUAAGCUUAGGGAUGAUGACGAUGAUUUUGCACUCAUUGUGAAAAAGUUAGCUUAUUUAAUCGCCCUUGCUCAGCACUAUCGUUCCAUAGUCCUAUCGGGUCAACUGUGCGGCAGCAUCCUGAUUACUCAGUACAUGGGAAUGCUCUCCCUCACCAGCGCACACGCACACACUUAAAGAACAAGGGGUUAAGGUGAAGGCGAGGCUUCACCUUAAUGUUUUACUAUGUUGGAAGAUGUUUGGCUCUUGCUCCUUAGCACCCAUCCACCCCGCUGCUGCUGCUGCUGCUGCCACUCACCCCUAUCUGUAAUAAGAAUAUUUGAUUCUCUUGCAGGUUGUUGCUAACGAUUAUUGAGAAAAUACACCUUUAGCCUUUGUUAGAAGUGCAAAGGAAUAAAAGAAAAUAUAUCUUUAAAGAGGCUCCUGUAAGUGGGAGGCAUUUAAGGGGGGGGAUGUGCAUAUGAAUUAAACUUCCUCAAAAAACAGAAUAUUUUUAACAUUGUCACAGAACAUAGGGCAGAAGAAAAGGGCAAUUGCACAAUUUAGUAAAAUUGCACAGAGGUUUUCAGCGUCCAGCUGGGGUUCUUUGAUGCAAUGAACACCUGCAGUUUUUGAAUCCCUAAAAGGAUGUAGUUAGAAAUGUGGAUUUUUGAGUUUUAGUUUUCCAGAAAAAGUCCCCUUGCCUGCCAUACAUUACCUACCCUCUUCCACAUAAGUCUCCUUGUAAUUCCAUGCUAUGGAAUUCCAAUAAGCUCUUUACAAGGGUGCCAAUUAGAGAUAUACAUAACCCCCUGAAGAAAUGCUUUUGAACCUCUUUCAGCAUAUCUCAAAAUCCUUCAAAUGCUGUCCCUGAUGAAUAUGCACACCCAAUUCACUUUGAAAUCCACUUUUUAGACAAAAUCUCAACUCUAGUGUUGACCUGGAUGCUAGCAUUUUUCUUUGGAGUACUUUCUCCUGCUUAGGUAUAUGUCAACCCCAAGAUUAGCCGUGAAAUGUGCAGAUGGUGUCAGUCUCUACUAUUCAUUGAAGGACUAUAAUAAAGGGUGUUGGAUGGGCAAAAACAAUUAUUUGAUUAGCUUUCUCUGUCUCAAAUCCUGUGCUCCACUGCCUUUCAGAUUUCCAAGCUGCCAAAAACUCAAGUUGGAAAAGUGCACUUUAGACCCACCAUGCAUGGGUAGCAAAGAUUUCACAUGGUGAAAGAAAGUGGAUAAUUGUAGUAACUGCUGGAAAAUUACUACGAGGUCACCGCGAUAAGCAUGGCCAAUGUUUUCUGUCAUGUCAGCCCUCUUUCCUUGCCUAUUGUGCAGAGUGGGGAAUUGUUUUACCCUGAAUAUUUGGUCCUAAAAUGACUGAUGUGGCUGAUGGUUCACUGUAUGUGGAGGACAGCAUGCUAGACAGAAAGAAUUGCCCCCCUUGGUUAAAACACAGCAAGAAAUCAGAGAAAUAUAUUUUAGCCAAGGAGAUGAGGCAGAGAAGAUGAAUGGCUUGCAAGAGACAAAACUCUCCUCCCCCCCACCUCAGGAAAUGAGGUAGGCACAUAGCAGAAGCACUGCUGCCCAAUGCCUUGCUGUUUUCUUUUCACUGUGGAAAUGGAGGCUGAAAGUCACUGAUCUCUCUGUCUAUGAACAAAUAAACAGCAGUCAUGUGACACUGGAGCUUUGGGUGAACGUCCCCAAAUUCUCCUGCUUCUUCACAAUGGGAAACUAUGCCGUGAGAACAACUCUGAGCAUUAGAAAUAGUUUAGAAUAUUUCCUGCAUAUCACACUGUCCAGCAAGCACAAUGCGGCAAAAGAAGCACUGACAUCAGGCUGGUCCAAACAUCCAUGUGUAUAUUGAGGCGUCUUCUCAUCAUUAGAUAAGCUGCAUGUGUGAAUGGACUCCAAAGUGGGGAAAACUGAGGUGAUGUGAAAUAAUAGGGACAUCAUCAUCAUCAUUUGUAUAUUCUGCCGCCUUUCUGCCAAGGAGACGGUGAGAAAGGCUGAGUGGCCUCAGGUCACCCAGUGGCUUUAAAGGCUGAGUGGUGAUUACAGGCAGAGCCUCCCCAGUCUAAACCAAGACUCUAACCACUAUGGCAGGCUGUUUCUCAGUGUCAACGUAGGUGUUGAUGAGUGACUCAGACCUGAUGUAGUAGAGUGCUUUUCUUAAACUGUUUUGUGGUCUUAAGUAGGAGUAGCCGGGUUGCUGUAUUUUUACUCUGAUUGAUUGAUUGACUAUAUUUCUAUGCCGCUUUUCAUUCAAAUGAAUCCCAAAGUGGGUUAAAAAUAACAUGAUAGAACAUAAUAGAACAUCACAAAUACAGCAUAAACCAUAUAGAAUAAUUAACAAGUCAUCAGUAUAACAAUUACAAUCUAUAAAACAAUGCUAACAAAGCAACAACUAAAAAAUAAGCUAAACAUCACUAUUAAAACAAAAUACAUAUUAUAUGAUUAACAAAUCAAUACGGCAUUUAUAAUCUAUAAAACAACAUUAACAACAUUAACAAAAUAGCAACCCAAAAAUAAACUAAGCAGUUAUGCUCCAAGUCGAGAAAACCCUCAUCCACAGUUCCAGCCUUGCCGGAAACACACCCCCAUUCAGCAGUCCAUCAUUCCCUCAGUCUCCACCUCCCCAUCUUCAAUACAAAGGUAAGAAUCUUGACCUAUCCUACAGGUGCAGAUUGCUGAGAGAAGUGCAUGAACUGCUUUGAAUACAUGAAUGUUUCAGCCAUUUGAAUCACAUGUAAAAUUCUCAUUAUUGCUCAGCACCCUUCAAAACACACAAAUGCAAUGUGCCAUCAGUGUACAUGAUGCUUUAUGUAGUAACAGAAAAGCCGCAUCAUUUUCCUUGUGACGUGUGCAUAUGUACAAAGGUAAGAUUUUGCAUUCAGUUUUGAAAAGGGCCAUCUGUUGUUGAAGUGAUGAAAAUAUGUUAUCUGUUUAGCAGGGAACUCAGAGCUACCAACACCUUCCUAUUUCAUAGCAAAAAACCCCCUCCUGUUUUCUGUGAAAGUGUAUUGCAUUCUCUAACUGUUCUGCUUUUAAAAUAUACUACUUGUUUCCUUUAUCACAGACUUGGAUCUGCCCUGUGGGGGUGGGGUGGGGGUUAUUCUAUCUCUCAUUUGCUUUGUUCUCUCCCUGCUCAUUUGUUUUCUUGGCUGUGGAUACAGCCAGCUCAUUUAUCUAAGUAAAAUUGUCCUUGAGUGGUUGUUCUCUCUCUUUGUUCUUUCUUUUUUUGCUGGUCACUUUGUAACAUGGAAUCCCUGUAAUAUUCUGUUGGGCUCAUUAACACACUACAUUUAUGGUUGUAAAGAAAGAGGAACAGACAAUCAUUUCAGCAGAGCUGCUUUCAAAGUUAAUGUCACAGAUUUUUAAGAAAUCACGCUGAUUAUUCUAGUCUUAGGGAACAAUUAUGAAUUCAUAAAUAUUAAGAUAAAACAGGUAUAACAGUACAUACCUAACUCUGAAACACAAGGUUCACUUGGCAUUGGCAAUGAGUGAAUCUGUCAAUUUCUCAAUUUCUCAUUUUUUUCACUCUUUAGUUCUCCGCAUUUCCACAUCAGUUUGCAAUUUUUUAAAACACACACUCAAAUUGUCACAAAAAUUCAGCAAUAUUUUAGUGUCAAUUUUGCCCAAUAAGCACAAAGUUAUGCAAUUUUGGCUAAUGUACACAUUUUUGGGGAAUGAGGGAUUACAUUUGGAAUUACAAUUUUCACUUACAGAAAUUGCAUUUUGCAAGUAUUUUUUCACAAAUAUGUGCAUUUUAUGUGCUCUUUACCCUAAAGAGGUGACGGGAGGGGGAAUUACUAGGCAUUGCAAAACAUCAGGGGAAAUCCAGCCAAUAAGGAGACAGGACAGAUGCCCUUAUUGGGACAUGCUGCCCAGUACUCCAGACUAUUUAGACCAGCAUGGUAAGGAGGAACAUCUGCACCAUGAAGCCUUCUUGGGCAGGCUCAAGCUGAGUCCUGUAAGAGGUAAAUAGUGUUUGGUCUGGAAGCAAGCACUUCUAUCACAGUGGCAGAAAAGAAUACCCCACUAUUUCAGGGGUUGAAUACUUUAUGAACAGAGGGGUGAUGAUUAAUGCUGGCUGGGUAUUUGGCGUCCUUCCUAUUCCAACACUGAGAAGUUCACCUGUAGGCAUAGUACCAAAGAAUUCAGAUUGAUACACAAUAAAUUAGACUCCAGAGGCUCACCCACCAAUGACUACUUACAAAGUGAACUUAGUUUGAUGCAGUGUCAAACUUAGUUUGAUUUUAACAAGAUGAUGUGCAUGGUCAAAUCAGGUGGAAGGGUAGCCUUGAUGGGCAAAUGUGAGCUCAAGUCAGGUUUUCAGAUGUUUCCCAUCUACCUUCAUGGUUUUUCCUGCUAAGGUUUGGGUUUGAGGGGAAAUAUGGGUACGAGGCUUGAACUUGGCUUUCUCUACAUUUAGCUUCAUGCUGGACUCAGCCCUGAUGGAUAGGUCCAGACAUGAAAUGGGACUCAUUACCAGGGUGAGUCUUUGUUUCCCCAAGCAUAGAGACUAAUUGCACAAGUUUUAUGUACCACUUUACAGAGUUAAAUGGAUUUUAAAGGGUAUCUCUGGCAGAGGGUAAAAUGGAAGGGCCUCUUUCAUGUUCAACCUUUUUGAGUACUGAACUGGAUAUAGUUCAACAGACUAGACAUCUGCCUGAGGAAAAGGCAGGGCAGUCUGGAAGAGAUUCAACUUUUGCUACAGGGCAAAGAAAACAGCCUUUCUUUAGCUUCAAGAGCUGCUAGGCCAGGCCACCUCACCUUUGCCUGUGAAGUGAUUGCUUCAGGCUGAGACUUCCUUUCAAGGCUAUGUGAUGCAACAAAAAGGAUGGUAUCUUGUCACUGUCGCAUAUGGGUUUCAGGACAAAUGUGUGUCAACAUUUCUAUGUAGAAGGAACUUGUGGUGCAUCAUAAUGUGGUAUCCUUUGCAUUGGAUCAGAACCUUUGUUUCACAUUGCUUUUGUUUCACAGAGAGCUUAGAACUUUAGUUAAAUGAUAGAAAAUGCCAAAAAAUGUUUUUAAGUUUGACUUUUCCCUGUACCCCAAGGUCCCAGUUCCUUCCUUCCUUCCUUCCUUCCUUCCUUCCUUCCUUCCUUCCUUCUUAAAGGUAUAACCAAGGUUGACCUUUGUGACCUUUGUUUCAACCAGCAUCCCGAUGGAGUGUAGAACACUACACUGUGUCAUUUUCACAGGCAAAGAUCUGUAACUGCUGUAAAUGACAAGUCCUGUGCUCAGGGUCUUCAGGUAGAGUUGGGAGAAGCUCCAUGAAGCCCUUGCUGUUCAGCCAAGAGGGCAGGAAGGGAGACUGCUUGUUCCAGGGCAGCAUAUAAGAGAAGCUACCUGCCUAUGAUAGUAGUCAAGGCAAAUUCAGAAUAGAGUUCCCUUUUGGUGGAAGAAUCGAUCUGCAUUAAGGCCUGUUCAGUGUAAUUGUUACCUGGUUGUGGAAAUAAGACAAGCUUGAGCAGCUCAGCAUCUUGAGGCACCUGGACACUGAAGGACUGUAUACCCAACAUACUUCUCAUUGCUAGGCAGCUCACUGGGAUGUUGGAAGAGAACAAUCCUAGAGUCCAUUAUAGCCCAUUGUAUAUCAGCCAGGAGAAGCAGGGACUAGCAAGCUGCACACCAAGGCUCAAUUUAUGAUGGGAAGACAAUGAAAGGCACAGAUCAGCAACAGGUUUGACAUGGUGCAUUUCUCCAGGAUGAGGCAACAGGAAAUCUUGCAGUAGUCGCCUUAGAUUUCGAAAAGCUUGCCUUUGAUUUAUAUAGAUCUGGUUAUGCUUGUUGAAUAUCCUUGUUGUUAACAAAGCUGUCUGCUAAUCCAAGCAACUGUCUUGCAUCUUCAUCCCAGUGCAGUUGGCACAAAUGAAACAGCAGGAGGAAUGUGUAAUUUUGCAUCAAAAUGCUCAAGUGUGGAUAGUUUUCAAUUUGAGUAAAGCAUUCAGUUCUCAAGAGAGACAAAUUUAGAGACAAAUACAUGUCAUUUUAAAUAAAUGCUCUACUGAUCUUAUGGUGUUAUUGAUAGAGACCUCAAAGAUGGAGGCUGGCAGAUUAAGGACAGAACUACAGUGGUGCCUCGCAAGACGAAAUUAAUUCGUUCCGCGAGUUUUUCGUCUAGCGAAUUUUUCGUCUUGCGAAGCACAAAAUCCCAUAGGAAUGCAUUGAAAUUCAAUUAAUGCGUUCCUAUGGUCAAAAAAGUCCAAACAAAGCCAAAUUUGGUACAACAAGAGUUUAUUAAGUGCUCUUUAAAGUCACACAUACUGUAAAGAGCAUUUCAAAAAUUGAAGGAACAAUAAAUUAAGUUUCUAAACAUGACAGAAAAACAUUUAAAAAUCAACAAAGUGUACAGUACAUUUUCUAAGACUCUGGGGGACAACUCAAAGAAGGGAGGGAGACAGUGCUCCUGAAGGUAGGAGUCUAUCAAUUGAUGAAGAUGAUCAUCCAAAUGUCAUAGACCAAAUGGAGCAAACAGCACACAGACCUAGUGGUGGGAGGAAAAAAUCCUUAAAUAAGAAACAAGGGGGAAUGAUUAAUGGACUUCAAUGUCUGUACACUAAUGCGCAAAGCAUGGGAAAUAAACAAGAUGAGCUUGAGCUCUUGGUACAGCAAACUAAAUAUGACAUAAUAGGCAUCACUGAAACCUGGUGGGAUAAGUCCCACGAUUGGAAUGUAAUAAUGGGGGAUACAAUCUAUUUCAGAGAAACAGACCAGACAAGAAAGGAGGAGGAGUGGCGUUAUAUGUCAGGGAUGUGUAUACCUGUGAAGAGAUCCAAGAUUUAGAACCUCAAAGCCAAAGUGAGAGCAUUUGGGUCAAAAUUAAGGGAGAGAAGAAUAACAGUGACCUCGUUGUGGGAGUUUACUAUAGAUCCCCAAGCCAAACGGAGGACAUGGAUGAUGCCUUCCUGGAACAGAUGGCCAAGCAUGCAAAAGGAAGGGAGAUAGUAGUAAUGGGGGACUUCAAUUACCCGGAUAUUUGUUGGAUGUCAAACUCAGCAAAGAGCAUAAGGUCAAACAGAUUCCUCACUGGCCUUGCAGACAACUUCAUUGUCCAGAAAGUGGGAGAAGCAACAAGAGGAACAGCCAUUUUAGAUCUGGUCCUAACCAAUGUUGAUGAUCUGGUUAGUGGGGUAGAAGUGGAAGGAUCAUUAGGCACGAGUGAUCAUGCUCUUCUGAAGUUUACUAUACAGCGGAAAGGAGCAGCCAAGCAUACUAGGACUCAAUUUCUUGACUUUAAGAAAGCCGACUUCAUAAAACUUAGGGAAGUGCUGGGUGAGAUCCCAUGGACAAUAAUACUAAAAGGAAAGGGAGUUCAUGAUGGCUGGGAGUUUGUUAAGAGGGAGAUACUAAAAGCACAACGUCAGGCAAUACCAAUGAGACGGAAACAUGGAAGGUGCUUAAAGAAGCCAGGGUGGCUAUCUAAAGAACUUUUAACUGAGUUAAGAUUAAAAAGGAUGUGUACAAAAAUGGAAAAGGGGGAAACCACCAAAGAGGAAUUCAAACAAAUAGCCAGCACGUGUAGACACAAAGUCAGAAAAGCUAAAGCACAGAAUGAACUCAGGCUUGCUAGAGAGGUUAAAAGCAACAAAAAGGCUUUUAUGGGUAUGUUCGUAGCAAAAGGAAGAACAAAGAAACAGUGGGGUCACUCAGAGGAGAAGAUGGUGAAAUGCAAACAGGGGACACAGAAAGGGCUGAACUCCUCAAUGCCUUCUUUGCCUCAGUCUUCUCCGAUAAAGAAAACAAUGCCCGACCUGAAGAAUUUGGAGCAAAUGAUUCAGCAAAGGAAACACAGCCCAGAAUAACUAAGGAGAUAGUACAAGAAUACUUGGCUAGUUUAGAUGUAUUCAAGUCUCCAGGGCCAGAUGAACUGCAUCCAAGAGUAUUAAAAGAACUGGCAGAUGUGAUCUCAGAACCACUGGCAGUCAUCUUUGAGAAUUCCUGGAGAACAGGCGAAGUCCCGGCAGACUGGAGGAGGGCAAAUGUUGUCCCUAUUUUCAAAAAGGGGAAAAGAGAGGACCCAAAUAAUUACCGCCCAGUCAGUCUGACAUCAAUACCAGGGAAGAUUCUGGAGCAGAUCAUUAAGCAAACAGUCUGUGAGCACCUAGAAAGGAAUGCUGUGAUCACCAAUAGUCAGCAUGGAUUUCUGAAAAAUAAGUCAUGUCAGACUAACCUGAUCUCGUUUUUGACAGAAUUACAAGCCUGGUAGAUGAAGGGAACGCAGUGGAUGUAGCCUACCUUGAUUUCAGCAAGGCAUUUGACAAGGUGCCCCAUGAUAUUCUUGUAAAGAAGCUGGUAAAAUGCGGUCUUGACUAUGCUACCACUCAGUGGAUUUGUAACUGGCUGACUGACCGAACCCAAAGGGUGCUCAUCAAUGGUUCCUCUUCAUUCUGGAGAAGAGUGACUAGUGGGGUGCCACAGGGUUCUGUCUUGGGCCCGGUCUUAUUCAACAUCUUUAUCAACGACUUGGAUGAUGGACUCAAGGGCAUCCUGAUCAAAUUUGCAGAUGACACCAAACUGGGAGGGGUGGCUAACACCCCAGAGGACAGGAUCACAC
This 100421-nucleotide long non-coding RNA is filed under the name Podarcis lilfordi (Lilford's wall lizard). The stretch from base 84569 to 84625 matches the Rfam family "tRNA", at positions 9 to 63 of the family's 71-position model. Lineage: Eukaryota; Metazoa; Chordata; Lepidosauria; Squamata; Lacertidae. The record is from RNAcentral.